This 115128-nucleotide long non-coding RNA is filed under the name Vitis vinifera (wine grape). RNAcentral describes it as "long non-coding RNA (VVIN_LNC003394)". Lineage: Eukaryota; Viridiplantae; Streptophyta; Magnoliopsida; Vitales; Vitaceae. The record is from RNAcentral.
GGCUUUAGAAUUUGGUUGUAAGGUGGGUAGCCUCCCUUCCUCUUAUUUGGGCCUCCCCUUGGGUACACUACUUAAUUCUGUGGCAGUUUGGGAUGAAGUGGAGGAGAGGUUUCAUGAAAUGUUGGCUAUGUGUAAGAGACAUUACAUUUCCAUAGGAAGGGGAAGUAUCUUGAUUCGACUCACUUAGACUAGUUUUCCAAUUUAUUUUAUGUCUUUACUUUGCAUGCCACAACUGUCAAGAUUGAGGCUAGAGCACAUUCAAAUAGAUUUUCUGUGGGGAGAUAGGACUUUCGAGCGAAGACCACAUCUAGUCAGAUGGGCGAUUGUUUGUUCAAACAAAAAGAAAAGGUGAUUGGGAGUUAAGCAUCUUUCAUCUCUCAAUUAUACUCUCCUAUGUAAAUGGAGUUGGCAAUUUUGUGAGUGAGAGAGGGGCCCUUUGGAAUCAAGUCAUCAACGGGAAGUAUGAGGAAGAAGGAGGGGGUGGUGUUCUUAGGAAGUGAGGGAGGGGUAUGGUGUCGGGUUUUGGAAUGCGAUAAGAAAGGAUUGGAACCUUGUGCAUAGAAGGAUCUCGUUCUUAAUGGGUAAUGGGCAUAAAGUGAACUUUUGGAAGGAUAAGUGGUGUGGGGACAAUUCUUUAAGUGUCACAUUCCUUUCAUUGUCUGCUUUAGCUGUUUCUAAGUUUGGAAUUACUCAGUUGAAGAGGGUGGGGGGAGUCCUUGCUUCUCUAGAUCUUUCAAUGAUUGGGAGGUGGAUUUUGUAGAGAGAUUUCUAUUGUGUUUGCAUGGGAAGAGAGUGUGUAGGGAUGAGGAAGAUAUGGUGCAGUGGAUAGAGACAAGGAGUUGCAAGUUUACAGUUAAGUCCCUCUAUAACAUCUUGAAGCCAGACAAUUCGGUUUGUUUUCCAUUGAGAAUUAUUUGGAACUUGUGGGUGCAACCUAAACUAUGUUUCUUUGCUUGGGAGGCAACAUGGGGAAAUGCUUUAACAUUAGAUGAAGUCCAAAGAAGAGGGUGGUCUUUAGUGAAUAGAUGUUAUCUUUGCUAAUUGGAUGAAGAAUCUAUUGACCACAUUCUUUUGCACUAUUUAAAGACAAGGGUUUUAUGGGAGUUGCUCUUUACGCUUUUCGAGGUGUCUUAUGUGCUUCCCUCGUUGGUUAGAGAGACACUUUUGGGUUGACAUGGUUCAUUUGUGGACAAAAAAUGCAAGAAGGUUUGGAGAGCAAGACCCUUAUGCAUCUUUUGGACGGUUUGGAAAGCAAGGGAUGGAAUCGCUUUCGAUGAUUAAGUGCUUUUGAUCCAAAGGCUUAAAGGCUCUUUUGUUUGCUUUCUUUGGUUGGAGAUUAAGAUGUUAAUAAAUGAUGGUUCUUUGACUCUAGUUAGUUUCUUUGAUUGGUAGAGCUCUUGUUGAGGGUGGUGGUGUUGUUGCCUUUCCUUUUUUGUAGAUCCUCCUCUUGUUUGCGCCUUUUUGCUUUGGGUGUAUGCGUCCUGUAUUCAUUGGGCCACUCUUUUGGCGUCUCUUUUUAAUAUAUAUAUAUAUAUAUAUAUAUAUAUAUAUUUAUCUAUCAAAAGAAAAAAAAUAAUAACCCCCCCCAUAGUUGUAUCAAACCAAUCAUAUUUUUUUCUCAAUGAAUUUCAUGUAUAGCAAAUCAUUUCUGAUAGAGUUUCUAGCUAGCUAAUGCAGUAUCCUUAACCUAUUGAAGGUAUUAAAGAAAUUAGUUCUUAUUGGAAACUUCUUGCAGGUUGCAUCUUGGUGGGACUAUGGUUACCAAACUACUGCUAUGGCUAACCGGACUGUUAUUGUGGACAAUAAUACCUGGAAUAACACUCAUAUUGCAACUGUUGGCACUGCCAUGUCUUCUCCUGAAAAGGCAGCUUGGGAAAUUUUUAACUCCUUGGAUGUAAAAUAUGUUCUUGUUGUCUUCGGAGGUUGGUUUCUUAGUUGUUUUCUGAGAUCAUCUUGAUAAAAAAAUAUAAUCACUACACUCUGAUGUGCUGCCUACUUUUCAGGUCUUGUUGGAUAUCCGAGUGAUGACAUUAAUAAGUUCCUGUGGAUGGUUCGCAUAGGAGGGGGGGUAUUCCCCCACAUCAGGGAACCUGAUUAUCUGGUGAGUUGUUGGUCGCUUGUAAUAUGGAUUCUAAGUAUGUGUCCUUUGGGUUCUUAUUGCUGGUGUAUUGUUGCUACACUGGUUUCAAGCUUUGUUCCAUUUGAGAUUCCAAAUAUUUGUCUUGAUUGGCAAUAGACUAACAUUUAAGUUGAAUCUCACUUGAUGGUCUCACAUCAUUGGUGAAUUUACAUUUGGUUGAAAGUUUACUUUUCUUGAUGGCUUUAUUGUGGUGAAUAUUGGAAACAGCUUGGAUUUGUUUAAUUUCCAUGGAAGGUCCAAAUAGUCCAUGAGAAUUAAGCUUUUAGGGCCAGCUAUAGCUCAAAUCUGGGCAACUUGAGCCUCAGCAUAACUCAGCCUAUUCCAAUUAAGGGCAUGCUCAGUCCGCCCAUCUUUUAGGCCUAUUAACUUCAAUGAUCUAGAUAAAACAUGCUAGGGUAUUUAGUUGUACAACAUAAUUUUCAUAUUUCUGUUUGUUUUAAGCAUCAAUUGUUAUCUUCGUGUUUGUAUAAAUUAAAUUAUACAAAGCCUAAUGUGGUUUGGUUUUCCUUGUGCAUAUCAUUAAUUGUUUUACCAUUAAUGUUGGAUGUUGCUUCAAUGUGGCUAAGAAAAUGAUAAUGUUUUCUACUAUUUUUUAUUUUGUUUGAUCAAUUAUAUUAAAUUUUAACUACUUGUCUCUUAUCCUGCUGUUUAAAAGAGAGAUGGACAGUACCGGAUUGAUUCUCAAGCCACUCCUACCAUGCUAAAUUGCCUCAUGUACAAACUGUCAUAUUUCAGGUCUGCUUUUGCUUUGGACUUGGUUCUUCAUAUGUAAAGGUUAUGCUUGGGUUGGUGUUUGAUACAUGAUUAUUUCUGUCUGUUUUCUUUUAGAUUUGUGGAGACAGAUGGUAAAGGCUUUGAUCGAGUAAGGCGGACUGAAAUUGGGAAGAAAUAUUUCAAACUCACCCAUUUUGAGGAGGUUAGACAAUCUAAAUCCCCAAUUUGGCAGUAGUGCAUAAAAUGGAGUAUGAUCAGUUGUUGUGCCUGUCAGGCUGUCACAACUUAUUUGAGAGUUAAAACUUGGAACACUUGUCAUAGACUCAUAAUAUGGUGGUGCCCUGGGAUGUAGUUCAGUGAUAGUUCAGGUUUCAAGUUUGAGCCUCUUUGAUAUUUAAGUUGUGUAGGAUAGAAGAAGAAUGGUCCAUAUCACCUGAGAUUUGUUUCGCCAGGUGAUACAUGUCUUGCUGUUAGGGUGGAUUCCCCAUGAUCAGGAAAAGAGGGGAAAAAAAGGAACAAAAUUGUUAUAUGUGGUGCUUAUUAUUGUAAUGUGAGUGUUGGACGCCCCAUCCAAAUGGCAUGUAUUUAAACUUGCCACACAGGAAUCCUAGAGACAUGUCUUUUGACGUACACCAACCCUUCCGAGAUUAGGAAUUUUCGUUUGAAUAAUUUUCCCUAUAACGUCCCAUGUCUGUUCUGAUUAACUUUCCAUGGUUUAUACUCAAUGAAGGUGUUCACUACUCACCAUUGGAUGGUUCGGAUAUACAAACUAAAGCCUCCGAAGAACAGGAUCCGUGUAAAAACAAAGAAAUCAAAAUCGGUAUGCAUGAUAAACACCUGUAGAUUGUAUUCGUUUCUGAUUCAGUGCAAAAUUACCCACUGACCUUUUGUUGCCUCUUCCCUUUGCAGAAAGCAAGCUCCACAACCAGCUCAAAAAGAAGUGGAAAAAGAAAGAAGAAUCCCUGGCAAUGAAAGGCACUUUCAGAAGCUGCUGUCUCCAAUUAGUUACUUGGAACCCACAUAUUUAAUAUGCUUGAGCCCCUAGAGAGCUAGUGCACCAGCAUUAUUAGCCAUUUUUCUUAUAGAAAAGCAAACGUAUCAAUCAAAGAUUUUGUAGUCUUUUCCCAUCGUGAACUUUUUUGGCUCGCACCCUUAACAUAUGACGAAAGAAUGCAUUGAUCAAUUUUGGAACAGUUCCUUUGGCUUGGUUCCACGUGUAACGAUGAGUGGGCAUAUUAUAUACAGCCUAUUGAGAGAGAGCUUGUGCCUGAAAAUGCAUGGUAAGUAAUUGCAUCAAUAGUGAGUUAAGAUUCCAUAAAUAUUUCUCAUCAUUUUUCGCAGAUUCUUGAGAUAUGGGCUCUUUGGCCUUUUACAAAAGUUGACAGACAUUCUAGAUUCUAUUUGUCUUUUGAGCUGAGCAUAUCUUUGCAGUUAGAACCUAAAAUCCAAUCCAAUAUAUUAUAUCAUGAUGGUGAUGCCAUAUAGCCUAUACAUUUUUAGUUAUAACAUAAAGUACUUUCCAAUAGUGUGCAUUUUCAAAAUUUAUUGAGUCUCCAACAGUGCGCAGAGGAAGCACAUACAGCAGAUUCAGUGACAGAAGAGGUAGGACUUAGGAGAGUGCCUGAUUCUGUUCUCCCUACCCAUCAAGAAAAUAAUUUAAUCCUCAACUCCGUUGAGGAAUUGUGCAUGAUAGACGGAGUGUUGGAGAGCUUGGAAGAGUCGAAGUGAUUUUAGGACUAACACUUGGCAAGCCAUUUUUUAUGAUCUCACAAUUUUUGUUUAGAUAAUAGUAUUAAAUUUUUUUACUAAAAGUGCUAUUCAAGGUAUCAUUUGGCCUUAAUCCAAAGCACUAAUUCGUUCUCUUAAAAGUAAUUUCUACAGCAAUUUUAUCGUGGUCAAUCCCAAACGGGCCUUUAUUAUGAUUUCUAUAUCCAUAUCCUCUCUUUCAUUAUAUUUCUCUAUUCAAUUUCUUCCUUUCAUUUUCCCUCUCAUGUGGGAUGGGUAAACUUUGCACUUUCUGAAGUCAUCUUUAAUGUCUGAACUGAGUGGUAUCCUCCUUAAGUAUUUUCUACUAACUCAGAAUGACCUCAGUGACAAAAGCCAACCACUUGAAGUAGAGGUAUAAAAGUAAAUUGCAUUCACAGCUGAUUUUGUCCCCUAUUUUCAAUCAAGUCACAGCUAACAAUUUUAUAUAUAGCAUUCAAAUUGCAUUCCACUCCACAGACUAUACAACAUUCAGAUGCAAAAUUGUCUUCUUACCCUUCCAGAAAGCCUAUAUCAACCCAAUCAUUCAAAACUAGGGCAUAGAAUUGCCAAAAGUACAGAAACAGAAUGCCACCUUAUGAAUCUCCACUGUAAAAUUAUCAAUCCUUUCUCAUGUCAUUCAACAUUGUUUUCACAAUUUUCUCACUUUCAUACAAGGAGUAUAUAUUAAAAAAACAAAAAAACCGAAAAAUAAGUUAUAUAGCCAACAAAAGGACUUUACCCAGUUGGACGAACAUUUGUGAAUGAGAUUGAUGGACAGGGUUUCUACUGGAUAUGAGGUAGUUGGCUGAAGAAGAGAAAAAAUGAUCACUGAUGUCUGCACACUUUCCUUGAGCAUAGAAACUCCCAAGCUUUAUUAAUCUUCCAAACCAUCGAUCAAAUACACUAUUCUGAGUGAGACAGUGGAGAGGGCAUCUCAGCAAAAAGAAUCCAACAGUAAAUUUUACUAUACAGGAGCAAUAUUUUAUUCCUAAAGGUGACGAGCUUUGAUCUUGAAGCCCAAAUUAAUAUAUAUAUACUAGGAGCUUCUGGCUUCUCCCGGGUGUAAUAAAAAGUGAGCUACAAAAUGACCCAGAGCAGUUCCCACCUAAGAAUUACCUUCAUCUGGUCAUUUUCUUGACACCUCAUAAUUGUUACAGUUUCUUAGGCAGGUUGUAAUUUUUCUUAAGAAACUUUGCAGCCAUGUCAUCAUGCCGAUAACACAAAACUCUCAAGACUGUGUUGGGUUCAGUUGGGUUCCAUUGACCAGAAGUUGGAGGCAAUGGAAGCCUGGAUUUAGCAGAAGAGCCAUAGGUCUCCAGACUUACACUUCUGAAUCGCCCAAUUAGGCUCUCAGUAUCGCUAUGGAAAAGGAGAAGGAUACUUUUUACAAUGGUUGAAUGUUUAUCUAUUAAUUCAGUUGGAAGUCCAUCCCCAUUGGCCCAGAAUAGCUCCAUAAGAAACUUGAAAUCCUCCUCUAUUAUUUCAGAAUCUUGCAAUGUGAAUGCACGAGAAGGGCCUCCAGCAAGCAAAACCAACAAGAACCCAUCAAAAGAAGCUCUCAUUAUGUCAGUAAUAACACGUGUUCUGACUCUGUCAUGAACUGUGGUUGAGACAAUCUCCAAAAUUUGCUCAAGCUCCUGAAGCAAAGGCUCAAUUCUAGAAGAUGAAACUUCUCCCACAUAUAAACCAUCCCAAAAAACAUGACUCAAAUCAUGGAAGAUAACUUUGUAAGCAGUUGCCUCACAUAGCUGUUGGAUCCCUUCCAGACAAGCAGCUGCUGAAAGCUCAAAUCUUUUUCCCAAUCCAUCUGCAUUAUCCUCCACAUGAGUGGAUUCACAAUUCCUUAGAUGUGUAACUAUCCUCUUCUCCAAAACUUGCAACUCUUUUCGAAUAUGCUGCAAAGUAUUAAUACGGACACAUAGCUGUGGAAUCGCAAAGGAACCAUCCCCAUUCGUAGUCCCGACCUGGGCUUUCCUCCUCUGAGCUAUAUGUGGCUUUUCCUUCUUUUUAAAUGCACCAAAUUUUGAUCCUGUUGAACAUCUGGUUAAAGCAGGCAGGGUGGGAAUGAAGGUACUUCGGGUCCCUGCAGAUCACAAAAGAUAAAAAGUACCAUUAAAGAGAUUAGAACUUCAAACUAAAAUGCAUGAAGGUUAUGCAACACUUACCGCAGCCAGAUUUUGCCUUGGAUAUAUAUUGUUGAAGACAUCUGUCAAGACCAGUCAAUAAGUCAGGAAGCAGAACUGGAUGAAUUUGUAUUGGCAACAGAAAGAAUGCUUCCACUGUUUCAUCUAUGAUUCGAAGAACUUCAACAGCAGAGGGAGCAAAACGCUCUUUGUUCGCCUGAGGGUUCCAUACCUAGAGAGAAGAUGUAAGGUUAGGUCAUGGAAAACUAGUAAUCAACAAGUUUCACCAAAUGAGAUCAAAUGGAAAAUGAUAAAUAAUGUGUUCGAUAACUUUAUUUCCAGAUGGAUGAAGCCAAGAUUGCAGGUUUCUAUAAUUUUUUUUUGCAGUUUAGCUACAGGCCCAGCAGAUUUUUCCCAUUGCACAUUUGGGUCCUCAUCAAAAAUUUUGAAGGUAUAAUAUCUUUAUCCAAACUGCAUGUUUAUUUCUUUUCUUUUAUGGACCUCCUUAUGCUUGACAUUAUGCAUGAUGUGAUUGAAUAGAACCUGGAAUAAGUUAGAUUCUCAUAGCAUGGCAAGGGAUAGCAUAAAACUAUAUAAGGGAAUGUGUAGUCAUGCUAACAGAAUCAGGUCAAUAUAUGGGCAGAUUUUUUGAAUCUCAAACGAUAUCAAUCCAAAAUGAACCUGGAUAAGGAUCAGCAAGCGUAGGCUGGAUCCAGAAGUCAAUCUACUACAACAGGACAGACACAGUCUAAGGCCAGGGUGGGGGUGGGACCACAUGGUGGUUGGAAGGAAAGAAACAUCACAUACCUCUUGUUGCAGAUUCCUGUCAACCCAUUCUUUCAGUAUGUCCAAUCUCGUUCUUAUCCAUGACUUAACCAGCUUGGCAACUACAGCUUCAGCUUCAUAAGGAGGCAUCGCCUGUAUAAUUGACUUUCCACCAUCCUCGCUCUCCACUGAAUCUGCAACUGCAAUCAGCACAAGAUCUUUCUCCAAUUUGUCAGCAGAUUUCAACACUUGCAAAGCAUCAGGUGUCAACUCACUGAUGCUCGAAACAAAUUGCUUCAGCUCAUUCCCAUAGCAAGCAUGAAGAGUGGCCACAGCUACACCUGCUGCAAGAGGGUGCCAUUUCUUCAGUAUUGGACUAAACAUCCCUUUCUCAUUAAAAGCCAGUUCGCUAAUGUCUUGUGCAAGGAUGGAAAGGACAGGAAGAGAAUUUUUCCGAUUUUUAGAUAACUGCCUCAUUGAGUCCACCUUCUCCAUUCUCUGUGUUAAGGCACGUAAAACAAAACCUUGAGUAAUAUGUUUAAUAGGAAAUCAGCAAGUGAGCUUGGUUAAAAUAAAUAAAUAAAUAUAACAAGAAUUAGAGAAAAAGUUCAAUUAGAAAAUUUACAUGACCCAAUGUCCAUCAUCCUGAAACAUACCCUGUGGACGCAUAUAGGACAUAUUAGCCAUCUGUAUUGCAGCCACAGUGACCAAUUCAGAGUUCAGAAAAAUUAUGGAAUGGAGAAUGAUACAAGAUUUAGGAAUUAGAAAAAUAUCUUGUACGGGUCCUUUAAUAGAAAUUAAGGAAUAGCUCAGGGAGAAGAGCAAGGAUGAAAAGGAUUGCCUUCUCAAAGAAGCAGGAUAGAAUUUCACUGAUUGUAGAUAAUAUGCAAAAAAGGGACUAAUUGUGUAAUAAAAGAAAUUGUACAUGAUUCAAGAAUUUUGGAGAAUGUCAAAACCAAUAAGCUCUAAAUUGGAAAGAUCAAAACCUCAAAUCUUCAGUUUUCAGCAUUGAAUCAAAAACAUGUUCACCAAAGUACUUAAGGCCAUUGGGCUGGUAAUAGAAGUACACUAUAUAUAUUUCAGGAUCAUUAGGACAGUGGACCUUUUGUUCCAUCUCAUAAUACCUCUUUCAUAAAGGGAGAUAUGCUGGAAAGGUGAACAUUUACCUGAGCAAAAGCAGCACGUAGUGAUGACCUGAUAUAUGUGUCAACCCUGUCACGAGCCACAUCAACCUCUUUCCUCUUUCUACGAUACUCAUGAGAGAUAUCUUCAACCAAUAUCUUGGCUGCUGUUACCCCCAGAGAAACAACAAUUUGCAUUAAAUCAAUAUCACCAUUGCAGAAAGUAUCAUGGUAUGUGAGAAGCCUUUUCUCUGCCCAAACCAAUAUUGAGCUCAAUGUAGAACUCAAGGCCUUCAAGUAAACAGGAUCCUUUGUUGCCUUUGCAUCUUUUUCAACUUCCAUCAACAGAUUAUUUACUGCAAACAGCAGGUCAUUUUCCACUUGGCUGGUUGCAAUAUAGCGGUGAAAUAAGACCCAUGCAAAACAAAGAUUAUGCAGCAUCUGGUUCAUUCCAAGGAUCACCCAAGUCUUUUUUAUGAGUUCCAAAACAUCAUCAACCUCUUCAAUAAUAGAUGUUUCAUCAUUAAUGUCAAAACAAGCUUCUAGAAGCAUUUGGUAUAUUCGGAGAUUCAAAGGAGACCCAUCUGCCCAGUGGCAUGUCUCUGAAGCAUGCCCAUCAAACGAUCUGCAUGCAAGAGACAUCACAGCAUUCCGGAGAACUUGCAUUGACUCACUGUUCUUUCCGGUUUCUAUGGGCUUCUCUAAGGCCCCACGAAUAAUCUGACGAAGCCGUUGUGAAGCAGUGUCUGUUUUAUCUAGUGGCAGGUAAGGAUGCAGGACAAGUCCUGCUUCCAGAACCUUGAGAUUUCUUUUCUGCCAGGCUUCAUAUUCUGGCUGCUUCGGAAAAUCUGAUGACUUGAACUGCUGUAAUAGCUCUAGUGGCAGAACUAUGGAUUCUAUUCGUCUUCCAAGCUGAUAUAAGCAAACAAACACAAGCACAUUGAUUGAGCAUACUGAAAUUUAUAUGCCUGUGAAACUACUCUCCCAGAAGAACAGUUUAGAUAUUAAAAUAUUAUUCAACUCGAUGAAACAGGACAUAACAGUAUAUACAAAAUCGAAACAAAAAAAUGUCACAAAAUUAAUGCAAAAAAAAAGAAGAAGAGAGAGAAUAAUAAUUUGUCAUCCUCGGACACCAAAAUUUGGCCAAAUGUAAUAAGAAAAAAAGGCAUUUAAUGCAAAUAAGAAAAGAAAGCAUAUGCUCUGUUUGGUUGCUGAGAAAUCGGUGGAAAAGAACAUUUUUUAUAUGGGAUGGUUUUAAGUUCGCUGAGAAGAUGUGAAAUUUGAAGCUUAACUAGAAUUAUGUAGCUAAAUAAAGUCGAAAUUUUCUUUCCCCCUCCUUUCCCAAAUUUCUCAGCAACCAAACAAAACCUAAAUUCCUAAUUUAGUAACCUAAACUUCAAAAUUUUCCAGAGCAGAGUUCACACCUGCCCCGCAGCGAUCCUCAACAAGCCUCUCCUAAUCCUCGAAUCGGUCUGCUCCGAGACCCUCAUCUGAAGCCUCAUCAACUCCCCAACCGUCACCGGCUUCUUCGACUUCGCCUGAGCCGCGGAGCUCUCCUUGGCCGCACCCCUCUUCGACGACGAAUUCAGCCCCAACGCCUUCUUCACCUUGCUCGCCGCCGUCGAAGUCAACGACCUUUGCAAAGACGGCGGUGCCCCCGAGAACGACGAUGCCCGCUCCGUCUUCUCCGACUGCGAGAUGUAAGUCAAGGGCUUCCCUCCAGAGCUCCGGCCGGCCCCGACAAAGAUCACGUACGCCGUUUCCCGAAGAUCCGAAUCCGAAAGAGAAUUACCCACCUCACCAAACGGGUUAGGGAACUCCAUAGCGGCGGCGCCAUCCACCAUUAUCAUUGUUGUGUGUCUCUUGGACUCCCCAACACCCCUCUCCCUAAAAAUAUUAUUAGCCAUUAUCGUUACAGACCAAACCCAAACCCAAAACCAAACCAAAACCAAAACCAAAACCUACUUUUUGUGUUUCUCUUAAUUCCCCGAAAAAGCAAGAGCGAAAAAGGGGGUGGUGGUGUGGAGUAUUAUUCUUGCUUGACUUUCAAGGAAUUCAUGUUCGCAGACAACACAGAAUGAGAGAGAAAAGUUCAAAAGUUCAAAGUGUUAGAUAUUGGAUUAAGAUGUGAGAAACGCGGUUUCACGCGGCCCCCCUCUGCGCGUGUUCCCCCUCCGCUAUUAGGUACGUGGAAGAUGUUAUGCCAUUUUCUCUCACUUUCUCUUUCUCUUUCUCCACACCCUCCACCCACUUUCAUGGAAACACAAUCCAAUUGGAAUUUUUUGUUUGUUCAUAAUUUAAGGGGAGAAGUUGUAAAAUUUCUUGUUUUUAAUUUAAUUUAAAUUAUUAAAUAUGUUAAGUUUGUAUAUCAUGAUUUAAAAUUAAAAAUAUUUUUUUAUAAAUAAAUUUUAAUAGAUAAUAUGACAUAAUAAUUUAAAUAUAAUUUAUAUUUGAUGUUAUUAAGUUUUACCAAAUGUAUUUUUACAUAAACCCUAUACACUUUUUUUAAAAAAAAUUUUUGAAAAUUUUAAAUAUUUAUUAUUAUUAUUAUUAGUGCGAAUCAAGAAUCAGUUAAAUAAAUUAAGAUUAAUUUUAUUUGUCUCUCUUUAAUUUUUGGUUAAAUAUAUCUAACUCAUAAGUUUGAAACUUUAUCAUACUCCUCUCUUAUUUUGAGUAAGGGGGAGGUAGUUGAAAAUCAUACAUGGAAAAAUAAGAAAGAUAUUUGAUAAAAUUUAAAAAAUAUGGGACUAAAUACAUUAAUACCAAAUUACAAAGAGGUAAAUGAAAUUUAUUCAAUAAAUUAAAAUGGAUGGUAAAAAACAUGGUUUUAAAACCUGGAUUAGACCAGGUCGACGGUCAAAAAACAUGGUUUUAAAAAUUGGACCAGAUCGACAAUCGGUUGAUCACGGUUCCUGUCCAAAUUGGUGAAAUGGAUUGUAAUAUGGUUGAAUUAGAAUCAGAUAUGGUGAAUCGAUGGUUCAACUGUGAGUUAGCCGAUUCAACCAUUUUUUUUUUUUUACAAUGUCAAAACGAUGUGGUUUACCUCUUCUUUCUUCCCAAUUCCUCGCCCACCUAGGGCUGCGCCACCAUCGCCCUCCCUCCCAUUUUCUUUUCUAGUGAUACUUCUUCCCUCUUAUUUUUAUUUUUAUUUACCUUGUUCAUUUUCAUUAUUAUUUAUUUUAUUUUAUAUUUGUUAUUUUUUGAUUUUAUGAUUUUCAAACCUUGUGAUUUUAAUUUAAAUAUAAUUUUUGAUUUUAAAAUAAGUUUUUGAUUUAAAAAUUCUAAUUUUAAAUUAAAAUUCUGAUUUUAGUUUUAAUUUCUAAUUUGAAACUAGUUUUCUCAUUUUCAACUAAUUUUAUGAUUUUCAAAUAAAAUUUUAAAUUUUAAAUUAUAUAUAAAUUAUAUUAUUUUUAUUUUUAUAAUUAUUUUUAAUUUUAAUAAUUUAUAAAUUAUAUAUUUAUGAUAUCACUAAUUUGAUUAGUUAAUCGUGAAACAGUAAUUUUUUGAAAAGAUUGAUAAAAAGUAAAUUUAUUAAAAAGGUUUGAAACAAGUAAACUAUCUUUCAAAAUGUAAAAUUGUAAAAGUAGUUUUUAACGCGGUUGAAGAAGCGGUGUAUUACAAGGGCUAGGGGUGCACGUGGGAUUGGUGGCGCACAACAGGCAUAAUGCGGAGAGGGGCACGUGGCAAGUAGCAACAUCCCCCACACUUUAUUUAUAUUUGUGUUUCCUGGGACAUCCCCGCUAUUUCCGCCUCUGUUUUUUCUUCUUCCAAUCCAAAGAUACUGGGUCCACUCCAUCUCCCCACACCAGGCCAGCCCAGUUUGAAACGUUGAAACUAAAAACAAAUAAAGAAAUCAAUAAUAAAGUUUAUUUUGUGAUGUAACAUCUUAGAAAAGAAAUAAAUCAAAAUCAUAAUAAAAAUAAAAUUUAAAAUUUGAUAUUUAUGCUAAUAAAUUUUAAUUUCCAUUUUUCUUCUAAAAAAUAAUCCAAACAUAUUAAAAAAAUAAAAAUAAAAUUAAUUUCUCAUUCCCAUUUAAAUUUUAAUUUAUAUAUUCAUUCUAAAAAUAUGAUUCAAAUUUCCCGAUUAAAUGGGCUUAUAAUGUAGGUGUAGCCGCCAUGACCAUAGCUUGUGGCAUUUACAAAUGUCAUAAGAAGAAGAAGCCCACACCCAACAAGACUAAUCAAUGUGUUAAUUAUAAUUUUGAUUUUGUUGGUUGGAAAGAGUCAAGUAGAGGAAGGAGUUUGUGUAGAGUAAUUGUAUGGGAGAGAAGAAUUCAAAGAUUAGAAGAGCCUUCGAUUGAAGUGUCAACAAUUAUGAUAAUAAUAAUAAUAAUAAUAGAAGAAAUAUUGAACAAGAAAACAAAGAGAAAAUAAAGUCAAAGCAGAAAGGGUCUUCGUCCAAAUGAUAGUGAGAAACGGUAUAAGGAUUGGGUGGUUGGGGGAGUGUUUGUUUUGGAGCUUCAAGGUGAUUGUCAUCCUUUCAACUCCAUUGAUGAUUGAGAAAGAAGAAGGAAGAGAGGCAGCUGAGGGGUUUUUGAAGGCAGUUUGAAGCAUUGAUUGCGGAGAGAGGACACACCAGCAGGGCCCAGAUUCACGGAAAAUGUCAAUAUGAAAUCACGAUAGUUUAAUAAAUAUAUAAAUAUAUUGAAUCAAUUAUGAGUUUUUGAUAACAAAAUAUAAAUGAAAAAGAUGAAGAUAUUAUAAGGGGACUUGUAUGUGAUGUAAAUGAACCAAAUUUGGUAUAAAAUAAUGAGACUUAAGUUGCGGGUACCAUAUGGAAUUAGUAAUGUGUCUUUUUUUGAGAGGUAUCGAACGAUCAAGGAUGAAAAUAUCGAUAAUUAUAAAUAUAUCGAUACUUUUAUUUAACGGAUAUAUUGACGGAUAUUUUUACAUAAAAUAUCGGUGAACCUAAAAUUGAUAAAAAUUAUAGAAAUAUAAGAAAAAAGACUUAAAAAUAAAAUUAGAAAUAUAAUAGAUAUUUUAAAAUUGUUUUGUUCAAUAAAUUGAUAUAUGUAUAAUAUAAUUUAUCAUAUUUGAUAAUAAUAUUGUAUGUGCUAAUAAAAAAAAUGAAUUUUAUAAGUAUAUAUUUAUUAUUAAAUUAUAUCAAAUAUUAUUCAUAAUAAUAUUGUGAUAUUUGAUUAUAAUAUAUUUAAUUUUAAAAUAUAUUUAAUAUUAAAAUUAUAAUUCAUUUAAUUUAAUUGUAUUAAAUGAUAUAAAAUAAAUGAUGAUAUAUGUAUGAUUUUAAUACUUAAUUAAUAUAUUAAUGAUAUUAGAAACACUAUGAAGAAAAUUAUCACGAGAACUUUUAUGUUUUUGGUAUUCAAAUAUAUGAAAUUUUUUAUUUAAUUAUAAAAUAAAUAUAAUUAAUUUGUUCUUUAAAACAUUUUUUAAAAAUUAUGUUUAUAUGAUAAAUUCGAGUAUAUAUAUGUUUAUAUAUGAAGAGGCAAACUUGUUCUAGUGGUUGGCUCACUGUAGUCCUGCAACGGAAAUUUGAAGCCAUUUUUAAAAGUUUGACCGCAUAGGUUUGUUGAUCGCAUUGAUCCGUGUUUGAUUGCCCAAAAUAUCGCAAUAUAUUGACGAUAAAUUGAUAAAAUGCUAAUAAAUUCCAAGAAAUAGGUGAAAUUCAUGAAACAUUGAUAAAAUAUCGUGGAACUGAUAUUUUCAUUCCAUAUACCGUGUCGGGAUGUUCCGAUACUCGAUAUUUUAAUCACUGUAUAUGACCUCAAUUGUUGAUUGGUAACAACUCAGAGUCAAAGAGGAGAGAUUUAAAGUUUGUUUCAUACUUUUAGAAAAUAUUUUUGUAUAAAAACAUUUUUGAAAAUGAAUAAAGUGUUUAACAAAAUUUAGAAAACACUUUUAAAAAUUAAAAAGUUACUUGUAAUGCCUUCUAAAAAAGUACCUGUUAAUUGAUUCUCUUCAAAAGGUUUUUAGAGAAAAUACCUCAACUAAAAACACUUCAAAUAAAAAUAUUCUUACAUUAAAAUGAGCAAAAAUGAAUUUACGCCUUAUUAGGGUCAAUAUAAGAAGGAAUAGAUUGAGAAAUAACACAUGUUCAAUUUUAGGGGGAAGGUACUCUGUAACUUUGAGGAGGAACCAAGUAGAGCAAUGUCCUCUCUAAAUUUAAAACCAAAUGCUAUAUUAGAAAAUUGUUUUAAGAAGAUUGUUGAGGGCUUGCGUUACCGGGACCACUGCAGAUGCCAGAUGGACGUGCCUUCUCAACUGAAGAUGAUACUUCCUUUAUUUGACCUGCAAAAGAUGUGCGGACAGGGGGUCCGGACACACCCUCCGAUGGUUUUGUUAGCUUUCAUCUCUAACAUUUUAAUAUUCUCACUUGGGCCCUCCUUCUUUGGGAAAGAAUGCUUACCUUCUUUUAUUGUAUGAGGGCCUUUUAUAGUGUCAGGAGCUUUGUCCCCCUUUAAUGGUGGGAAGACUUUUUGGCUUGUCAUGAUGAUGCUAAGAUGGCGGCAGGGCCAUCAUUAUCCUGCAGGCGACUGUUAGAGAUUAUGGGAGGGAUGACUUGUCGUCAUCCUUGUCUUUUUGCUUUGUAGGCGGCGCGGUGCAGGUAGUGACAGGUUGCCUGAAGUGACCCAAGAGAGUCCCAUCGAGCAUGCUUUUACUAGUAUGAAUAAUGAUGGCCCACGAAACGCGGUCAAAACUUUUGUCUAAGACGCUAGCAUUGGGUCCUGACAGGACGUUCGGACAAGGGAGUGUGGAUAGCAUGUCAGUCCCAUGGUCAUCCGGAUGAAGAGUUGAGAGUGCCACGUGCCCUAUGAGGAAAAUCUUGACAGAGGGUUAGACGUGCCACGUGUCCAAUGGAGGAGUGCUCUGUGAGGCUGCCACGUGUGCGCUUAGGGGUGGUCCCUACAAAAAUGAUUAAAAAUCAUGUAUUGGUGAAUGAAAAAUUAAGCUUAAAGGGAUAAGAUAAUUAUUUUCAAAAAAGAUAUAUUCUUUCUAAAAAAAGAUGUGGACUCGGAAAACAUAUUCUUUCCAACAAAUGUGUUUAGUGUUUAAAGACAUAUCAUUUCCAAUAAAUAUGUUUCCAACAAACAUGUUUAGUGUUUUAAAGACACAUCAUUUCCUACAAAUAUGUCUAGUGUUUUAAAGACAUAAUACUUCCAAUAACCAUCACCUAUGAUUGUAAAUAAGAAUCCCUCUCUGACAUUUAAUUCAUCCCAUUGUUUGUCUACCAUUUCUUUCCAAGUUAUUAUCAAGUAUGGUAUUCCAUGUUUUAUUCCAAUUAUUUCCGGGUGUGGAAUUUCAUUCUAAGUGUGCAUUUUCAAUACAUUUAAGUUUUUGAAGAGAGUAUAAAACAUAGUUUGAUUUACUAUUUCCUGUUAUUUGAAGUGAAAUAAUCAAAAAGUGAAAAUCAUAUCUGUAAGUACUUAAGUGAGACAAAUUCAUCUUAAAAACAUAAAGUCAAUUCUAACCCCAAUCAACCUUGUCUAUGAGUUUAAUUUCUAUUUACUUAUUUUAUACACUUAUUAGUUUAUAUAUUUUCAUUAAUUUGCACAAGAUUCAAUAUACAAUUGAUCAAAUAAUUUAAUCCUUGAUCUUGUUGAUAAGUUUAAUCCACUCAUUAUUAAAUUAAAUUAAACAUUUUCCUAGUAUUUUUCUUGAAAUAAAUUUCUUACUCACUCCAUGUUACGAAAUUUUCCUUUUUAGUAUACUUUUCUCAUUUCUCUAUUAUGUUUUUUCAAGCUAAAUACCCACAAGUAUCAUUUGACAUCAUGAGAGAUUACUCAAAGCUGUGAUGUUCAUUUCCAUACUUUCUAAUAGAGAGAAACAAAAUAAGGAAGAUAAAGAAAAAUAAAAAACAUUAAAAAAAAAAAGAAGAUUUAAAUAGUUGGUUUUCUUUACAUGCUUUUGUUAUAAAAUAAAUAUAAAGAUUAAAGAGAAGAAGUAGAAGAGAAUAAAAUGAGAAAAUAACUUUUUUGUCCCUCUUUAUUAACUCAAAAAACUUCAUUUAUAGACUAAAGGUAAUACUAAUAUAGUGAUGGUACAAACACGACAAUAGUGGUGUCAUCUAUAAACUAUCAUAAAUAUUUAUGACACUCUUCUUGGAUGACAACCAUUUUUUGAAUAAGUUUCAUUAAAACCUUAUUAGGAAAACAAACUCUUUGGGAAAAUCUUAUUGAAGGAAAAAUAAUAUAUUAUUUUUUUAAUACUUUUGAACUAUUACAAUUGCCUUGUUAAAAAUAUUGCUAGUAAAAACUAGUGGAAUAAAACUCGGACGAAGGGAAAAAGUGUAUAGUGUAUAGACAUUUUUAUUAAUAUGCUUGCCCUCAUGUAGACAUGAUCAUACUUUCUCUAGUAGCUUAACAUGAAGAUCUUUGAAUCGAUGCAUUCCAAUAGUAUAUAUGAGCUUCUUAAGUGUUGUUGUUGACAAUGCUUUUGUGAAUAGUCUACUAAAUUGUGUUUCAUCAUAUUUACUCAACAUUAAUUUCAUCACUCUUUUAGAGCUCAUGGUGCAAAAAGAACUUAAGUCAUAUAUGUUUAGUUUUAUCACCCUGAAUGUAUCUUUCUUUAUCAUAUGUAAUGCUUGCAACCUUAUCUUUGUGUAACAUAUUUAAAUUGUCUUUGAUUGAAGAUAACUUGCGUGAUUCUCAAAUAUUUUGGAUUAUAAAUCUCAACCACACACAUUUCCAACUUGCUUAAUGAAUUACAAGUAAGUUUUAAUGAUUUGAAUAAGUAGUUACCAUUGUUCGCUUCAAUAACAUCGAUUUAGGAAGGUAACGAGCCAAUAACUAAUACUUACUCUUUUUCCUUGGACUCCAAUAUUUUCAAGUUGGUGCACUAUAUGUUACUUGUAACUUCACAUAAAUGAUAUAUAUGAUCUUAUACAAUUUAUCAAAUGUAUUAAUGCAUUAAUUGUAAUGAGAUAUAGUGCUUUUGGACCAAACAGUUCUUUAUUAUUUUAUUUAAGAUGAAAUGAGUCUUUGUUCACUUCAAGUAAAUGAACAACCAUGGAGAACUUAGUGGAUGUGAUUUGUCUUUAUAAAAAUACUUCAAGACAUUCUUUAUAUAUGUUGAUUGAUAAACCAACACUCCAUUUGGAAAGUACUCAAUUUAUAGUCGAGACAAAAUUUGUUUUUCCAAGAUCUUUUAUUUCAAAUUCCCUUUUUAGAUAUUUGUUUUUGUGAGUUCUUCAGAAGUCCCAAUUGAUUCAAAUUGCCCACAUAUACUAUUAAUUUAGUUGCCAAUUUCUUAAUGAAUAUGCAUGGACAAAUGAGAUUAUAAACAUACCUUUCUCUCAAUAAAUAUUCAUUGAGAUAAUUGUAUCAUAUGCAUUGGGAUUGCUUAAUCCAUACAAAGAUCAUUGUAGCUCAUUGAAUACAUGCCAUGAGGUUUCAAACUAUGUAAUUUAGGCGUCUUACAUCUUUAGGAAUUUGUUUGUUUUAACCUUUUAAAUCCUUUAGGGACUUUGUUGUUUUGUGUAUUUGGAAUCUUUCAAGCAUUUUAGCAUAACUUAACAUUCAUAUAAUUAUAUAAUACAUAUUGAUAGUUAGGAAAUCUUAUGCUAUAAUUUUUGCAUUAUCAAUCUUAAUAGUUAAGAACAUGAUUAAUUAGUCAUUACAAGAGUUGAUAUAAGGUUUAUGUAGGAAACCUUAUGCUAUAAUUUUUGCAUUAUCUUAAAUACACUUUUGUAUGAUAACUCAUUGGUAUCCAACUAUUUUUAUGUCUUCAAUUGUUAGACUUCAAGUCUAUUUAUAUUCAACAAGCUUGAUGUCUAUGCCAGUCAUAAUUGUGUGAUUGAAACUACAUAUAGAGUGCAAAAUUGAUCAACUACUAAAACUUUUUAGAAUUGCACCAUCGCUAGUUCAUUUUGCAUGACCAUGCAAACUUGGCUUCCUCUUUGGGUUUUUUUUUUUUUUUUUGUGUAAUUCACUUCAAUUGCUUAUAUAUUCCUUGUUUUAACUCCAAUUUGUGAACUGUUUGAAGUGUUGAAUUGUUGACUUCUUGAUCUUCAAAGCCAUAUGUGGCUUGCCCUAAAAAGAUCAUGGAAUUGCUCCAAAAUUCACCUCAAAUUUAGUAUAUAUAUAUAUAUAUAUAUAUGUUGUUAUUAGGUUUGAGUUCCAAAUUUUAUUUUGAGUUUAAUUGCAUUUGAUUCAAAUCUUCUUCUUCAUAGUUGCUUGUCUUUUACCUCUCUCCAUAACAUUGAUCUCAUCUUUAAUGCUCAUAACUUUCUUGUUUUGCCAUUGAAUGGACCCUUAUCAUGCUUCACAAGUCCCGAAUAUUUUUUUAGACACAAUUGACCCAUCUCCUUUGAUUAAAAAGGACUUUUGCACUUAGCAUUUUUUUUAAAUCUUUUAAACUUGAAAUUACGCUUAAAAUAGAAGUUAGAUUCAUAAUUAGGGUAUUAACAUUAGAUUAAGUUAAAUUAAGUGAUUCAAGCUUUUUAAAAUGCAUGAAUCUUAAUGUUUAUGUGCCAUUAGAACACAUAUUUUGGUUCUAAUCAUUUAUAUAACAAAAUUAGAAAUUGUCUCUAUAACUCCUGGAUACAGAAUUGUUAAUUAACAAUUUUGCUUUACAAAAUUUUUUGUUAUGCAAUAAAAUUUUAGAAAUUUUGUGCAUAGCUUUUGGUUAUGAGGCAAUUGUCAAUAAAAAUUGUUUUCAUAAUUUCUGAUUAUGAGAUAAUAGAAAUAAAAAUCAGAAUGAUAAAAACAAAUUAUAAUGAAUACUACUUUUCGUAUAUCUUUCUAAAUAAGAGUGUUUAAAGAAAAUAAGAUUACAUAUCACUUCAAAUAUAAUCAAGAAUUUCGGAUAAACAAAAACUAUUGUAAUUGAAUUUAUCUCUCUUCGUCAAUAGUGUCAUGUUGAUAAUGUGUUAUAAAAUAAACAUAAAGGCUAAAAAAGAAGAAGGAGAAGAGAAUAUAUGGAGAAAAUAUCUUAGUUCUUCGAUGUCUUUAUUAUCUCAUAAAGUCUUAUUUAUACAUCAAUAAUAAUACCAAUAUGUUAGGAGUACAAACUUGAUCGAAUAGUGUUAUCAUCCACAAAUUAUCGAAAAUGGUUUUUAUAUCAUUCAUUUUUCAUAUAAUAAUAAAAAUAUUUAAAAACACAUAGAUUUUAAAUAUUCCAAUUAUAUUUUAUUUUCUUCGGCCAAGCUCAUUUUCAAAUUUGAUAUUACUAUCCAUUUCCUGAAAUUGAAAUGGGAGUAAACUUUUACAGCACACUAUUUUAGCGCCAAGUGACCAGACCAAAGCAACAGAAAACAGUAAUUCAAAAUUCGAAACCAAAAUGAAGCCUACGCCUAGGCUUCGCGAGGCCAUCGACGCGCUGUACAGUCGCGGCACUGCGAACUCCGAAUCCUACACUCGUCUUCUGCUCCAAUGUGUUAGAUCAAACGACGUUGUUCAAGCCAAGAGACUCCAGACCCACAUGGAUCUUCAUCUCUACCAACCCACCGACACCUUCCUUCAGAACCGCCUUCUUCACCUCUACGCUAAAUCUGGGAACCUGUCCGAUGCUCGAGACCUGUUCGAUAAAAUGUCUCGCAGAGAUGUUUUCUCCUGGAAUGCUAUGCUUUCUGCUUACUCAAAGUCAGGCAAUGUGGAGGAUUUGCGGGCAGUGUUUGAUCAAAUGAGUGUUCAUGAUGCUGUUUCGUAUAAUACAGUAAGUAUUUUGUAAUGUUUUGGAUUGAGUUAUGGUUUUGAUUUGCCUGUGAUCUUAGUAAUUAAUGGUUAUUGAGAGAGACAUCAAGGCUGAGGGCCAUAAUAUAACACUAUCAUAUAAAAUGAGGAGUUUACCGCCGAUUGUCUGGCAUCCUUGACGGUACAUAAGUUUCUUUUAUGAAUAGAAAUGCUAUGAAUUCAAUGGCCUGUUUGGUGGUGAAAUGAGGACUGUUUUCUGUUUAAAGAAGAAAGAAUGAAAAUGGAAGCCAGAACAUGUUUGAUAACAUGUAUUUGAAAACCUUUUCGGGAAAUUUCAUUGAAAAGUUUCAUCCUUAGGAAAUUUUAUUUCUUUGUGUUUUCAAAAUGCAAGCACCUAAAAAUUUUAGAGUGGUUAAAAAAUGAACAUGUUUACUGUGUGCAUUUUAAAAAACAAAAACAGUUCUAAAAAAAACAUUGCAAUUUUCCAUAUGAACUAAAAUUUGGUGGGAAGUUUAUGAUUUUUUUACUUUACCAAUUUUCUUUUAUUUUAAUGGUUUGCAAUGAAAGGAAGUGAACUGUCUACCUUGCUUCUAAUCAUGUGGUAGCAAACAUACGAGAAAAUCAACUAUUGACCAAAAGGGUUCUGGAUCAGUGAUAGACAAUAUUAAUGAGAGUUUGUGUGAUUAUAGUGCAAAAGUAGGGCUUUUAAUUUGUUGAAGUUAAGCUUUACCAAUUAACUCAGAAAAAUCCAGCCUGUACACUUUGUGUUCAAACUCAUAGCUAGUUCAAAAUUAAAAACUGAUUUGAAUAUUAAUAUAUUAUCCAAUUGGAUAUCCUUCACUGGGCCUUGUGUUCCAUACUCAAACUAAAGACCAGAUUUUCACUUCAUAUCUUACAACGACCGACUUGCUCCACCAAAGACUUGCUUGCUGAAAGCUACUCAAUUUGCCUAUUUUCAGACCAAACUCAGUGUUAUACAUAAGCAAUUUAGAUAUUCAUUUCAAACUCUUUCAUGCUUAUUCAAAUUAGGAUCUAAAAGUUGACUAUCCAAUGUUCUUACAUAGAUAUGAUUUCCAUUUAGAAAUGGCAUGGAUAUAUGACUUCUAUUUAGAAAUAAAGAUGUUUUAGAUAAAGUGUGGUUAGAAGCCAGUAUAUUUUGGGGUUUAAUAUUUUUUUUAUUCAUUUGUAUUGGAUGAAAGGAAAGGGAUUGCAACAGUAUAUUCAUAAGUGCCGUAAGGCAAUACUAUUAACCCUCCUCUUAAAUGUAUUACAUAAUAAAUUUUAAAAUGGUACAAAAUUAGCUAUACGCCAGUUUUAAGGGGAUUUUUGUGAUUAUAGUGCAAAACAUGGGCUUUUACUUACCCAUGUUGAUUUUGUUAUCCUUAUUCCUUAAUCCAGAACCAUUUGUGUAUGAAUUUUGAUUGUAGUUCACCCCCUUCUCUCCAGGUAAUUGCAGGUUUUUCUGGAAAUGGCUGUUCAAGUCAGGCUCUGGAGUUUUUUGUUAGAAUGCAGGAAGAAGGAUUUGAGUCCACAGAUUAUACCCAUGUGAGUGUGCUACAUGCAUGCUCACAGUUAUUGGAUAUUAAGCGGGGAAAACAAAUUCAUGGUAGGAUUGUUGCAACUAGUUUGGGGGAAAGCGUUUUUGUUUGGAAUGCUUUAACCAAUAUGUAUGCCAAGUGUGGUGCACUUGAUCAGGCUAGGUGGUUGUUUGAUCGAAUGGUUAACAAGAAUGUAGUAUCAUGGAAUUCAAUGAUAUCUGGUUAUUUACAAAAUGGGCAACCUGAGACAUGCACCAAGUUGUUUUGUGAAAUGCAGUCAUCGGGUCUGAUGCCUGACCAGGUUACAAUUUCAAAUAUUCUCAGUGCCUACUUUCAAUGUGGCUAUAUAGAUGAAGCAUGUAAGACUUUUAGAGAGAUUAAAGAGAAGGAUAAGGUUUGUUGGACAACAAUGAUGGUGGGUUGUGCGCAGAAUGGAAAAGAAGAAGAUGCUUUGCUGUUAUUUAGAGAGAUGCUAUUGGAAAAUGUCAGACCAGACAAUUUUACCAUAUCAAGUGUGGUUAGUUCCUGUGCAAGACUAGCUUCUUUAUGUCAAGGUCAGGCAGUUCAUGGAAAAGCAGUUAUUUUUGGCGUUGAUCAUGAUUUGCUUGUGUCUAGUGCCCUUGUUGAUAUGUAUUCCAAGUGUGGAGAAACUGCAGAUGCUUGGAUUGUGUUCAAAAGGAUGUUAACUAGGAAUGUGAUUUCUUGGAAUUCCAUGAUUUUGGGUUAUGCACAAAAUGGAAAGGAUCUAGAGGCCUUGGCUCUUUAUGAAGAAAUGUUGCAUGAAAACUUGAAGCCAGAUAAUAUUACUUUUGUGGGUGUUUUGUCUGCUUGUAUGCAUGCUGGUUUAGUUGAACGUGGACAGGGAUACUUUUAUUCUAUCAGCAAAAUUCAUGGGAUGAACCCUACUUUUGAUCAUUAUUCAUGUAUGAUCAAUCUCCUUGGUCGUGCAGGUUACAUGGAUAAAGCAGUAGAUCUGAUUAAAAGUAUGACCUUUGAACCUAAUUGCUUAAUUUGGUCUACCCUUUUAUCUGUUUGUAGAAUUAACUGUGAUGUCAACAAUGGAGAGAUGGCAGCAAGGCAUCUCUUUGAAUUAGACCCACACAAUGCUGGACCGUAUAUUAUGCUUUCUAACAUUUACGCUGCUUGUGGGAGAUGGAAAGAUGUGGCAGCAGUAAGAUCUCUCAUGAAGAACAACAAAAUUAAAAAAUUUGCUGCCUAUAGCUGGAUUGAGAUUGACAACCAGGUCCACAAGUUCGUAGCAGAAGAUCGAACUCAUUCUGAAACAGAACAAAUUUAUGAAGAGCUGAACAGACUAAUAAAAAAGCUGCAGGAAUCUGGAUUUACACCUGAUACUAACUUGGUUCUACAUGAUGUGGUAGAGGAGGAGAAGUUUGAUUCCAUCUGUUACCACAGUGAGAAACUUGCUCUUGCAUUUUGGUUGAUCAAAAAGCCUCAUGGAAGGACACCCAUAAGGAUUAUGAAGAACAUUCGUGUUUGUGGUGACUGCCAUGUGUUUAUGAAGUUUGUAUCUAAGAUUAUUAGGCGGCCGAUAAUCUUGAGAGAUAUAAACAGAUUCCAUCAUUUUAUCGAAGGGAGGUGCUCCUGCAAAGACAGUUGGUAAUGAAGUAUCUGGCAGAGAGGAAAUGUUAGCAUAUCAGAAAAAUCUUCAUGGAAACUGCUGAAAAGAGAGAGAUGGCAAUAUUCAGUCUCCAAUAGGAGAAAGAGGAAUUUCAGGCAUUGCCUUAAGAGGAAUUUCAGGAUGGUGUUAAUAAGUCUUCUGUGGAUGGUUGAGGAGCCCGGAUUUAUAGAGUUGGAAGGAAAAAUGAAAUAAGAGCAGCAAAGAUGUCCUCCUUGAUUGCUGAUGGUUGGAGUUUUCACUAAGACUCAAAUAUCUUAAAGCUCUCAGAUGAGAAACACAGUAGCUGAAUAUGAUAAGGUAUCAAGUGCAAGUGGUUGUAACUGGAUUUUGUUGGCUGUUGGUAACGCAUGAUACUUGAAGGGGGAGGAAACCCAGCGGAGAUGAUAACCAUUAUACUGCUGUCUCAGAGUUUUUUAAGAUGGCCGGUAUAUUCAUUUUUUUUCCUUGGAUUUGGUCUGGUCUGGGGGAUUGUUAAAAUACCGAAAAGGAAAGCAAUCCCAUGAAGCACAAACUUAGUAUUCAAGAUCAGGAAAUCCCAGCAUAUAACAUCUUCCCAAGCUCUUCAGAUGUUCGAUCACUGAGGUUGAGCUUUGUCUCAAUGCUAUUCUCGAACUUGCUAAAUUGUCAGUUGUAGUUCCUUUCCCAUAAGUGUACUGAAUUUAAUCCACCAGUUUUGGUUCAAGAUUUCCUUAAUAGCACUUAUUAAUGUACAUCUGGAUCUGCAUCUCUUUCCUGAUCCUGGAAUAUGUCAAUGAGUAUGCAGAAUAUGGCUAGAAGGGCAUAUUAAUGGCACCAUCUGGUAUGACAACUUCAUACUUGGGGUAUAAUAAUCACUGCAAAAUCAUUUUGAGGCACCAUUGGAUCUUUAACAUAGCUAACAUUUUCUUUAUCACAUGCAGUUCUGUCACUCUCUGAGGGUUUUGUGUGCUUUUGCUGCUUCUUCACUUUAAAUAUCCACUAUGUGUGCUGGUGGUAACAAAUAAUUCUGAGGAGGGGGGAUGUUUGGUGGAUUAAAAUAGGUGUUCCUUGUUGAAGAUACAAGUUUUUCAGCGAUUAAAAUAUCCUUUAAUCAAUAUGCUUUCAAGAUGAAGUCAAUCCCACAAUCAACAUGCAAUGUCCGUGAAAAACCACCUACAAUGUUUUCCAGAAACUUUGCAGAUGUAAAAAUCACAAAUCAACCAAUUGCAGAGCAAAUUUACUGAUUCGAAGAGAACAAGGACGUGAUUUUACCUAGACCGGAUUCUAGCUCUCCCAGGGGUUUUACACAAGUCAACACCUACAUUUGUCUUCGUGUCCACGAUGCUCCUUAGUGGACUCCUCAACGAUUUGAGGGGAUGAAUCAACCACCAUGAUCAAUCUCAAUCAAAGUAGAGGCCUUGAGAGUGUUGGGAAUGCAUAGAAAAUAAUGACAAUGAUAUAUUAUAGGCAGAAGGUGUGUAAAAACUAAAAACACAAUCAACAGGUGUAUUUAUAGCUGAAAAAACCGUAGUGGGUCAGGCCAUGAUAGUUAGGUGGAAAUAAUUAAAAAAAAAAAAAACCUAAUUGCUCAAAAUUUACCACAAGUGUUUGUGUGCUCUCAUAGGGCGCUUGAAUUCUCUUGCAGGUGCUGAAGCGCUCCUCUUAAAAUUUUGUAUUUUUUCUGUUAUACUCAAAACCCACUCAAGGCUAUUACAGUCAUUUUACACCUCAAAACCGAAGGUUUAAAGUGAAAACAAUACAAAUAUUCAUCUUGUAACUGAAAAUGAUCAAUUACUAAAUUUUUGUUCAAAGUAAUAAAAUAAAUGAAUUCUAAAAUAUCCAGAUAUCAACUUUAAAAACUAACAAGUUGAUAAGAGGACCAUAAGGUCAACUAUUAUAACUCAUUGACUAGAGUCAUAUAAUAUCAACUAUUAUAACUCUUUGAUUGGGACAGAUAUGUCAACAAUUAUAACUCGUUGACUAAAACCAUAAAAAUCAGAGUUAAACACUUCAUUUCAUUAAUUCAAACUUACAAAACAAAAUAUCAAUCUUCACAAUUUUCAUUUUUCAUAAACAAAGGAAAUGCCCAAAUAAUUUUUUCAUACAAAACAUAUAUUUGAUCUAUGUAUAGAAAUAAAAAUAAUAUUUUUACACAUUUUAAAAUAUAAUAUAAAAAAAAAAACUUAUUUCCUUUUACAAAAUCUGUAUUAAUUUCCCUUACCUUGAUGAAACACUCAAUAAUCUUGAAAAAUUUACUCCUCACCUAACAUAAUGUCAUACACACGCCAUUUAUUAUUGAUUAGUUAUCUAGAGAUAUAAAUUUGAUAAUCCUAACAAUAUUUUAUAUAGUUCUCAGUAAUUCUAAUUAAUUUCUAUGUUAACAUUAUUACAAAUAAUAUUACUCUCAACUUCUUAAACAAUAAUAAAUUAAUUUAAUAAAUUUCCAAGUUUUUAUAAAAUUCAUGUUUCUCCCUAAUUUUAUCUUAACUAAUUAUUUCUUUAUAUACUUAAAUUAAAUUAAAGCUGGUACAAAAACUAUUAUUAUUAUUAUUAAUCCCAAUAUCCUCACUUACUUGACAAACUACUCUUUAACAAUUCUAAUAACCCCACCAACUCCACUCAUUAUUAUUAUUAUUAUUAUUUUAAUUUAUUCCACUACCACUCUUUCAGCCUUUCACCGUCAGAUUGAUGUUUUAUUUUUUAUUUUAUUUUAUUUUCACUCAACAAUAAACAAUCUCAUAUUCGUUUUCUUCUUUUUUUUUUUUUGUUGAAAUUGUCACCCAACAUUCCACCUCAAAUUCCAAAAUCCAGCAACCCCACAAUUCUUUUUAUUAUUAUUAUUAUUAUUAUUAUUAUUAUUAUUAUUAUUAUUAUUUUCUUUUUCUAAUCUAAAGUCUCCACAAACUAUUUAUUUAUUCAUUUUAUAAAUCUAAAAUUUAUUUUCUUUCACUAAUUUUUUCAUUUAUUUACUUUCUAUUCAAUUAAAAUUUUCCUAUUUUCAUCAAUAAAUUAAUUUGCAUUCAUAAAUUUCCAAUCUUUUGGUCUAAAAAAAUUAAAUAAACAAACUCUAAUUUAAAUUGAGAUUUCUAAAGUAUUCAAAUCUAAUUAAUGAAUAUAAAAUACUAAUAAUUAAAAUCUUACUUGAAAAGUUCAUCUUUAAACCCUAAACGUCCAAACCUUCAACUUUAUACUUUUUUACAUUUAUGAUCUUCGUGUAAAAGAGUUUUUUGAAUAAAGAAAAUAGAAAAAAUUGAAUUUAUACGUAAGGCUUUUAAAAGCAAAAAGACUUUUCCACCCUUAUUAGAUUAAUUAAUUUAAUUAAUAAAAUUUUAAAUUACUAUUUUACCCCUAAAUUGGGUUUGGGUAUUACAUUCUGGAUUCAAAUUCUGGUCUAUUAUACGAUUUAGCUCAUAAUACACCUAAGCAUACCUUUCUUCACAAAACAUACUCAACCACACUUACCUAAAUGGUCCUUUGUAUUUAAUUGGCAUUGAUCUUGUGUCUUUAAGGCCAAUGUAAAAACCCAAGAUGUGCAUAGAGUCAAUCCAAGGAUGUUUGGUACAAAAUUGCCAACCUAGACUAACUAGACUAACUUUAACAAUUUGUACUACAAACUAGGGUGGGUUUACAGUUUUGGAUUUUGGUUUCCAUGGACAAAAUACAAGGUCUAGUGUAGUCUCGGUUGUUGCUAAAAUAGCUUCAUUUUUUCCCUUUAUAUGUUUCUCUUCCUUUUGAGGAAUUUAUGAUAUUUUAACUAAUUAGGAAACAUGCAUGAAUUUGGUAAGAGAAGAUACUUUUUACGAUGAUGCCUAUUCUCCCCUACACACAGCUCAGAUUCUUCCAAUUCCUUCUGAUGUAUGUUACAUAUGUACAAUGUGGAGGACCAUUUCAAAUUAUUGGCCAUUUCCAUUUACACGAAAGCUUGGAAUUUAGUGGUAGCUUUUGAUUGGUAUAGGUACCAGGUUCCAAUAUGGAGGUGUCCUGUGCAUUGUGGUAACAUUGUAGAAUGUUUUGGCUCUAGGGGAGAGCAUCCCAGAAUCCCUGUGAAUGAAUGGGCCUAAUGCAGAGCUAACAGAGUUCUUAGUACAAAUGGAAGCUACAGGCCAAAGAGGACUACCGUUGCUCCCGGUCCAUGGACUUGACAGCCUGUGGGUCUAGCUCAUUAGAUCUCGCAAGGCUUGGUUUCUAGCUUGUUGACCCAGAGGGCCAUUAAGGUGCUCUCCUCCCACUCAAGUAGGUCAUGGCGUAGACAAUGAAAUUAGGCCCUUACUAGAAUCAUAACAUGCUCUGUUUUGCUGUUUUGUCAAAUUUUCUCUUCAAGAAGAACAUGGUAGCACUACUACUUGUUCAAGCCCCAUACCCCUACUGCGCAAUAUUCCAACUUCCUCAAAAUUGUAUUCAAUUAUCUGCUGAUUUAGCCACAAGAAGUUAGAAAACUGACUCUACAAUGAAUUAAUUCGUAACUCACAUGGAGGAUUGGUUCUAAGGUGGGUAAUUGGGGUUUGGUUGAAUAAGAACUUAUUCUCACCAAGCCUACUUCAGGAAUGAGUUGUUGGCCAGAAGAUUUCCAGCUUGAGGAGAAUUUUCUCAAGUUACAGGGUUAGGUGAUGCACCCAUCUUUGAUCCCAACCCACUUAUAUUAGUCAGAACUCUACUCCAACAACAAUGUACUGCCAAGGAGUCCUAUGCACAAAACCCAUUUUCCAAAGCUUUGUGUUCACAGGCUUGUGAGCACCAGAGGGUGCAAUUACCUGAAAACUGGCUAGAAAGUAUAAGUGCAGUAACCACAUGCCACUGUUGGGAGGACAUGAAAUAAACAAUGUCAUGUACAAUGAUGUUGAUGGUUUUAACUAGAUUUCACACUCCUUUGUCAUGGCUCCAGGUCUCCUUGAUAAUUCACAUUGAUAGCCUCAUCCUGUCCUCUUCCAGGUACAGAACAUAGGCUAGAAUGCCCGGCAUUUUUAUAUAAUUCACAGUAUAAUCCAGCACUAAUCCUCCCCUUCAUGUUUUUGUCAGGACUUUUACUCAGAAACUGCCAAAUACACAACUCAUUAGGUUGUGUCUAAUCAUUCUAUAAAUAAUAAUUGCUUUGUAGACUGUCCAAGGUUUGCUUAAGGCUUCUUCAAUGAGAGUGUCUCUUGAUGUCCCUUGAAUCAUUGUGUGCAGCUCACUUGGCCAUGUUACCAUGUGCUUUCCCUGAAUCACCUCCCAAAGUCUUGUCCAAGAAUUUCCACAGUUAAGUUUUAAUUUGGAGAAGGUGCAUGAACAUAUGUAGAAAAGUUGGAGCCUAUCAUCAGUUCAUCACCUACCCACAAUCCUUGCCUUUUCUUACUGAUGCAAUAAUCGACACAUGAUUAAACUUUAGGAGGCAUGAACAGAAGACAACAUAGGUACAAAAGUGGAAUCAUGGGCCACAAGAAUAUGAAAAAAAAUGAAAACACACAUUCACACACAGGAUCUAGAUGGAAAAUCAAAAGGAAAGCCAGAAAAUUCUUCUGUAAGGAUGCAUGUUACAAUUGUAUAAAGACCAGGAAGAACCCCUGAAGACAUUAUUUUCAUGCUUUUUUUUUUCCUUUUUCCUCUUUUUAGCUGAUGAUACCACCGUGUUGUUGCAUGUGUGGUUUCUAUUAUGUCAGCUGCCCAUGAAAAAGGCCCUGCACGUGGAUUUGAUGAGGUACCUCAUGUGGGCUUCAUUGGCAAGUUGAAAAUAAGAUCUGUCUGCAACACUUGUAUCCGCCGCAAAUCUAUGGCCUCCAGACUGUUCUUCACCACAGCCAAAACACCGGUCACCCCCAAAUACCAUUGUCUCGUCGGCCAGAUAAGGAACCACCUUUCAAUAACACCCACCCACAUACGACAGGUCACAACAGAGUUUGACCAUAGAUCAUCAUCAUCAUCAUCAUCAUCAUCUGAGAGAUCAAGCAAAGACACUGAUAUGCAGGUCGGCACCAUCCUGCAACGCAAUUGUGGCCCCAAUGUGUCUUUGCUUGAUGGGUUGCAGUCCCCUUCAUAUCUUCCUGAAUCUUUAUCAACUUUUUGUAAAGAAUAUCUUUGGGGCCACUGGGUCACCAUAGUAGGUGACUCGAUUAAUCAUACUCCAAUCUCACCAGUACCCAUGAAGUUAUCUUUUUUGUAUCGACACCUUAACAUAAUCAUUUUGAUUAUGAUGUUUCCACGCUUUGCUUAAAGUGAAAUCAGGAUUAAGCCCAGUAAAAGUUCUUCCUCUCCUCUCAUCCUGUUUGUCUCCCAAGACUAUGCGGGUGGGUCCAAGCAUUCGUGGAUCCAUCAAAAGAUUAAAGUAUAAGUUCGUUAAUUUUGUAAUUUGGCUUCAUGAUUGACCCAUUUGAUUGUGAAGGGGAUGGAUUAGGAUCAUGGUUAGGGGCAUAAUUGCCUGGAGAAGGCCAGAGGGCAGAGAAUGAGAAACACGUGUGUUUGCUCAGUGAUUCCAUGGGCCUUCUGUUUGUUUCUGUGCAGUUGGGGUGAGGAAUGUGAUGGAACACAUCACUGUUCCAAUUAGAGAGAUUUCACCUUUUUGCUUGACCAUUGUUUAACUUCAUAUAACUUUUAACACAUCACUAUUAUGGUGCCUAGGCCAUGGGCCUAACAAGCGUCUACAUAAAAACAAUUCAUGCAUGCAAAUUGGAACAGUGAUGUGUUAAAAAUAGAAUUUGAGAUUCAUGCUUCCAAAAAGUAGUUCAAACAAUUAACCAAUUAAAAUGAAAUUGAUUUCCCAUUCCAUGCAUGCAUUCAAAAAACGACUUAAAACCUGUUUAGUAAUGAUUUUAGGAAGUGUUUCUAACCUUUAUAAUAUUAGAAAAUUUUUAUCAAUCAAGUAUUAAAAAGAUUAAAAGUGUUUUUUAAAAUUACUAUCAAACACACUUUUAAUGCAUUUUCGAGUUUAUUGAGUUUGUAAAUAAUAGGAAGAAUGAAACUCUUGGAAUUAAUUUAGCAUAUCAAGCCGUGAAAGACUCUGAAUUUAUAGAAAAUGAUUACUUAGAAAAUGGUACAAGAAAAUCACGUGGGUCACGUAUUUGGUGUUUCUAAUCGCAAAUUUCCACAAUCUGUUUCUUUUAGUCUAAUCAUAUCUGCCUAUAAUUGCUAUUUUUGCAUCCUUAAUUUAAGGCUAAUUGCUUUUUCAAAUAUGGAAAUAUCCUUUCACAAUCAGACACAGCCCACUUGAUAAAUUCCUGCUUUUUUUAUUUUAUUUUAAAGAAAGGUUUUUUCUAAAGCAAACUAAACAACAAAUUUGAACAAAUCCGUAUGGGGGGUAUUAAAUUGAUGUAGCGAACAAAUCUGUCAUAUGAAAUGGACCCAGCCCAAAACUAUGACCAUGGAAACAUGAAGACCCUGGAUUUUCUCUUUUCGAGUUUCUUGGCUGCCAAUCAUGGUUCCAACUCCACCCAAAAGGUGCUGUUUGGGAAAAGGGAAAAUUUGCCCUGUUGUUUCAUGCAUAGCCAUGCAAUAAGAGACCCACCCAAAAUGUAUUCCUUGAUCAUUUCUUGAGAAAAUUUUGGUUUGAAAAAAAAAGGAAAAAAAGGUAAGAAGAAGGAGCGAGGUUGGAAUUGGAUUGAUUUGGACAGCAAUGUGGGAUGGAUUGAUGAGAGGGGGGUGUGUGAAUGAAGAUGGAACUUUUUGUGAAUAGAAGCACGUGUUUAAUUUUCUUUAUCUUUUAUAUUACAACCAAAAUCCAAUCAAAAAUCUGAUGUUGGUUGUUUGCUUUUGACAGCCGCAAAUCUUGAAAAAGGGCGAAAAUUGUAAAAGGCGGAGGCGGUUGACUACUGCAGGUGACUGUGGGGGCGGUGGUGGUGGUGGUGGUGGUGGGAGCCAGAAAGAAGGAAAAAAAAAAAAAAAAAAAGGAAAAAGAAAAAAGGAAUCUGAGGAGCAGUGGUCAGUGGUCAGUGGUCAGGGUGACUGUACAAUCCAGUGAACCCAAUGUUGACCCGUGAAGGCACGUGCCUGUGACCGAGUCCAUGCCGACAGUCUCCAUCCAUUGGUCAGUUCUUCUCAAAAAAAGAUAAAAAAAAAGGAAAAAAAUUCAACACUUUUCCCCAUCUGCUUUGCUGGAUUCUGGAGGCUCCCAUCAAGACAUUUUAGCGCUUCCACCGCCGCUGCCACUGCCUCCUUCCACUGCAACACCACCGCCACCUCGUGCCCUUGUUUCUACCCUUUCAAAAUCUACCAAUUUUGUUAAAAAAAAAAAAAAAAAAAAUCCAUGCCUUCUACCAUGUGAAAGAAAUUUUAUUGGUGGUCUGGUUUGGUCUUCCCAUUUGUGUUCAUGGGAUGAUCGAAUUAUUCUAUUUGUCAUGGUUGAAGUAACAGUGCUUACAUUUAUUAGUGUAUUAGAAUAUUUGAAGGUCAGAGAGAGGAGGAAGAUAACAUGAUAUGUUGACAUUGUACAUUUGUGCCAUUGUCAAUGAAAAUCCAUAUUUUUCAUGUUUUUAAGGUGGGCAAUUUGAGAGAUUAGUCAUAGUUUUCCAUUGCUAAAUGCUGGUGUUUCAUCAAGUUACCAAAGGGGUAUGUUUUGGAAAAGCAUAUUUCCAUGCAAACUUAAAAAAAUAAAAAAAAUAAAAAAAGAAAAUAAAAAAGAAAUCUUUAAAAAUAAUUAAAAUUUCAUCCAAUGUUCAAAAAUAGAAUUUAAUUGAGUCAAAAUAAGUAUUUAUAAGAUAUGAUUUUGAUAACAUAAAAUAUAUUUUGAAAUGUAAAAAGGCAACUUAAUUUUAUUUCACAUUAAAAAAAAUUAGAAAAUAUAAAAUUUGAUAACUUAAUAAAUAGUUAGUAUUAUGUUUAAUGAUGGUAAUGAGGUAAGUUUUUCUUGGGAUUCAUCUCGCUCCUAAUGGAGAAUGUUUAGGAUAAAGAUAAACCGAUUUAGGACAAGUAUAAUUUUGUCUUAUUUUAAUUGAUUUUUUAUUUUAUUUAAAAAAUUUUUAAAUAUAAAUAAAAUAUUAUUUUUUUAUAAUAUAUUAUAAAUAUUUAUAAUAUUUUUUUAUUUAUAAAAUAUAUUUAUUUUUAAUAAAAUUUUAAAAAUAAAAAAAUUUUAAAAAUGUUAAAAAUUUAAAUGGGAUAAGGUGGAUAUAAAAAUUUUCAAUCAUCACCCUAUCCCAUUUAUUUAUGUUUUUUUAUUUCAAGGUUGUCAUAUAUAAAAUAGAAACUUUUAUAUAAAAUAAAAAAUUUCUUAUAAAAAAAUUAAAAAUUUAUCAGUAUUUUUAAAAGCCUUUUUCAAAUUUUACAAAUUUAUAGAAGUAAUUUUUUUUUUUACUUCCUUAAAUUUUAAAAAUAUUUUGAAGUGUACUUACCUUUUAUACCAAAAUUCCUACAUCUUAUACAUGACUUUUAUUUUUGAAAAAUAAAAAAUAUAUCCCCACUAAAAUAUUUAUUUAUGUUCAAUUUUUUUUCACAUACAAAUGAAGAAGAGAAUUGAUUUCCAUGAUGCAUUAAUUUUGUCACCAUCAUGAUGAAUAUGAUUCAAUAAUUGCCAGACCGACAGGGGUAGAUGAUGCUUGUCCAACCAUUUUUAGGUAAAAAAUGAGUGGCUAUUAAUUCUUCCAAUCAGCUUUCUUAAAUUGUUACAAUGACAUCACUUUUUUUUUUUUCUUUUUUAUUAUUUAAUGUACUACUUUUACAUCAUACCACAACCCUUUUUGACCAAAAUUUGGAGUCUUGGACAUUGAAAAAUGGAUUGGGUGUCAAGCAAAUCAGCCUUCUCAAGUCUCUAUCCAUGGUGGAACACUAAUUGGAAUGGUGAAAACAGCUGUGAAACCCUAAUCAAAUCACUCCAUUUUUAGCUAUAAUUUUGACCUCGAUAAUCAAUUAUAAUGCCCUACUAAGCAAGUGACUCCAUUUUUCUCAAUAAUUUUUACCUUUGAAUAAGAAUGAUCUUGUUUUACCCUUAGCUUUACAACCAGCCAAAGCACUGACCAGGCACCCACAAUUGGCUAGAGUGAAGUAUGAUUAGAUGCCUAUGGUUGGAUUCUAGCUUUGACAAGUGUUAGUGCUUUAACACAAAAGUGAGACAGCAACUGCCAAUUCAAAACGUGACAGUGCAUACAAAAUAUUAUCAAGAAUAUGCUUGGAAAUUUCACGACAAUGGAGAAAAAACAAAGGACAUGCAACAAGGAUUUGAAAGAAAAGAUAAACCCUACCUUUUCUUCACUAAAAUGACCCACCAACAGAUUUCAAGAUAGAAAGCAUAUCUCCAUAAAGUAAUGCAUGGUAGAUGAUGCUAUGGUAUGGAAGGUUUAAUUAAAGAAACUUUAAGUGGUUAAGAUUUAAGCCUGCAACUGCAUUAAGCUAUGAAUGAAUGUUCUUAAAAGCUUAUUCAAUUAAGAUUUGACCCAUAUCAAACAAAUACUUUUUUCUUUUUCUUUUUUUCAAAAAAUGUUAAUGGUUGUGUCCCAAAAAUAAGGAUAUGUGUACUGAUUAAACUGUUUUUACUUUUUAGCUAAUCAUGAUGGUGCUGAUGCUUUUGGAUUAAAACAAAGUAUCAUGAUUAGAAGCUAAUGAUUUCUUCCUCUAUCUUUAAUUUAAAAGCAUGGAAUGAUGUUCCUUGUUUUUAUCUUGAGGUGGGCCAAAAAGGUAAAUUUUUGUUUGCUUCUGAAUUGAUUAUUUAAGAGACAUCAAAGGUAAAGAAAGUCCCAAGGAGCUAGGCAUGACUUCCAUUACUUUACUUUACACCUUUUACUUUGGUGGAAUUCCAUCCUUCCAAGAAGGGGGAGACUCCUGUAAAUUGAACAAGUAUUAAAUUAGCAGUUGCAGCAAAAGUUAUUAAUGAUAUGUUAAAAAAAAUAAAAAUGGGGGCAGAAUCAUCAAUAAAAAAAGACCCUAGAUUGUGGGGUUUGUCAAUCUUUUAAGAUGUAGUAUAGGUUUUGACUUCAAGAUUUUUUUGGAGACAGCCACUUGCCUUCAUCACCAUUGCUUGUCAUUCUUCUUUAUGCGUUGGCUCUGAAGAAACUUAUAUUUUUAACAGAAAAGUGAAAAAAAAAAAGGCAAAAGAACACUAGUCUCCAAUAUCUAUUGACUGAUUUAAAGAUGUGUGCCCCCCAGGUAAGAUAUAUCAACUUGCUGAUUUUCCCAUUUAAGCCUGGUGGUAGGUGGAAGUGCCAUCACUGUAGAUGGAUAAAGUGGCUUACCAUGCAUACACUUUUGUUUUGUGCUUGCUGACUAGUGAUUCAUGUGGCCAUGGCAAUGGCAAAAUUUGGAAAAAAAAAAAACCCAGUUGAGUAGACAUGGGAAAUAUAGACUCUAUAGCUCCAUUUUCUAGGGAAUCAAACAACACAAAUCUUUCUAUUAUAUAUAUAGUAGAGUCCAGGUAGUUUGCCGUUUCUUGGGCAUGGAAGCAUAUUCCAAAUUUAGGCUCAAGAUCACCUUGGGUUUCAUUUGAUUCAAGGGGAAGCCUAUACUUUCUCCAUCACACUUUUUCCUCAUCGAGCCAAUGCAUCCUUUAUACACAUCUGCUUGAGGUACACUACCUUUGGAUAAUUAUGGCCAUUGUUAGCUGUUUUGAUUCUUAUCAUGACCUUCCAAGAAGGUGCCUUGGCUUACCUUAUCUCAGCACUGAACCCUUUUUUUUUUCUCAAAGAGUUGAACCAGUAAAUCCACUGAAAUUGACUGGUAAUGCUGAUUUUAAUGAGACACGAGCCUUAAAUUUGAAGCCCCUUCAACACUUUAAGGACUGGCCAGUGCUGAAUGUGUCUUGAAGAUCACUUCGAAAUUAUGAGAAUGAGAGGCUUCUUUCCGUAGUUUGGUAAGAAUACUUUCCAUGGCUGAUAAGUGACACAUCAACUAUUGAGGAAUUAAUUAAAGAAGACUGUUGAGGAACACUUAUUACCAUGUCUUGUACACAUUGUAUUAAUUGGAUGGCCUCUAGGCUAGAAGUUGCUGAUAUUGAUGUAUCGAUGUCAAGCGGCUGGUACACCUAACUCAAUAUUGUUAUGGAUACAACAAAUUGAUCAAAUUCUAAAUUCAUGCACAAGUUUGAUUUGCGGGUACUGGGAAAUUAUUUUUAAUCCUUGAUUGUCUGAGAUUAGUUGAUUAAUUAAUCAUAUGUAAAGAACUCGAUCAUGGUUAAUUAUAAAGAAAUUAAUCAACCACCAGAGACAAGAUAUGAAGCUUCUAAAUAUUAUGAAAUGAUUCAAACAGAAUAAGAAAAAGGAGUAUGAAUAUAUUACAAUUAGGGUUUCAGUGGUGGGUGUGGUUUCAUCAUUGUUGGGGCAUGGUCUAGAAUGGCCACAUAACCCAACUGAUCAAUCUAUAUUCUAAUAAAAACCAGGACCCAUUGCUUUAAUCCUAUUGUCUUCUGUAGAAAAAAAGGAGGGCCCUCAUAUGAUCCCUUGCACUCAUUGCGUAUAGAAGCUGCAGACAUGUCCCAAGGGGAGUAGGAAGAAGGGUAAGCCUCAAAAAAAAAAGAAAAAAAAAAAAGAAAAGAAAACACAAAUAUAACCUUUCAAAAAGGCAAGGUGCUAAUGCCCUCUAGGGUUUUUGAAGUACCAUCAAAUCAUACCAACCACCUGGAAAGGUUUUAUAUCAAAACCACAAACCAUGGAAUAAAUACCAUUUAAUUCCUUCCAGACUAUCUCAUUUCCAUGUGUCUUCAUAUGCUUUAGGACAAGUCGUGUAGCAGCUUGAAUUAAUAUUAGUCGACAUCUUUCUCCCUUAAUAGUUCAUACCAUAUGUGAUAUCUCAGAUAACAAAAGAAAGUUAUUAUAUAUAUAUAAACUCCUUUUAAUCUUGUUGACACUUUUUAAAAUUGUGAGAUCUCUUUGGAUUCAAAGUAAACAAUAUCUAUAUGGUUGAAUGCGGAUAAUUAGAAAUUAUAUCAAAACCGAUCUUUAACCCUAUAUGGGGUGUUUAUUCUUAUAUCAAAUAGAGAAAAAAGUUAUUAUAUACAUAUAUAGUUCUUUUAAUCUUGUAAACGCAUUUUAAAUCAUUUAAAGUCUUUUUAGGUUAGAAAUAGUAUACCAUAUCUCACAAGAUAGUUAACAAGUUAAUAUCAAAACUUAUAAUAUCAUUAUCUAUACUAUUAUUUAUACGAAUAUUGCGAUCUUAGGUUAUAAAUGAGUUAGAAAAAUGACUUCUAACAAUGAAAAAAUAUAUAUAUAAAUGAGCUAACCAUGAUGUAUGAAUGGAGAGAGGAUAUAUUCCUUUGCUCGUUUGCCCUUGUUUGGAGUCGAUUCCUUUUGUACUAAUCAAUUUUUAAAACUUCAUAAUUAAAAUAAUCGAACCCCAUUAAUUAAAAUAUUUUUUUCAGCCUGCCAUUUUUAUCAUUAUUUUUCUAACCCUUCACCAUCAUCAACUUGCAAAUGCAACAAACCAGGCUUGGUCAAUAGCAGCGCGUGCAGCAGCUGCAGGGAAGCAUGUGCCAUGGAAUCCCAUUCAUUAAACAAAAAGUGUACCCUAAUGAGAAUUUUAUACUAUAAUCAUAUGUAAGUUAGCAAACAUUAAAAAAUGAUUUGACUUGGAGUCUUGCCAAUUAAAAGGCAAAUCACUUUAAUAUAUGUUGCUGAAACAGUAUAUUCUGUUGGCUAAUCUGCAACUAGGACAAUCAAAGGAGGAUUAUUAUAAUAAUGAUGCGAUUAGCGUCACUAAUUAUGUAUAUUAUGACGCGAGUGAUCGGGAAGUUCGGGAUUAUAAUUCACUCUAACGACGAGAAGAUCGAGCUUUUUUUUCUUUUUAAUUUAGUAUUUUAUGCACAGACUAACAGGUAAAGGACCCUAAUGAUUUCUAUAUAGUUUAAUUAGUACCUUAAGUAUUGUAUCGAUCUUCGAUGUAUUGAAAUCAUAUACCAUAUAAAACUAUACGGAAAAUUCAGGUAUGCGGACUAUGCGAAAUUCUUAAAUUAUGAGUCCUGAUCAAUCCCUUCGCUGAAUAAUAUACAUCGGAAGGUCAACUUUGUAUUAAAAUGCACGUGUAAGCGUAGGAUGGAAAAUCAAAAUUAACUAAGUGUUUCAUAAGAAAAGCAAGUUAUUAUUGGAAUUGAUGAGGCUAAAUACCUCUUACUCAAUCCUUCUGAUUAACUGGCCCCAUGAGUAUAUUAAUCUAGAAGAGUAAUGAAAGAUAGAUAUAAACACCAUUGAUUAAAUUAAUGACAAGAUUAAAAAAAAAAAAUUUAAGGUUGGCUUCUAGAUCAGUACUAAAAAAUUAAUGCCCAAUAAGAAUAAUCUUUGCAGUGAUCGAGCCAACUUACCGAAACUUGUUCCUCGAAGUAUAAGAUGAAUAAUUUUUCUAACAAAUAUUGCUGCAAGAUUUAAGGUUUCCCAAUUUCCAAUCAUGUAAAAUAAUAGCUAUGAUGUUUGUUGCUGUCCUUUAGCUUUGCUGUAUCAUGUGUGUGGUGAAGAACAAGAAGAAGAUCAAGUAAAUGAUAUUAAAUAUAUAUAAAUAAAUGAAGGAGGAAGGAGACAAGAGAGGUAGGGUAAGAAGUGGGGUUCAGUCUAUUGCUUUGCUCACGUCUCACAGCUAUGUGAUGGGGCCAUGAGGGUUUGAACUCCAUUUUUGUUUCUGAAAAAGUUGAUGGAUCGCUGUUCAAUAAUGCAGAGAUGUUUCCAAGUGGGUUCAUUUUUGGGUGUCCUUUUCUUUCUUUUCUUUUUUUCCUUCUUCUUUUUAUUUUAGGUUUGUGUUUGUUCUAGAUGGAAAAAGUUUUUCUUUGUAAUGAAGUCCAUUCCUCAAUAACUUUUGUGUUAAGGAAGUUAGCUAAUCAAUACUAGGAAAGGAAAAUAAUUCACUAUAUAUAAACAAAUAAAAAAUAUCUAAAAAAAUCAAGGGUUCUUCCAAGAAAAUGUAAGAAUUACUGGACAAGAGAUUAUUGGGUUAAAGAUAAAAACCCAAGUUAUGUUUGGUCUAGAAAAAAAAAAAAAAAAAAAAAUUAAAGAAUUUUUUUAUAUUUAAUUAUUCCAUGAAAAACAUAAAUAAAAUAAAAUAUAAUUAAAACUAAUUAAAAAUAUAUAUUUUUUAUUUUUUAUUUUUUAUUUUUUUACAUUUUUCCUUGACCUUAAACUAAACAUACCCUUAAAAAAGAGGCAUUUGGCUAGGGUUUUAUGAAUCCAAAACCGAUUUUAAAUUAUGAUAAUUGAUCAGAGUAAAUAGACUCACUUUCCAUGCAGUGGGAUGCAUGGAAAACUGACCAGAAUAUGGGGUCACAGAGCCUUUUUUUGAUCCUGGGUUCUGCAAUUUCUCAACCUUUUUUUUUAUACACAUUUCAAUAGAUCUCUGACCAGUCCUUCCUCUUUACCCCUAAUCAAGAUGACAUACCAUGGGACCCUUCCCACAUUACCUCACAUUUUUUUUCUUUGGGGGGUUGAAUUUUUGUUCCCAUCCCUCUCAUAUUUUCUUCAAAACCAAACAUGCCCACCUUCAAUUGUAUUUGAAUUUUUCUUUCCUCUUUUGCUGAAUUGAUAAAAGACAAUAAAAAAUUACAAUGUGGUAGGUAGUCUAGACACCUCUUUGGGUUCUCAAUCAUUAUUUUAACAAUAUUAUUAAGUAAAAGAAUAUCACCAUCAAUGUGAUUUAGACUUAAUCUCAUUGUGACAUCUGUCUGAUAGACUUCUCAAAACUUAAUUUCUGAUUUUGCUUUUCCUCCAAGAAAGUUUACCUUUUUCUUGAGAAAGUUUCUUAAUUUUUGACCACAUUGUUCUUGUGAAAAACGAUUUGAAUCCAAACAAAGUUGAGAUGGGAAAAAAAUGACAUGGUACCUCAAUUUUUCAUGUGAAGUGAAAUGUGGGUAUGAACCCUUUAAAUAAGGGAGCAUGGCCUAAAUGGAGGCCCUACAAGGAUUAAUGGAAUCCAAACAACCCCUCAAAACCCUAAUGUUAAUAGAGCCAUGUUCACAUUAAGAAAAUGGACUUUAGCUAAAUUUUAACAGAUACCCUUUUUAUGCUUUAAAUUGCAAAUGCAAAUGCAAUGUUGAGUCUCCAUCCAUAGUUUAUGAUUAAUUUCUUUGCUGAGUGGUAGUUGAAAGGCCACUUUCCAAGGAAUAAGCCCUUCUAACCAACAGUGGAAUAUACACAAAUACACAAAGAUUUAAUCACUUGAAUUACCACAAAAUAGGUAACUACCUCCCUCAUAAAAUUUCAUGAAAAGUAGGAUUCAUAAUUGUUUCCAAUUUGAGCAUUAAAAUAUGAGAAAAUGACAAAUAAAAAAUAAUUUUUGAACUCCAUAUUUGUGACAUGAGUCAUGAACCUAUUGGUUGAAGAUAUCAUUAUUAAUGCAUAGGAAUAAAUUCGGUGGUCCAUAUAUGAACCAACCAUCUUGCAUGAUUGUAUGAAAUUUGUUGCAUAGUGUAAAUACUAAAAACAAUGUGAUUGUUCAAAUAUCUAUAGCAAUUAUGCCCAUAAACCACUUUGGCUUCUUUCGCCCUUUUUCAUGCAUUAGCCAUGCUCGAUUUCUUGUUUCCUACCUCCAAAUUACAAACCCAAUUCUUAUAUCGGGUUUUCUAUUAUUAUUAUUUUAUUUGAAAAUCAAUUGAUAUCCAAAAAAACCGAUAUCACAUCCUUCGAAUAUGUGAUAUGUUUGGAGACUUUUGUCAAAAGCAUAAUAUUCUUCUGUCUUAACAUCAACCACACAAACCUAAACAUUUUUGUGAUAGAAUCCUACCAUCACAUCUCAAUUUAGCAAAACUUAAAAUUGUCUAAGAGAAUUGGAAAUGAACUUCUUAAAUUCAAGCAAGGCUCCAAAAGAAACAUAUGUAUAUAUGAAUAUGAUGCUAAAAAAAAGGAACGACAAUGUGAAAAUAAUGGAGAGUAGAGAGAGAGAGAGAAAAGGACAGAUAUUGGGUUUGACCUCUUCCAUUUUAUGGAGGAGAGAGAGAUGAAAUCUAAAGAUCAGAACUGAGAAGUACCUUUUUAGCUAGUCUUCAUUAUUCAGAAAGUAAAAAUAACAAACAAUGGCAAAAUCUGAGAGAGAGAGAGAAGGAGAGAGGUUUAUCAAAUUUGUGGCUACAAGAACUGGGGUUUAUCAGAGGUUUCAUCCUCCUUCCUCUAUUAUCAAACUGUACAGUUGUGAUCAUUGAGAAGAGGAAUAUUUCAUAGACUGAAAGCAGGUAUUGAGCCCUCCAAAAUGAAAAUUGUAAAGGGGGGCUGACAUUAAAAUGAAAACAUAGAUAAAGAAGAGUUAAAAACCCCAAAAGGGGGAAAAAAGCACACACCAUUAUCUGGCAUUAAUAUUCCCACAACAAAGCUUCGAAGCUGGUUGGAAUCAGAGUAUCUGUUAUUGGCAAGUGUUCGGAAAAGUAGCCACAAUCAUCAGCUGUGUGCAACCACGGGGGAGGAUAGAGCCACCCAUCCACCGAGUCAACGAAAACGAAGUCGUUGCCUGACUCGGGCGUUUCGAAACUCGUUCCUAGACUUGGUAGCUCCACAAUCUCGCCCAGUUCCUCUGGGGUCGACGCGUCUGAGGUCGAUAUCAGGGAGGACAUGGAAGAUGACGAUGUUAUGGCCAUUGAUGAUGAUGAUGAAGAUGGUGAUGGUGAUGGUGAUGGUGAUGGUGAUGGUAAUGAUGAUGAAGAUGAUGAUGAUGAUGAUGAUGAUGAUGAUGGGUUGAGGUGCUCCAUUGAAGCAGCUUUUGCAGCGGCGGCUUGGACGUCUCGUGGGGAGGAGGAGGCGGGGCGAGGCAAGGAGGAGGCGAGUUCUGGGAAGUUAAGAAUGGCGGAGUUGCCUUUGAUGCUCAAGGCGGCAACGUCGUGGGCACGAGCGGCCAUUUCGGGGGUGGAGAAAGUGCCCAGCCAUAUCCGAGAUUUUUUGCGAGGCUCGCGAAUUUCAGACACCCAUUUGCCCCAAGUCCGCAUUCGGACCCCUCUGUACACUGGGUGCUUGCUGCUAUCUCUUCCUCUUUUGGGUCUCUCCUGAUCUGGGUCCGACGUUUUGGACCUUUUAGCUGGUGGGUUCUGUAUUCCGGAUGAGGAUGGUGAAGAUGAAGAGUUACUGCAACACUCCGUUUCUGAGUAUGCUUGCUCUGCCAUUGCUAAUGGCGAUGUCCCCAGAAGCUUGAUUUGCUUUGCUGUUAAACCCGCAGCAAACAGAAACAAAGUUUUGGUUUUUCCUCGAUAAGUCCCUGUGCUUUGUCUCAGUAUAGCACACUGUAGUCUGUAGAGUUGGUCGAUAUCUUGAUUCCUCACACUACAGAGAGAGAGAGAUAAUAAUAAUAAUGAGGAUAAGGAGAGCUACAGAGUAAGCUGCAGAUGUAGCUAGCCUACAAGGCUCAGUGUAUAUAUAUAGAGAGAGAUCAAAGAAGAAGACCGAUGAGUGAUGGUACGCUCAGUAAAUGUAUACGUGUGCUUGCGAGAGAGAGAGAGAGAGAGAGGGGGGUCGCAGAAGGGAGGAGAGAAGCAGAUAGAAAUCAAGGGAAACGUGCCCUUACAAAGGGACCCUCACAACCGACCUGGCCUUUUGGCCAUCAUUUAUUAAUGAAUGAAGCAGCCCAUAACACUCACACACGUAUUGGCCACGAUAGAAAUCCCUAAGAGACGCACUCAGAACCCAAAGGGUCUCACCACGCCCCAUACAAAAUCUCCCCACGGUUCCUCUGCCCACUACCCAACAUCACAGCCGUCUAUGGGGUCUCUCUGUCCUCGGUGCUUUCAAGUUUCAUCUCAUCUCCUCUCUCCUCACUUUCGUACUACUCCUCCUACACUCCUACCACUUCCCCACCCCCCUUAAUUAAAUUUCUUUCUUUGUCCAUUUUCACACCUGUCUAUCCUGCACAGUGUUCAUGCCAUGUAAAUCAUGCUCCAAACCCAAACACUCCCUCACCAACCCCUUCCAGUUUCCUCCAUGUGGGUGCGGCUGCCUCUUGCCUGCUUUCACUCACUAUUCCCAUUUCACAAACCUCUCCUCCUCUUCUUCUUCUAUUAGUUAACUUUCCUCUCCUCAUGGAUUUUAUUAUCCCUCUUCAUGGGUAUGAAGCAUUGAUCCCUAUUCCCCAUUCCCAUUAUUAUGCUCUUAAAUUGAGUCUUCCCUUUUAUCUGCUAAAGGGCAUGCUACAUUUUCAUUAAUAUGUUCAGUGACACUUUUUUUUUUCUUUUUUAAUUUUGUAAGAAAUUAGGAUAUUAAUUGAUUAAGUCUGGUGAAAGAUGAAAGCCUUUUGACCAAAAAAUAGUAUUAGUUAAUUUUGCUUUUCUCUGAAAGUGCAAGACAGAGACAUUCGGGGGUUAUAGCGCGUCACCAUGCUUCAUAACUCGUACCACCAAGUCUUUAUUGUUUUGUCCCAGCACCACAGCUCCCCCAAACUGGACUUCAUCAAUAACCCAUUGUGAAGGAUAAUUUAAUUUAAUUUUAAUUUCACAAAUACAUUAACUACAGUCCAUUUUUGUGGAAAACCCACAUCCCUGAUUUCAAGAAAAAAAACGAAAAAAAAAAGAGAAGAAUUUACAUUUGAGUUUUUCUUACUAAGAGAAGAGGGAGGGGGGCGGGCGGGCGGGGGCAAGGACAUAACAUAAGAAGUCAUGACUACCCUUUACUUGAAUUUGCUUUCAGAGGCACCCUACCUCUAAAUUAAGGACACACAACAUCACUUCAAAUGUCAUCAAGGGGGCCCUUUGCAUGGUUGUAAAACUGGAUUAUGAUCUUCUUUUUCAAGACUAAAUAGUCUGGAGGCUGGAGCCAUGGAAUGGAAAGGUGAAGACAAAUCCAAUUUAGCACUCAAAUUUCCCAAGAAAUGGUGUAAUCAUAAAAUCUGGGUUACAAGAUGUUGUUCCAUAUUCACCUAAAGGGUGUUGAGAAUAAGUUGAAAUGUACCUGUACACUGAGCUGUUGAGAGCGAUAUCUUGGUCCAUAAUAAUUAAAUUCAUUCCGGUCCAUUUUGGAAUAUGUCCGUACUUGGGACCUAGAAUAAUACAACUACAUUCCACGGCCACAGAUUAGUAACCUAUGGUUGACAAAUGGCUACAAUGGUGGGUCACAUUGGGUCCUUAAUCACUGGACUUUAGCAUGAACUCAACCUGAUUAAUCAGACUCUUGGAACCAAGAAGUCUGCUUUUAAUCAUUGUGGGCUUUGGAGACAUGGGGUGGAUCCAAUCCUACAUUUCAUCCUUGCUUUCUUCCCUGUUUAAUUGUCAGGAAACUUCCGAUUUUUUCCUUCUGUAUUCUUGGUCCUUUUGCAGAUAUUUAUUCUAUGAUAUGCAUAUGACAAGAAGAUCAAUAUUCUUGUGUGUGGUUUUUUGUGAAUGAUGAGAAUAUUUUUGGUUGAUUAAUCCCACAAUACUAAAAGGAAGAAAACCCAUUUAUAUAUGUAUUGAUAUGAACUACUCUGCAGAAACUGGGCUUUUGAGGCUUUUGUUUCAUGUUGAGUUUUGAGUAUUUUUCCCCUUUUUGCUGUUUUACAAAACUAAACCACUCUGUCAAACUUCCAAAACUAUGAAAAGGGCCAAAUUCAAGCAAAAAAGGGUCUAGUUAAUGUCAUCUGAAUCCAAUCCACUUCCAUUUGGUCCCCAUUUGUUUUCUUUUGCACUAAGCCAGAAGCACUAGUGGGUCAAAGCAAGUAUUGGGUGAGUACUAUUCCAAUGAAUUCUGGGGAUGCUGAAUGGAUACACAGAAGCCCAAAGCAAAACCCAUGUUUUAAGACCAGAUUCAACUACCAUAAGAGUUGAAGAUGAACCCUCAUCUCCAUCUCCCCCAUCUCAAAUUCUUCACAUUCUUUUGGGAUAAGAAAGAAGAUAAACCCUCUGUUAAAUUCAGAAGUGUCACCUUCACAUUCAAUAGCGAUACUUACAGUUUGUUUUGGUAAGUACUGUUAAAUUAAAUUAGAGGGCAGUACUGCUUUACUACACACCACACCCCCUCUUCACAGAACCUAACAUAUUUGUUGCACUGCAGGGCUGCUUUUGGUUGCUCUUCUCUCUACACAUUUUCCCUCUUCUGGCCUUCCAAUUGUACUGUAAAAACUAGACUUCUUCAAAGAUGGGCUACUAAUUACUAGAGCUAGCUGUAAAAUCAUCCAUUUUGAAAGGGAAGUGUAACUCCCAUACUUAUAUUUCUUCCAUCAGUAUUCUCAGGCUCAAUAGUUACAGAAUCACAAGAUGGCAUCAGAUAUAUACUUGGUAUCUACUGGUUUGGGUUGGGGUGGGGAGGAAGGCCUUGGAAGCAGUUUCAAAAAAAAAAGACUAUCAUUUUGGUUGAAAAAGAGUUAGUCAGGAUUUAGAAUGGAUGAUUGGACAUUAGGGCAUGGGAUAUUCUUUGAGCAUUUUGUUAUUUUCUUGAGAAUGUAAUGAACAAAUGUACAAUGGUUCUUCUCCUUUAUCCAGAUUCAGUAGAUGUACCACCACCCAUACUCAAAAGCUGUCAAGCCCUCACAAAAGGUAUUAAUACAGGCACUGUUCUACUGUGGGUUUAUCUUCAUAGUUUUUCAGAAAAGGACGUAUUGCUACCUAGGUUCUUGAUACCAUAAGAUAAAGAAGAAAAUCAUGGCUCUGGUUUUCAGCAUUUAAUUCACCAGCUAUCUUCUUCAUUCACUCAUUGGCUUGGCUUGCAUUAUUAUUAUUAUAAUUGUACCGGUUUUUGGAAUAUUGAAGACCAUGUAAUGCCAGUCCACAGUCCACACCCACAUCAUAGGUUACCAGACUACACAGUUGUUUCUUUUAUUCCAAAUAGCUUAGUGCUUGUUUGGAUCUUGAAUUUUUUUUUUCUUCCUAUUUUAUUAUGAUGGAGAAUGGGAAGUAAAAGAAUCCAUAGUGGGAACAAAGAGACAACUCACUAUGUUUCAUCUCAAAGGUUUAAAAAAUGGAAAGGCUUUUUCUUAUUCACUUAUGCCUCACUUUCUUGAUUUCCUUCAAUUUGUUAGGUUUCUUUCAAUUUCUUAUUAUCGGCGUUUGACAGUAUUUUGUCUAAAUAAUAGAGGCAAGUACUAAAUGAUAAUAAAAAAAAAAAUUAAAGAUUCGUUGUACAAUUUUUAUCAAAAUAAUGUUGUCAUGAAUUAGAUAUAAAAACAUUGAAGUCAAAAUCGAAUCAUGUUUUUUCUUCGUAUGCUCUGUUUUUCAAUUUUUGAUAACCAAACAUAACUUAAGAAAAUUUAAUAUGUGUUAUAAUGAAGUCGUAUUCAUCGUAAUUCACUCAUGAGAUAGAAACCCGGAUUUUUGGAUUGGGUAUCAUGCUCAACCCUAACCCUAAUUUAAUAUAGCCUAUACCUUGAAAGGCUUGAAGAGGGUGAAUCUUAUUUGCCAUUUUGCCUAGAACAAGGCUAAGUUCAUCUUUAGGCCAUUAUUUAUUGAAUGAUAUUGUAGGGCAGUUGGCUAUUUUUGUGAUAGAGCAUUGAAAUGGAAGCGGCUUAGUUAAUGGGCUGGGGACACUUUGGGCCUACUAGAAUUUAUUGUGCUGACGGGGGGAACAAGGCAUCGGAUGGGCUUUAACAUACAUGAAUGAGCAUAUGGGCCCAUUCAUUUUUCUAUGAUCAUGUGAAAAACACAACCACUCUAGUAUGUCCAAUGAAUUGAUGAUUUGGAAACAUCUUUUCACACUCCCCAUUCAUUAUUCUUGUGAUUUGGGGGGCCUAUAAAACUAAACCAAAUGGAGAAACUUGAUGAUCUGAGCAUUUUAUGAGGCUUGAACAUGAUGGGGCCCUCAUUGAUGGCUUCAGCGUCUGGCCCAUGAACAUAACCAAAACUUCACCCUAUUCUGGUUUUUAAUCAAAAGAGGCUUUAGUGUUUUCCCAGUAUUUUUCACCAGAAGUAUCCCUUCUGUAAUAAUGCACUUCAAAGUUGGGCCUUCUUCAAGGCCCAUCAAGGACCUACAGAGAGAAGCACAAUGCAGAAUAGUAAUCACAAUUUAUGAUUGGAAGUUUCCCUAACAGUUUGCACAACAAUGGCUAGACAAUAAUGGGUAGAUGAGUUUUAAGUCAUUGUGUUUGGUUGAAAAAGGUACUUUAAAAAACAAUUUUCUCACAUUUGGUUUAUAUAAUUAAAAUUAAUAAAAAGCUUAUAUAUUUUAGGAUUAUUUAAUUUUAAUAUAUAUAAAAAGGUUAAAUACGCGAAAUUUUUUUUAAAAUAGUAUAUAAAAUAAUUUGACUUCAAAUUUAUUUUUUGUUAUCCUUCACUAUUUUCUUUCCCUCACAUUUUCCUUCAACCAUUUUAAGAACCAAACAUAACCUUAGGAUUUUAUCGAGUUGUAUAAAAAAUAAAAAAUAAAAACCGACCCAGUUUUGCAUAUGCUUUGAGUUUGGUUCAAUCCUCCUUAGUUCACUAGCUUCUUUUGGGAAGCAAGUUCAAUUCUGAAUUGGACGUUACUGAAAAUACAAGAUCAAAAGAAGCUUUACCAAUGCUAGCUAUAGAAAGUGUAAUAAAAUAUUAUUGUUCUUGGCAAAACUUUGAAGUAAGGACAAUAAAGGGAGCAUUAGAAGCAAGCUUUUUGAAGUUGGCAAGUGCAGGUGCGUCCAAAAAGAUAAAACGGACUUAGAUGACAUUUGUUUUUUUUCAAAAAACAAAUGUCAUCUAACUUUUUAUAUUCAGUUAAAAAUAUUUUGUUGAUAUUAACUAAUAUAAUUAAAGUAAAUUUGUUAUCAAUAAGUUUAGUUUAAUUAUGUUGAUGAAUGUUAAUAAGUUACUUUUAAUUGAAUAGAAAAAACAAAGUAUUUUGACUUUUUCUAUUCAAACCAAAAAGUCUUUUUGAAGUGUGUGAAUUACUACUUCCUCAUUCUCUCCUCUGUUCUUUCUUUGUCUUCCCCAGCUCCACAAGCAGAGUCAAAAGAGCCUCGCUCAUUUCACAAGCAUCAGGCUCACUAAGAUCCUUCUUCCCUGAAAAGUAAACCAUCCAGGCAUGGUCGAGCUUCAGAUCUGGUUUGACAACAACUGAGCCUGGAACUUCAGCAUCACGACAUGUCACUAACCCAUCACUCUUCUCCCCAUACCUGAGUUGAAGGUGAAGUGCACAAAGAGACAGGACAGCGGAUAUAGGAAUUACUACAGGCACCUUGCAUCCUUGAACAUCAGACUCUUUGCUACCAAAUCUGGGAAGGGGGAGCAAGGGAAGUUCUGCAUGAGCUACGUGGGACAUUGUGGCAAGGACGCUUGGAGCCACACUUGCUUCAGAGUGAAAGGAGAUAAGAGGGAUGCAUUCAGGGAGCUUGUGAUUCAUUAUGAACUCCCUCCUCUUCUCGUAUGUGAGGUCCUCCAAUGCCUGAAUGUCACCCUACAAUAAACCACUGAAAUAUUCACAAGGUGGGAAAUAUAAGUGUGCAGUGUGACCCAAAAAAUAUUUGAAGACAUGACACUAGGAAACAAAAAGAAAGCUUUGGGAGGAACCUCGUGACAACAAAUAGUCAUAAUAUAUCCCUCCCUAGCUGGAAUGAAGGUGAUAAAAUUUUUAAGCCGUUGGUUUGAAAAUCUGAGUUGAGAAGGUUGGCAUUUUUUGAUUAACCAACAAAUGUGUCAUCCCAAUAUGGAUACAAGGUGUUAUAAUCCCAAGACAACAGACAUGUAAGCACAACCCUGACCCUUCUUUUCCUCUAAGAUCCGUGUUAAUGAAAUUGAGAUGAAUAAUUUCAACUUAAUCAGUAGCCCAUGAGAAUCUGAGCUAUUUCUGUAAGCAGCACAACUUACUGUUCUUGAUUAGCUCUUCUUAAAUUUUCAGAUAAAAUUAUUUAUCAGUUCUGGAGUCCACACAGUAAGGAUAUAUUAAUUGGCAUUUGAUAUUGAGCAAUUUCCCCGAGUCUAGAUGAGCUGUAAGUUAACCUACAUAGAAGUUUGAGUUUUCCAGGCCUUAAAUACAUGUGUUCUCCCACAAAAACCAAGUCAACCAGUCUUGGGCAAAGAAAAAAGUUACCUUAAUUAACUUGCAUAUCAAAAACUCCAAGAUCCUCCGGGUUUCCCUGUCAGCAAUCUGGCCUUCACGAAGAAUAUCAGAAGCUAAGGGGGUUCCACCGUAUGGGCUCUGCACCAAAGCUAAUCCAGCAACUUUGUCCUUUAAGUCAGACCAGUACAUAGAUAAUGCAGCUGCUGCAUCAACCCCACCCUUGCUGUGCCCAAGCAAGAUCACACACUUUCCAGAUCCCCAGUAAAGUUCUUCAAUGUAUUGCUUCAGUUCCCAAGCAUUAUGCUCUACAGAUGCCUUCAUAAAGUUAUGGCAUUAACUAUUGUAAAGCAAGAGAAUUGCAAAAAAUAAAGUAAAAAAAGCAGAUCGCAAGAGCAAAUCUGCCAUUGUUGGGUAUGAGGAAGUAUAUCAUUCCAUGGUGAAUCUUACUCGAAUAAACUUAUGGAGAAAUUUUUGUUUACCUCACUGUGAAUUUUGGCAAUAUGGCAAGCUAGACCCAUCUUUGAAAAGAACUUCUUAGUGUUCACAAAAUACAAUGGACCAUGAUUGCCAAAAAGGCCUGACAAAUGAGAAUUUAAAAUACAAGCAGUUACAUUCCAAAUGCAAACAUUGGCAUACAAACCAAAAAACAAGUUCAGAAUUCCAGAAUAAAAGUAUCUUUUUUAUACCUGGAAUUAGUAGAUAGACAUAUGAGUUUGGGAGCGUGUGCUUUCCAUUCCUAAAGAGCAAAACAACACAAAGUGCAGGUGAUUAAACUUAUAAACAAAUGGUCAACAAGGUAAAGAACAGAGGAUAAUUUCAAUGGUGAAAAACAGAUCUAGUGACCAUUCAAGCAUACACAUUUAAGUAAGCAAGUUAUCAAUGAAAUAGAAGGAAUUUGAUAUGACAUCAUAAUGAAUUUUCAUAAUAAUAACUAAGAUCCAAUCCAAUCCAACUGUUCUGUUUUAAUCAAGACAUCUAGGAAAGGGCAACACAGACAUAGCCUCCAUGCAAGAGAUUUAAAGUCUGUUUGGGAGUAAUUAUAGUAAAAGCACUUUUGGUCCAUAACACUUUUUUGAGUAGAGCUUCCACUGCAAAAGCUUUUACAAAGAAUUGCAUAGGGCUUGGAUAUAAGAGUGCGUUUGGCAAAGAUUUUCAUAAGUAUUUCUAGCAUUUUUAAUACUUGAAAAAUAAAAAUUUUCAAGUGUUAGAAAUACCAAAAACACUUUCCAAAAUCACUACCAACGCACUCUAAAUUUUCAAAAAUAAGUGUUUUUCAUAGUGCUUUUGGCAAUGUGUUAUAUGAUAAAAAGGUGAGUUUUGGAAGAAGCAUCUGCCAAGUAAUUGUGUCUUUAGCAAUGUGUAAUACGAUUAAAAAGUGAUUCUUGGAAGAAGCAUCUACCAAAUGAUUGUCUAGGAAUCACUUCAAGUGAUUCUCCAGAUUUUUAAAAGUGAUUUUCAAAUGUUUGCCAAACACCUAAUUUCUAUAAGGAAGUGCUUGCAAGCAUCAGAAAGCGCUUCUAGCCCUCUCAAAAUCAAUCCCAAAAGGGCUCGUCAUUGUUUCAAUCAUUAAGUACAACAAAGUCAGAGUAGAAGCUGGUAGAGUGUUGUCUUCUGUUUUUUUCUACCUCAAACCUGUGGUACUCUUCAACUUCACUGACAUACCAGUGUCAACACAAUAUGACAAGAGUGUGGGUGUGGAGAUCCUUUUCAUGUAAUAUUGCCUCAGACAGACAUCCUAGGUUUCUCUUAACAUGAAUUUUUUUGCAGGACCAUGUUAGACAUGCCAUCCAAUAAAAUCAUAGACAAGCUUCUCACAAUCUUAUACAAGGAACCAAAAAAGAAGAAGAAGAAGAAAGAAAGAAAGAAAGAAAAAGGAAAAGACAGAAUUAUUACCUUAUGAUAUCUCAGUAAGAUCCAGCCUAAACUUAUCUCAGAGAUAUACACUUCCAGAAAAAAAAUCCAAGAAUGACCCAAUCUAGGUUCUACUUAAGAGAAGGCUUUAUGAACUUGAUAUGUAGCAAGGGAAUCCUAAAGAUAAAACACUAUCAUCACCAUAACUAACAAAAUAAAAUUCCACGGUUAAAUUUAACAUGGGAAAAUGGAUACCAAAUUAAAUUGGCACCUUAUCUCUCGAAGUAGUUCCAGGAAUCUUGCUGUACCAUCCUCCACAGGAGCCACCCCAGGAGUGCACUGCAACCAUCCAAUAUCAUCAGAAGAACCAUGCAGAGUUGUCUGUACUCGAGAUAUAAUGCUGAAGAUGCCAAAAUGAGAAACAAUUGUUAUAUGAGAACCAAACCACACAAUAAUGAUUUCACAAAUACAAUUAAUAACACUGAUUGAGAAGGAAAGAUAUCAACUCUAACAAUAACCCGAGAGACACCGUUUUACAGUUUGACCCAACCUUUUGCAAAGUUAAAACCUAGUCUCUUUACCUACGAACUCGAAUUUGCAUGCAUCUCACAAAACAGAAAGAAUAUCUCGAAGAGGCCCAUGCCAACCUCCAGGCAAGUCUCAUACCAAAGAAUGGGAGCAGCAACCUACACCCAGAUGAAGAAACUACAAGAUAAAUAAGAAUAAAGAUAAUUUGUGGAACAGGACGAAAUAACAAAAUUCCAACACAAAUCAUGGCCAGUGAAGUGAUCAAGUAGCUGCAAUGCUCAGUUAUGAUACACACCUCCUAAAAACCUGAAUAAUUGAGACUAAGGCACUGGUAGUUGAUAAUUUAACAAGAUAAAAUGAAAUAAGGAAGCAAAAUAGAUUAGUCAAAAACAUCAUUCAUUUAUUUAAUUUAAGAAUACAACUCUAGGCCCACAGUAAGGAUUUUGAACUAAUAACGAGAGCAAAGCUUGAAUUCAAUUUAUACAUGCAUGGCUGAAUCUUUAUAAUACAGUAUUGCUAGAGAGAAUGACAUAUAUUGUGGGGCUCGAAUCCUACAAGCUUAAGCUUUUAGGAAAAUUACAUGUCGAACAUCUCAUUCAAAUUUUACUGUGUCUAUUUACCCCAAUUCAUGCCCUAUGGGUCUAUGUGCCUCUCCACAUGUAGACAUGCAGCCAGACCUGAGGAGAGAGUGUUAGAGAGAAUGAUAUAUAUUGUGGAUUCAAAUCCUACAAGCGUAAGUUUUUAGGAAAAUUGAUUGUCCAACAAGUGUCAUAGAGGAGCUUAACAGGAGGAGGAUUAAUACCCUUGAAAAAGAAAGGAGGUGCUCUGAUAACUGUAAUUGCUUCCUGCAAUUUGGGAUCUUAUAUUUACAUGAGAUUCUUCCUUCAGGUCAAAGGCUCUUCUUUCACAGACUUCAUUGCAGCUAAAACGACUUGAGUGUUGUCCACAAGAAAUCAUCACUGGAUCCUCAGAGUAUUUAUUGACAUCUCUUGUUACAAGAUUUUCUGCAACAAGAACAUCAUUCCUAAUUGCAGCCAUCAUUUUCUAAAAAUAACGAUAAGAAAUGAACUUCAGUGUAUGACAACGAAGUCCAGGUGAAAUAGAUAUAACAUCCUUUGUACUAUGGACAUUCAAAAACAAAAUUAUAGGCAGUGAUGUCAAGAAUCCAUAUCACCAAAGACAUGCACAAAGAUAUACAACGUAAAGAACUUACCAAUGAACCUAAUAAAUCGAUGUCUUAUAUAUGAAGUCAAGGUCAAAAAAUGGGCAAAAAUGUCAUCCAUUGACAAAUAAAAUCUAGGAUGUUCAGCUUGAAGACCUGUGAUCCUCAUGGCAGGACAGGAAGCCUGAUAAGAGGGUCUAUAUUAGACAUGGAAAACCAAGCUUUCAAAUAAGAAUGAAAUGAAACCACAAUAUCAUUGUCAAAAAUGCCAGUAGCAAAAUCCAUCUCACACCAUUCUUUCUAACAGUGAUAAUAAUCUGUGAUAAACUCUCAUGCACUAUCAACCACUGAUACACACCCCUCAUACGGUUCAUCUCUCUAAAUAAAUAAUGCAAAAUUAAUCUUACCACAUCCUUUCUUUGAUAUCUGUGUCUUUCAAAGAGGUAAGAAUUGCUUGAUAUAUGCCCCACCUGAUACGACAUGAAAAAAAGGGAGAGACGUUAACUAAAGAUGCUACAGGAUGAGAACAUAAAAAAUUACCUUAACAUAUAAGAGGUCACGUAUAAUAAUACAGAUGCUACACUCACUGUUGAAGGGAUCUCAAAUAUUUCCCCAUUGAUACAUGAAUUGUCCAUUGCUUCUUCUAGUCCUGGAAGAAUGCAACAAGAAUAUUGUUACAGCACAAAGGACAAGAAUGCAAUUUCAAUCUGCACCAGACCAUACAAAAGGGAACUUUUUUAUAAAGAAACACACAAGAACAGCAUUGCAACAUAUAAAAAGGAAAAAAGAUUUGAAGCAAGAAUGUCCUAAAUAUAAGGAAAUAUCUAUAAUAAAGAAAGGAAAAGAAAACCAAAAAAGCAGGGCCCAUCCUCCUCUAAUGAACAGUAUGACAACAACUUAACCCCAAUUUUUUAUUUACUUCUUAUUUUUUAUUGGAGGGAAGCCUGAAGCAAGGUAAAAUCAUUCAACCUCUGGAAAAAAGAAGAGCUGUAACAAAAAUAGUAAGAAUUUCAAAAAUAAAAAAUCGAUUCAUAACCUCUAACACAACUUAUCUAUACAACUCUACAGCCUUAUUUGGAUUGAUUUUUGAGAAGUCAAAAGUUUUUUCUUAAGUUCAACAAGAGCUUCUAUACACCAUUUGUUAAUUUAGUUCAGAGAGCUUAUGACUUAAAAAAAAAAAGCUUAAUAUGGAAGCCAGGAAAAUUAUGCUUCUUGUAGAACCUUUAUUUUAACUUAUGCAAGAGGUUCUUUUAUGUUUAAUAAAACUUUUACAAUACCAAUAUUACCCUUUAAAAAUUAUGACUUUUGCUUCAGCUUCAACUUUCCACUAAAGCAAAAAGUAGGUAAUUAUCUCAAACGAGACUUACAUGAGUCAGCAGUGAUCAAAUGUCAUAGAGGAAAAGAAUCACAAUAGGCUUGAAAUAGUAAUGUUUCUUCAAAUUAGCAGUUCAAUUUAAAUUUUGGAAUGACAUAAAAACAUUAGCAUUCCCAAAGAAUAGGAGAAAUGGCAAGCAGUAAUGGGACUGAAAUACUUGAUCCUUGAGAAGACUGAAGAAAAGAAAAGGAAGUAGCUAAAGCCACUGCUCAAAGAAAAUAGAAAAUAAGUUACUGUUUUUGUAAUUGUUUUUUAGAACAACUUUUUAUUAUCCAGAAGAAAAAUACGAAAAAUACGUUUGACAACCAAAAACUAUUUUCUGUUUUCUAUUCUUAAGAACAAAAAAUAUAGUAUUUUUAGAAAACAUCUUUCAAUUGUUUUCACUUAUUUUCUGAGAAUUGUUUUAAAAAAUAAUUAUGCAAACACGUAAAAUAAAUAAAAAUAAAACAUUAGAUAUAAAUUUUUAAAAAAAAUCAUAUUUAAAAUAUUAAAAAUAAGUUAAAAACAUUUUAGGUUUUCAAGAGAAUAAUUUGUUAGAAUUGUUUUCGAAAUAGUUACCAACUAGACAUGACACCAACUUUGGCAUAAGCAUGAACUUCCAUAAAAGUAGGAACUAUAAUACCAACUAGACAUAUAAUAUAAGUAGAGCCACUUGCAUCCCCACAUUCAACCAGAAAGACUAGUUUAUGAGGUAAAGGGACUAAAUCAAAAUUAGAAAGUAACAGUAGCACCCAGCUGAGAAUAUCAAAUACAUCUGCAGAAAAGCAUAUCAAAUCAGCACAAUUUCUUCACUAGGCUUUCGAAACACAUAACCAAUGUAUCAAUAGUGAUCACAAAUCCAAAUCACAGAGAGUGACUUACACUAAUAAGAUACACUAGAAGCCCAACAAUCGAGGAGAGACCCAGAUUUACAAAAUCCAGGAACAGAUCAUUCUUCAGAAGCAUAAGAAACCCAUAUUUAAAGAAGGAAAAAGGGGAAGUCUACAUGUGCCCCAUUCCCAGUCUCUGCAAAAAUAAAUAAAUUAAUGAAUCGAUUAAUAAUAAAUUAAGAAGUGAGAAAACAAUAUGGAAUAUUUGAAAUACCGUAUGGGAAAAGAGACGUUGUGGGAAUGGGGCAAUGACUCCGAUUGACUCUGAUCCAGAUGAAGCAAGCUAUCUUUAUCCAAUUGCUCUUAUUCGUUUUGGAAUGGCCCACCUGAGGUCAUUUCAACGCCACCCCAAUAUAUAAAUCCGAAAUCAAACUAGUGGGUUUUAUGAAAUUUGGGAUAUUUUCAAAAAGCCCUCAAAAUAACAAAAUAUUGGGUAAAUCAAAGUCCCAUGAACCUCCGAUUUCACCGACACCAUAGCUGUGAACACCAGAUUCUGAGGCCUAAUGAGAAAGCACCCAAAGGCAAAUACACCAAAUUAACAAAUGGGUUUCAUGAAAUCUAGGGAAUUAAAAAAGAUCCCUUAAGAAAUUGGAUAAAAGCAGUCCCAGACGUCUUGAAUUUAGUGACACUUUACCAUAUUCUGAGCCCUAAAAAUAAUGACAUUGUUGAGUAAAAUUGAGGCCAUCGGGGCUUUAGGAGGACACGUGUCGGCUCCCCGGUACGCGUUCAAAGAGUAAGCCAAAGGUGGAAGACUGGAGCGGAUACCCACUUUUUCGGUCAAAGCGACCGACUUCCAUGGAUAAGCUUAAUUCUUUAAAAUUGUAUGCAGACAAGUGGCAAAAAGAAAUAUCUCUAUGAAAAUGCAGACACCCAAAUUUGAAAGCAUGUUCUUCUGUUGCCGAGAUGGGAGGUUGGGUUGAGAUAGACCAUGUCAAGUCGGUAUCCCAACCAGCUCAAGGUUUCAAUACCCCUGUUUGGCUCGCGGGAAACCCACUUUGUGGUUUUUUUUCCCAGCAGUAAUUAGAUUUUCCUAUGCCAAUGUAGGGAGCUCUGGUCUUGAACUUGUGUUUGUAUAAAAACUCAGGCCAUGUAUUUGAUAUGCCAAAUUCAUAGAACAGCUGUUAAUAACUACCCAAUUUGCCAGAACACCUGUACAAUCUUCAAAUAGAUUUAGCCUGUUCCAUGGAAGCACACUGGAGCAUGAAAGGCUUUCAGGAUGAUGUUUUGUGAUGGUUCAGCAAGGCUCAAAUCAAGCCCUGAAAGACAAGCCUGAAAUGGAAUAUUUAAGGUGAAUACAAAGUAUAAACAUGAGGUUUUUUGAAAUCAAAAUAGGGUUCUUGAUCAAACACUAGAUGGAGAUGUUGAGGAAUUUCUAGAUUUUCUAUUUAUAGAAGUCUACAAUCUUAAAUCUUUCUUACAAGAGGAAAAUGGUACAACAACAUAUAUACAAAAGGGAAGGAGAAAAUUGCCUUAACAUAAUGUUAAUUCUCACAUCCAGACAGAGCCUCUUUGUACACCAUGAAAAGAGGACAAUAAAGAGAGGCAAAUGGUUUAUUCAGCAGUCUUUUUGUUUUUCCUCUGCAGGCUUGCAGUUGUGUCUCUACUCCUCAUGUUUAACUUCAUCUCAUAUGCCCAUCAAAAGAUCUCUUAAAAUCAUCUAGGUUUUACCUGGAAAACUCUGUUGUACCAAAUUGAAUGGAGGGUCAUGUGGAAAAGAUCAUACUUCAAGGGCUUGGCAUGCCACAGAAAAUGCUUCUGAACCUUCCUUACCCCAAGCUGCAUUUGAAGAUACUUAUCAUUUGGUAUCGAGAGGAGAACAUCUUUCAAGUUGGGAAUAUCUUUCUCUGCCAGUAUUAUUGAGAAUGCUCCCCAAUCUAAGACAUCGAAAAAUGGUGGCACGAAAUUGUCAGAUAUGAUCACAGGCACACACUCGUAAAAGAUGGCUUCAACCACCCGUGGGCUGUUGACCUCGUAACCCUUGGGACAGAUGCAAAACUUGCUGCUCUUCAUGUGCUGGAUGUAAUUCAUUUUGCUUGCAACACCAGGAGGCAUUGGGCCAUAGAUCUUCAUAUCAGGGUCUUUGUCCUUCCAGUACUUCAGCAAGAUUGGUCGUAAAUAUCCAUGCAUGUUUCCAGCAUAAAAGGCAAGAAUGUGCCUCUCAGAAGGAGGUUUUCCUCCGAGAUCUCGAAGAGGAUUUCUUGCGGAACGGACAUAUGUUUCUGGAAGAGACACAUCCCUGCCUAUUUUGAAGCCUGCAGUUACAUCAGCAUUGCAGAGGGCUUUGAUGCAUUGUUCCAUAUGAUGUCUUGUUUCGUAUGGAGCCUACAAGGGUCCAACGCAUCAUAUCAGAUUAAGUCCAAACUAAGUGAGACUAGCAUACUUUUGACAAAGACCAUGGCCACACAACAUCACUAAAAAUCAGGUUUUUCUUUUUCAACCAGAAAAAGCAACUGGAUUGUCUAAUUUCCAUUCAUUUUUACUUAAAUGAUUAAAACAUACUUGAUAACGUGAUAUGGUUCUGAUAUGGCAUAAUACGACAGGACUUUUUUGUCAGUAUCAAGGCAUGAAACCUAAACCCACUCUAAAACAUGAUUUGAAUGUCUUUAACAUAAUAAAAUACUCAAAAACCAGUCAAGCUAAAGUGACCAAAAAGAAAGAUGUGCAGAAAGCAUACCCAAUCAUGGCAAGCAACAAGAAAGUGAUCUGCUCCACCAGUUCUAUUCCAGAAACGAUAUUUUGCAGCAAUUUUUUCUGAAUACUGCUUCAAAUAUUGGCGUAGAUUGGUCCGGUUGUGAGAGUUCCGUACAUACAGUUUGUACUCCAGCAUCCGUGAACUAAAAGGCAUAUAAAACAGCUGAGCCUGUCGAGGGUCCUUCACAACAAAAUGCUUGUUUCUCUCCAUCAGUUUCAUAAACCAUCCCUCAGAGGCAUAUAGUCCCUUGAGUAUUGGUUGGUGAAAGAUGGGUUUUUCUCCAUCCUUGUAGACAUAAACUUUCAGGAUGCGCUCCAUGAGUUCAUAGCUUCUGCAAAUGCAACCAAAUGGAAGUUAACAUUGAAACCCUUUGUCAACAGAAAAGUGUUGUUUAGCUGUAUUUUUAUUUUUAUUUUUUUUUUGUGAUAAGUAGUUGUUUAGCUGUAUUUUCAUACAGCUAGAAGGCAGAUCUAUGAAAAUGUUGAAAGAAACAGGACUUAAGUUCUUAGAUGGCAUGAUCUUCUCCAUCCAACUAUUUCGUGUUCUAUUCUUCAAGCGAAGAUUAAGAACAGAAUAAUUUCUAAAUCAAUUUCCACCAUUGGUUGUGUUAAUCAUGGGAGGACCUUCUUCGAGUUUAAUCAGCUCCAAGAUCAUUCGAAUGCAUCCAGCUUAUUUUUUAAUUGUGGCCAGAGAAUAAGGCAUGUCAAUUGGUGAUUGUGAGUCUCAAGGAUACAACUCCUCGAUACCAUAAUAUUUUAUAUCAUAAAGUUAUCAGCAACUACAAACAAUAUGUGUCCCAAUCCCUAAAUUCCAACAUCUUAACAUUUAGGGAUCUAGCAAGUCAAACAUCUAUAUCAUACCUAAUAUGCAAAUUUUUUUCAAGCCCAGAAGUUAGUUACCAAGUGUUGACAGAUAGGAAAACCUAGUUGAUUACUUAUUGGUUUCUAGAAGCAUCUUCUGAAUGUGUCAACACAUGGAUGUUGACUAUGAAAUACAUUUACGUAUCUCUAAUACAAUAAAGCAAGCAUAACACAGACAUCAAAGGAGUAAGCCUCCAUAACAAACAAACUCAUUAGAAAUAAGCGGAAGAAAUGCUCUUUCUUUUUUCUUUUAUGGGUAAAAGAAAUGCUCUUUCUAUUGGACAGAUUAGAGUCGAAUAGGCGAAGCUUCUGCAAGAAAGUUUCACCAAGAACAGAAAAAUCAAUACAUGCAUUAUUCCACUCUUUUCAAGCAGAAUUACCAAGUACUAUUAUCAAUGAGAAUGAUCGAGCACGAUUUUAUGAGCUUUAAAGUGAGUAACUCGUAUAUUUCUUCUACAGUUUCACUUCCUUCCUAUUUUCAUUCUUCUCUACUUUCAAAUUAUAAGUAGCAGCCUGGAAUGAUAUUAAUUUCACAUCAUAAUUGGAAAUCAAGCAAGUAUUAAAACUCAAAGCAAGCCAGUCAAAUAAAAACUUUCUGAGUUCCAGAAUCCCAUGAAUGAAAUGGCAAAAUAAAAGUAUACUUUCACAACAAUGUAGAUUUAUGUAUAUGAUUUUAUCAGGAUUACCUUUUAAACAUGGAAACAUUUCGAAAAAGAGGAGCAUGAAGUUCUGGAUCAUUCUUUACUCUAGGAGCAUUCUGAAUCUGUAACUUUGCAGCCAGCAUUUCCUGGUCACGUGGGGAGGCCCAACGAGGUCUCUGAAUUCCAAUGAUAAAGUUAAAAUUCCCAAUAAAACUACAGCAUUGAAGGUAAAAUUUAAUUAUAAAAAUGAAAAACUUGUACCAUUGCACGUGAGGAAGCACGGUGCCGAACUAAUCUUCUGUUCAUAUCAUAUAUUGAUGUUACUGAUUUUGGAGGCAUCUCACUCUGCAUCUUUUUCCUCCCAGGAUUACUUGUCAUUGCAGAAUUAUUGUUUAAAUCAGCAAGAUCACUCUGCAGCACCAGAAGAUUUUCAUCCUUAGAAAGGAUUUCUUUUUCUGGCUUUCCAACAGAAGAUAUGUCAGUGGCGGUCAAAUGGUUUGAGGCGUUUCCAUUUGAUGCCAUUUUUUCGAUGUAGGUGGUGUUAAAUAAUGAAUCUACUCCAGGAGAUGCAAGCAAAUGGGAUUUGAAAGUAGUACCUAGACUUCCAGGGGUACUUGGUGUUAGACUUGCAUCUGCUUUUACAAUAUUGUCUGUUGAAAUUCCCUCAUUUGGUGGUUUCACAAUAUGCACUGCAGAGCCGAUGUGUCUCAUUUCACUGUCCUUUUUCAGAUCUGAACUAUUUUCUUGAUUGUUGACAUAUUCCAAUGCAGAGAUCCCAUCCAUAUCUACAACUUUCUUAAAUGGCAAACCUUUACUUAUGUUGUUAUCCUUAGUAAAUUCAACAACGUGAUCCAUGCCUUUGCUCUCUGAGGCAAAAUUCUCUGUGUCUCCACCCUUUUCCUUUGGUCCAUUAUCAUCCUCAUUGAAUUCAACAAUGUUUUCCAGGUCUUCUCUCUCUAAUGCAAGACCAUCUUCUAUGUCUUCAUCUGUUCCCUCUGUUCCAUUAUCAUCCCCAAAUUCUACCGUAACAUUUGAUUUCUCCACAUCUUCUACCACCUCAACAAACAGUGAAGUGUCAGUCAAGUCUGAAGCAUUGGAAAGAAGGGACUUGUUAACCAUAAAAGACCUGACAGAAGAUUGUCUAGUUGGGGAGCUGAAAUUGUCAUAUAUUGGAACAUCCCGAUCAGGCAGUAGAGACAGAAGAGCAUUUCCAUAUGGAAGCAACAGGGAUUGACACAACAAAUAAGUAAUUGCCACUAACCCCACCAUGAAAAUCCAUCUCCUGGUUUCUACCAGACAGAACUUUUGAAAUUUAAGAGUGCACUCCAUCUGCAAACAUUACCCGUCAUGUAAAUUCAUUCAAUCAUCUUCUAAAGAGAAACAUUUCUCGGCAGUCCUGCAUAAAUACCCAGAUUUCUAAAUUUAAUUACAACACAAUUCCAUUUAAAAAAUGUAAAUGUUGUUCACAAGAAAGAUAAAGCACCAUUGACAUUGUUGGCAACCCAAAAAGAAAUUCCAGACAGCUAAAUAUAAGAUUUAAAGCACUCAUAUGAAGUGCAAUGAAAUGCAAGAACCACUGAUUGGAACAAUAUAAAACUAAAAAUAGAAAGAAGAAAGAAGAAGUUGGUGCAAAUGAAGCAGACAAGAGCAGCAUAAGUUCAAAGACACAACCUUACAACCCACAAAGUUAAACAUUUGAAGAAAAAUGAUAAUAACAAUUGGAUUGUUGAAAAUCAGAUCAUACAUUUUCAUCCACCUAACUUCUAGACUAAAGCAUUUCCAGCAAAUAUCACUAACCCUGAAUAAGCAAUAUCAAUCUUCAACCUAGGGUUGAAUAAUCCAAAAGCUCAAAAUAUGUGAUAUUAUAUAAUUAAAUCUAGUAAUUGUAGACAAGCAUAGACCCUAGGACUUUGUUUGGUUGCUGAAAGAACGGAGGAAAGUAGAACUAGAAACAACACUGAGAUCUUGUAUUUUGAGCUGUUCACUUUUCUUUUUUAUGAUAGGCAUUGAGCUGUUCACUUCCUAGUUAAAGAAACACUUAACUAAUCCAAAUAGUUGCACAACAUCAACUUGAGUUAAUUUUUCUGGUUGCUUUGUCGGUCAGAGAAACCAAAAAAGUAGGUUUUUUAAAAUUUUCCUUCUAUUUUCUGCUCUUUCCUCCACUUUUUCAGCUGCCAAACAGAGCGCUUCUGUUCUAAAGUUUCAUAUACAAAAUAAAAAAGUAAAAAAUAAACAGAGCGUGACAAGCGGAUACUCGAUGAGCUUUGGACAUGCAUCAAAACCUUAACUAGCUUUACAACACAUCAGCAUACAAUCUGAGUGAUUCUCCCAGUGAUUUCAUCAGACAAAGCAACAGAAUUUUCAAACAGAAACUGAGCUCUGUGCGGAUGCUGAGAAAGGAAAAGAGAGGGAAACUCAAACCUUGUCCGGUCAGUUUGGUAGACAUCAAAGCAGCAGAAAAUGUGACCCUCCUUUCGUCUUCCUCCACUUUCUAGGCAGCCAAACUGAGACCAAGGAGCAUCGGUUACUGGAAUUGAAAGGGAUCUGAACACUGAAGAAAUAUUGUCGUUUUCAAUAAAGAAAGAAAAAAAUUAAAAUUGUUUUUUAAAGAAAAAAUAAUUAAAUAAAUAAAGGAUUCUCAUCAUACCCAUUACUUUCUUAAUUAAUUUUAUUAAUAAUAAAAUAAUAAUAUUUAAAUAAAGAUAAAAAAAAAAAAGGGUGAUGUUUGCCUUUUUCAAUUUUUCUCUUCAUUUAUUUUUUCUCUUUGGAAGAGUUGUUUGAAACUCCACUGGUCGUGUUCUAUAUACUUCUAUUGCUGGUUAAUGCUAGUGUCUUUGAGUUUGGGUAACAAAACGAUGUCGUAUUGAACUAGCCUGGAAAAUACCCUUCUUAUUUACCUUUUUACAUGAAUGCCACCCAAAAAAAAUUUCUAGGAAUUUAUUAUUUCCAUAAUUAAGAAUAUUUAAUUUCAAAUAUUGGAAUCGUAUCUUUGAUAGAUACAAAUUCGAUAACAUACGAUUUUCCUUAUAUAUAGCAUAAUAUUAAUAUGGCGGAUCAUUUAUUAAUACCGAAUCGAUAUUCAUAUAUUAAAAAAAUAUCACCAAUCAAAUUAUGUCUCAUAUAUAUGCGCAUUAUUAUUUAUGUCGAACCAAUAUAAUUUUUACCAUAUACCUUCGACUACCCAAAUUACAUGUUCGAUAAGUUCUAGAAUUUUCCCCGUAUAAAGUCAGGGGUGAAUUUAAGUUGAUGCAUGGGAACAAAUGAAAAGGAGGAGGACAAAAACUGAUAGAUGUAGGUGAGGAAAUUAAGAUAAGAUUGUUUAAUAUAUGAGUGAACAUUUGAGCUGAAAAAAGUAAUGUCACGUUGGAGGACCCCACCAGCAUGUAUUAAAGUUAUAACACUGACUUCAUUUCUUUUGGCACCUCCACCUAUCCUAUGGAGGAGCCUGCAUCACAAGCUUAUUGCCUUUUGAAUAUCAGACUUGGCUCAAAACACAAUAAAUACCAAGCUUGAGAAAGGUCAAAGUAAGCUCCAGCUAACCUCACUAACAGUAGUAGAUGUGGAGGAGGCAUAUGGAUUGUUUUGUAAUUUUGAAAAUUAGUUUUUUAUAAUAUUUUUUAAAAUUGUUAUUUAAUAUCUUAUAGGACAAAAGUUGUUUGAAAAUUUAAAAUAUUUUUGAUAUCUUUAAAUAUGUUUUAAAAAUAAUUUUGAUGUUUAAUAUUUUAUUUUUAAUUAUUUAUAUGUUUAUAAAAUUAUUUUUUUAAAUAGCUCUUAAAAAAUAAUUAAAAACAACUAAAUAAUGUUUAUCUUGUUUUCUAUUUUUAAGAACAUUAAAUAAAAAAUAAUUUUUUAUUAUUAAACAUAUUUUCUUAGUUUUUUGUUUUAAAGAAUAAAACGUUUUUUCAAAAAUAGUUGUCCAACAUGUCCAUAAUAACUUUUUUUUUUCUUCAUCUUCUACAACAAUUUCACUGACAUAUGAUUCCACAAAAAAAAAAAUAUAUAUAUAUAGAAAAUAUAAAAAUAAAUAAAAAAUAAAUUUAAAGUUCAUAUAUUCCUUUAAACUCAUUUAACUUAUUUUAACUCUUAGAAUAAAUAAUUUUAAAAACACAUCCGUCUCUACAUAAUUUUAAUUUUAUAUAUAUAUAUAUUUUUCAUAAUAUAAUCAAAUAUAAAAAAAUAAUUUUUUUAAUAUUUCUUUAUUUAAUGCUUUUUGGGAUCUAACUUAAAAAGAAAAGAAAAAAUAAAAGAAAAUAAAAAUUGAUUUAAAGUGAAUAAAUUAUUUUUAUAUGUUAUUUUAAAUCUAUUUAAUUUAUUUUAACUCUUCCGUACGAAGAUAAAAUAAUUUGAAAAUAUAUAAGUUUCUAAUUAAUUUUAAUUAUAUUUGAUUUUCUUCCAUAUUUUUUUGUAGUACAACUAAACACAAGAAAACCAUUUUCCUUACCAUUAUUUUUUUCUUUCUAACCAAACACAACCAAAAGAAGGUCAGCAUCUAGCUUUAGAAUUAUUGAAGCAUUAGUCUGGAUUUAAGUUCACUAAACCUGUUUGUCAUCUACAUUGAUUGAACUUCAGAGCAAGGCAGUAACAAUCAAGCAAGAAAGAUGGAGGCAUAAAUUUGACAGUAAGGAGGGUUCUCUGCAGGGAUUCAUUUGCAUAUCACACAUAUACAGAAUGCUUUCUUUAUUUUUCAUAUAGCAUUUGAACAAACAAGCCCAUCACCAGAAUCUGGUGAAUCAAGCAGCUAUACACACACUACUCCACCCUCAUUCAACUUACAUUGGCAGGAUGACAGAUGAUGUUUCAGCAAAAUUCUGGGUUGCUUGCUCCUCCCAUCUCCCGGUUGAUUGUUUGCAGUUGAUGGAUAACACCAUUCCUUUGUGACAUUUGAUCAGCUUUCUUCUAUCUCUUAUUUGGGCUUUACCUGAAAAACUCGGUUGUACCAAACUGAGUGAAGUAUCAUGUGAAAUAAGUCAUACUUUACCGGCUUUUUGUGCCAAAGAAAAUGCUGUUGCACCAUCUUUACUCUCAUCUGCAUUUGGAGGUACUUCUCUUCUGGGAUGGAGAGAAGUAUGUUCCUCAAAUUUGGUACAUCUUUCUCUAGAAUGAAUACUGCAAAUGCUUCCCAGUUCAAUAUCUCAAAGAAAGGAGGCACAUAAUUGUCAGAUAUGAUCACUGGCACACACUCAUAGAAAAUGGCCUCAACAACUCGAGGUGUAUGAACUUCAUAGCCCCUGGCACAAAUGCAAUACUUACUGCUCUUCAUGUGAUCCCGAUAUCUACUUUUGCCUCCAUCAUCGCGAGACAUUGGACCAAAUAUUUUGAUGUCUUGUUCUUUAUUCUCCCAGUACUGUAGCAGGAUUGGACGGAGAUAGCCAUGCAUGCUUCCAGCAAAGAAGGCCAGAAUAGGUCUCUGUGAAGGAGGUUUUCCUCCAAGAUAUUUUAGAGGGUCCUCAGAUUUACGGAUAUAUGUCACUGGAAGAGUAGUAUCCUUGCCUAUUUUGAAGCCACUGGCAAUAUUUGAAUUGCAAAGAGCUCUGAUGCUAUUCCAGCUGCAUUGCCUUGUGAUCCGGGGUGCCUGAGAAUUGAAGCCUUUGUUAGAAAAUGUUCCACUUACCAAGUCAUAAGUUGAUUCACCUCCUGCAGAGCAUUAUGCAUUUGGCUUAGAUUUAGCCCAUGGAUGGCAGCUUUGAGUGUUCCUCUUCUCUUCUCUCUUGGAAAACACAUGCAAGCAUGCCAGGGGCAUUUGCAAGAAAAGUUUGAUUCUUUAAACAUCACUGAGUAAAUCAUAACCCACAAAGAUGAAGGGUGGCAUAGUUAUGGCCUGAGACUUUAUCCGAAUGGUAUUGGUGCUUAUGGUUCUAUAGAUAGGGUUCUGUCCAUACCAAGCCUAAAGGAGCUCAAAAAUAAUAAACUAAAAGGCCUGAUAUAGAAGUUUUGACUAAAAAAGACAAAAAAUAAAGAUGAAUGAUGCAUGAGAACCAUACCCAGUCAUGACAAGCAACGAUUAAAUGAUCUGCUCCUCCAGUUCUGUUCCAGAAACGAUAUUUUCCUGCAAUCAAGCCUACAUAAUUCUUGAAAUAUUUCUCUAGGUCCCUUGGAGUGGAGGAAUUUUGUUCAUAAAACACAGUCCUCAGCAUUUUUGAACUGAAGGGUACGUAGAACAAGUGAGCUUUUCUGGGGUCCCUGACCACAAACCGUUUGUUCCCCUCUAUCAGUUUCAUGAACCAUCCUUCAGAGGCAUAAAUUCCUCUCAGUCGUGGCUGAUGGAAUAUAGGCUUUUCUCCUUCUCUAUAAAUAUAAAUUUUGAGCACCCGUUCCAUCAGUUCAUAACUCCUGCAAAUGUGAUAAGAUGGAAGCUUUAAUUGAAAGUCUAUGUGUACAUAGCCUUAGCUCGGUACUGGGACAAGGGUUAUUUUCUGAAAGACCAGGGAUUUGACUCCUGAAGAAAACACAUGCAGAUGCACAGCGUGUCUUCCUUCCUAUGGGUGGGAUAGUGAAGGAGCAGGACAGAGUCAGAAGUGUCCAGGGCCUAUCUCAUAAUCAAUUAACUAAAAGAACUCCAAAUACCAAAGCAAUACUUAUGAGUUAAAUCUUCAUAUCCGCAUAUAUAUUAGCAAGUUAAACUAUGAAUAAAGAGUAUCAUUACAACCAAAUUACGACUUGUAUAGUAAAAGAUCUUUAUUAGUUAGCAAGUGAUGAUAAUACCACAGUUUCCAAUAAGAAGUACCAAAUAUUUAAACAUAUAAACAUUCAACUAGGCUCUCCUUUAAACAUGAAAACAUUUUGGAAAAGGGAAGCUUAGGUCCUGGAUUGUCUCUUACAAUGGAAGCACCAGGUGACCAUGACAACACUGAUUUUAACAUUAAGCGUUCAACAUUCAACACAUAAAGCUUUGAAUAGGCUCACCUUUUAAACAUGGAAACAUUUCGGUAGACAGAAGCAUAAAGUCCCGGAGUGUUCCUUAUGACUGGAGCAUUCUGGAUUUCUGAUCUUGCAGAUAGAAGCUCCCGAUCACGUGGAGAAGACCACCGUGGCCUCUGUAACGGAUAAAAGAAUAACUUAAAUCUGAUUAUUGGUUGUUCAGAUUGAAACCUUUAAGUUCAAAUCCAUACCAUUGAAUAAGAAGAAACAGCACUCUGAAGCAAUAACAAAUUCAUCUUGGAUAUGGUUGUUGGCUUCAUCCCCCUCCUUCUAGUAAUAGAGAUGUCUGCAAUUGUAUAAUUAUUGUCCAAAGGAACUGAAACAGUUUGCAAUAGAUUGGUAUUUUUGUCCUUUUCGGCUUCCAUGACAUGUUUAACAUUGCUCACUGUGGAUAAAUCAGAAGUUCUAGAAUCUGCAUCCAGGUUUCUCGUACCCUUUGAAGAAAUUCCUGGUGACACAAGUGGCAGGGACACAAGACCAUCCCGAUUGCUACCUUCCCCUAUUGUUAAACUGGUGCUCGCCUUUCGGUCAUCAUCUAUCUUGAAAUUGUUGUCUGAUAUUUUCAAAUGCUCUAGAGGACCAUGCCUGAAUUCUAUUGCCUUUUCUUUAGGACUAUUAUCUGUAUGUCUGACAUUUCUCACUGUCAUGCUCUUAUCAAGUCCUACACCCUUCUCAAGAAUAAACUCAUUGUCUGAGUUUUUCUCUUUGUGCAUUUCAACAGAAUAAUCAAGGUCUCCGUCAUCAUCUGAUGCAAGAUGAUAGUCCAUGUCUGCUUCAUCCUCCAAAUCAGAAGCAUCACUAUUAUUCACCACUGUGCGAAUUACAUAAGAAUUAGCCGAUAUUGAGUUCUUCAAAAUGGUGGCAUCGCCAACCAUCAUAGAUACUGAACCCUUUACAGUAGGUGAUAGAGUCAAGGUAUUCAUACUGGGAAGUUCAAAAACCUGAAACACAAUUACAGAAGCAACCACUAGGCCCACAAUGAAGAGAAGUCUUCUGGACUCAACAUGACAUAACUUCAUGAAUAGAGCUGUCAUAUCCAUAUCAUAAAAUGGCAACAAAUAACCAAUUACAUCAGGUACAAUCUGGUCAUCACUCUAAUCGUGUUAGCCUGCAUCUGGAAAGGCAAUCUUAAAUAAAGUUACAUCUUUGUCUGAGAAAAGAGAAAUGAAUUAUCACACUGGAAAUGCUAGACUCAGAUGAAAUUUCUGCAUUUACAGAGACAAGCACCCGUGGGUAGUAUUUCAGUAGUUUCUUGCUUUCUAAAGCAAGAAAAUUGCGGAAUGUCAACUUCAGAAGGUAAGAAAAAACUUCCAAAAUUCUAAACAAACAGGAUCUAAAUUAACUGUUGACCAAACCUUUUCCCACAAAUAUACAAGGGCAUCUCAUUAUCAAUUUAAAAAAAGAAAAAAGAAAAAAAAAUGAUUUUUAUGAAGUAUAAUAUCCAGCAUCAAGAAUUAACAAGUAAGGAAAUCAAAUCAUUUAAUUUUGAAAAUCAUAAGGUUCCAUUUGGUUGCUGAGAAAGUGCAGGGAAAAGAGAAGAAAAUUUGGAAUCUUGUCACUGCUACACCAAUCCCAGAACCUGCAAUGGGCUUCCAAAAUUUCCACUCUUGCCCAGCCAUUUUUUCUCGAGAAUCAAACGGAUGAUACAAGAAGAUGGAAGAAAACUGGUACGAGUAGUACCUGUUCACGCUCUCCGUAGAUCAUUCUGAAGCAUUUUGGGGUCGGUCAGUGCUUGGAAGUUGGAACACUAGCUCCAGCUUCAGUGCAGUGAAUAAGAUUGCCCUUCAAUCAUAAGGAAAUAACGGAAAUACCCGCCCCAUCAAUAAUACGACGCCGUUUUGGAGACCCUAAAAUUAAUAUAAAGAGGCUGCCCGAUUUACGACGUCGUUUUAAUUGUCUGAAACUACUCUUAUUUCCUUCUCCUAGGUCCUCCAAUCUCUUCUCGUUUUCGCAUGGAUGAAUAGAGUUCUCCCAAAACCUUCUUGAAAAAUGGCGCUCAAAACCCUAAUUCCAUUUCCAAUUUUGGCCCCAUCGAACCCAUCUCACCGGCCAGCUUCCGAGGUUCGGUUUUCCCGGUGGAACAAUGCCAACGCCGAGAGGUUCACCCUCCGAGAACGCGCUCAGAAAGAAAUUGAAGACAAUAUUCGCCGGGAACGGCGUUUUGAUUCCGCCACUAGAAUCGCCGAUAUUGAUGAUGCCGGUACUUCCAAAGAAGCCGCCGCCGCCGGAACCUUCAAGUCCACGGGAACUCCGUCUUCUCCCUCAAAACCUUCGAUUCCCGGAAAAUCCUCCAAGUACUCCAAAAAUUCUAAAACAUCGCACCCCGCCUUUCGUCAAAUUUCAAGAAGAACGAAGCUUCCAGGCCCUAAUAUCUCCCCCGAAGCGAAACGCGGCAUUUCUAUAGGGGAGGAUGGAGUUUCGUACAUGGUUCCUGGUGUUCCAUUUGAACUGAGAUACAGUUACACUGAAACCCCAAAGGUAAAGCCGAUAGCUUUGCGCGAGCCGCCUUUUUUGCCCUUCGGUCCUGACACAAUGCCGCGGCCCUGGACCGGCCGAGCGCCUCUUCCGCCGAGCAAGAAGAAAUUGAAAGAAUUUGAUUCUUUUCAGCUGCCACCGCCCGGUAAAAAAAGGGUUAAGCCAGUGCAGGCGCCAGGGCCCUUCUUGCCUGGAUCCGGUCCAAGAUAUGUGAGGUCAAGGGAGGAGAUAUUGGGGGAACCAUUGACAGAGGAGGAGAUCAAAGAGUUGGUCCAGGGGUGUGUGAAAUCAAAGAGGCAAUUGAAUAUGGGUAUGCUUGAAUUUUCGUUGGUUUUGGUUGUAUCUUUUCUAUUUUGGUUUUUUUUGGUCGAAUAGGCACAUUAGGGAAUUGAAUGUGGCAAUGCUUGAAUUCACUCAUUCUGUUCGUAGCUUUUUGAAUUUUGAUGACUAGAGUAAGUUGACUGUGGCUGUCUUUGAAUUCAUUGAUUUGUGAAUAACUUUGAAUUAUGUAAUGAUUACUUCUACAUUUUUUGCAUUUUAGUUUCUCUUUUUCUUAUAAUUUAACCCUCUGUUUGGUUGCUGAAAAUUGAGAGGAAAAGGAAAGAAAAUGAUGAAACUCAAUUCUUAUAGUUGUGGUUCCCACAAAAAUUGAGAGGUCUGAUUAUGUUAUUUACUAGUUUGUUGAACCAUGGGCUAACUAGGACCUUGUUUUAGAAAUUCUGGACUUCUUUCUUUAUUACACUUCAAGGCUCUGUGGGGUUCUCAAGAAUACUUUAGGGCUCCAUUUGGUUCUCAGAAAGAAUGAGAAAAUAGAAGAAAACACAUUAGGGUUCUGCAUUAUGGAUGAUUGAGGAUGAUACUUGAUACUCAUGGUAAUUUUAAUUAUUUAUGGUUGAAUAUUUUCUUUUUAGGUAGAGAUGGCUUGACACAUAAUAUGUUGGACAACAUCCAUGCUCACUGGAAACGGCGGAGGGUAUGCAAGAUAAAAUGCAAAGGUGUGUGUACAGUUGACAUGGAUAACGUGCGCCAACAGCUGGAGGUUGGUCUACCCCAUAUUCUUUUUCUGAGGUUUUGGCUAUCCUGUUUUAUUAUGUGCUCUCAUGUUUUUACAACUUCAUUUUGGUUAACAUUUUGUUUAUCUAGUAGGUAAUAUUUGUUAUUGUAUGUGGGGAGUUGUGAAAUAAUACCAUUUACAUCAUUCAAAUCCUUGCUCCUAAUUCUUUCAGGACUUUUGGAGAAUCAGGGCGCCUUUCAUUAUCUUGGGGCAAGAAAAUUCUUAUGGAACUAGGGAAUUCUUAACUUGUAUCAGUUUUUUUUAGGAUGAGAAUGUUCACUAAAAGCAAAUGCUAAAUGUGUUAUCAUUGACUAUGUUGUUGAUCUGUGUAGAAUUACAUACUUUGGUGUGGUAGAUGUGGCAUGUGUGGCUGAAAUGAUAGCCAAAUAAAAUUCUUGAUCAAUCAUUUAAAAUGACUGAGUUGGGAGAAUAUUAGUUUGUCCUUUUACCAUUCUGAGGCAUUGUAAUAUGUUCCUUUAAAAUGUUUGUCUCAGUUAUGAACUAAUGAUGAGAUGUAGAAUAAUUGUUCACUGAAACAUAUGCAGGAUAUAUUUUAUCUUUGAGCUGUGUUGAAUAUUGCAUCUUGUGUGAUAAUUAGUGUGUGUGGUAACUCGUGUGGAGAUUCUGCUAUUAGGGAUUGUUUUUCGGAUCUUUUCUACAUGUCAGUUAACAAAGAUUCCAUGGUGGCAGAUUAUUAGUAUGUGGAAGGUGACUUGAGGCUAUUGGAAUCCAAGGUCUAUCUAAGCAUUUCAUGAUUGCGAAUUGGGAAUAGGGGAAUUCUUUUUGUCUUGUUUCAGAAUGUGAUUGUGCAUGUAGAUAAGGAGGAUAAAAUAGUAUGGAAAUAUGCCAUAGGGCCCUGCUUUUGGCCCAUAGCAUCUGUUUCACGGAUAGAAGGGUUUGGGGUCACUUGUUCUUUCCAAAGUUGAUUUCUUGGUUUCAAAAGUAGUUUGGGAAAAGAUUCUUACUUUGGAUGAACUUAUGGAAGAAAGUAGGAUAUUAGCCAAUUAGUGUUGUUUGUAUGAACAGAAAGAAGUAUCAUUCAACCAUUUAUUAAUUUGUGUGGCUUCGAUCGGUCAAAUUGUAGUUGAAAAAAAUUUUAUGAAUUUUUUGUUAGAAUGAUCCAAUGGAUUCAUAGGAAAUGGAAGUCUUUCUUUGGUAGAUUUCCUUCAUGUUCGGGUGGUACUUAGGGUGUAACGAGCCCCCUUUUUGGGGCUCAUUUUGUACCAUCCUAAUUAUUUGGAAAGAAAAAAAAAGAGGAAAAUAUAAACAUUAUUAUUUGUACUACACUUCAUUGAGAGAAGACUUCAUAUCCCUAAUUAUUUGUAAAUUGACAGGAGAAAACAGGAGGGAAGGUCAUUUAUGGUAAAGGUGGGGUACUAUUCCUUUUCCGUGGCAGAAAUUACAACUAUAGAAAUCGCCCGCGAUUUCCUCUAAUGUUGUGGAAACCUGUUACUCCUGUAUAUCCAAGGUUGGUUCAAAGGGCUCCAGAGGGUCUAACACUUGAAGAAGCUGGUGCAAUGCGCAAGAAAGGACGGAAACUUAUCCCUAUAUGCAAGCUUGGUAACCCAUUUACAGCUAUGUGCUUCAGUUGAUUUAUAUUAUAGAAAACGAAAAAGUGUUUCAUUUUUUGUUGGCAAGAAAAAUUAUAAUCCAACCUUUCCUGUGUCAUGCAGCAAAAAAUGGUGUAUACACAGACUUGGUAAAUAAUGUGAGAGAGGCAUUUGAAGAAUGUGAGUUGGUCCGAAUAAAUUGUCAAGGAUUGAAUGCAAGUGACUACAGAAAAAUAGGUGCCAAACUCAAGGUCCGGUAAAUUUAUUUUUAUGAGGUUCAUUCUUGUAUCAUCACAUUUAUACUAAAAUUAUAUUCUAAAAACAAUUCCUUCAAUUCUUUAAUUGCAGGACCUUGUCCCAUGUGUGCUAAUCUCAUUUGAGCAUGAGCAUAUACUUAUGUGGAGAGGAAGCGAUUGGAAGUUCUUGCAUCCAAAACCAGAAGAUGGUUGCAAGGAAGCUAAGGAGUCUGACAAUAAUAGUGAAGCUUCCAUUCCACCACCUUUUGAAGGUCAAGAAUUAUCAGCAUCAUGUUCUUCAAAGAUCUCAGUUAAGGAUACAAGUCUCGACAUGCUUGACACAAUCGCAUCCCCUGUGAUUAAUGAAGAUGUUGCUAUGGACAAAACAGAGGAUUUGUCCUCAAAAGGAAAUGAUAUCCUCUCCUUUGAAGGAAAUGAUAAGCCAUUUGCAGCUACUCAACUGGUGAAAACUGCAUACAAUUGGGACACCGUUUCAGAUGACACUGGUGGUACCAAUGAAUCAGAGAUUAUAUUGACCAAAUUGGAUAAUGCACAUCAUGCUGAUGAUGAAUCAGCAGCGAUGCCAGUGGAACUUGACACUAUGCUGGAAAAUGGAAGCAUUAAAAACGAGUUGAUGGAUGCUGUAACUCAUGACAUGGACAAACUGCAAGACAUUCCCAAAGCCUCACAGGAUUGUGGUAAGAUGACAGGAUCGAGUGCGCCCUGUACUGGGGGGCUUCUUUUACUCUUGAAGCAAGCUGUUGAUAGUGGGAGCGCGGUUGUUUUAGAUGGUGAUAGUUGUGAUGCUGACAUUGUUUAUGGAAAGACAGUUGCCUUUUCUAAGGAUGCUCCACCAGGGCCUGUUUUUAGGAGGCCUAGGAAAGCAGCAGUUCAGAAGUGUGAGAAAGAAGAACCCAGAGACCUAGUGGUGGGCAAAAUUGUAACAGCUCCAGAGAAGGGUAGAAGCCAGAGCAAAAGUUCUAGAAAUCAAAUAGCCAAAGAUUUCAAAGAAGGUUAUCUAGAUGUAGAUUAUCCAGGUGUAGGAACACGGGGAACCCUUGGAGUGGAUGAACUUGCAAAACUAUUGGCUUAAUGGUCACUGGAACUCUGAGAUGAAUGCAUCAUUUUUCUUAUAUAAUAGGGCUGUCUUAUGUGGUGUUAAUCGCUCCAACCCAGCCUUUUUGUACAUUCUUGACAUUUGUGUUUCCAAUGUAUUUUUGCAUAAUGUAUUGGAUUCCAUUGAAACUGAAAGUAGUGCAUGUCAUACUGAUUACAAUUAUUGGAAAUUCUUUGUUUAUACUGCUGCAGAAAGUGAAACAUUUCCUAAAACUAUUGAACAAAAAAUGUGUUCAUAAACCCAAUAAUAAUCUAUAGAAGGGCUCUCCCCAGUCUCCACUUGAGGAUUUCAAUAGAGUAGUCCUUAAUUCUCAGCUGACUUGCCUUCGGUCCGUGGCUCAUCCCCUACUAUUUUCUUCCAGAUUGGGUGCUUGGACCAGAGGUAACAUACCUCUUCAAUUGGAACCUGCUUUGUUUCUGGCAGGAGGAAGUAAAUGAAGCAGCUCAUUAUGAUAAUUAAGCCAGCAAAGACCAAGAAAAUCCCAUAUCGGAGGUGACAUAGAGACACCAGGAAACACUGAGCAAUGAGAGCUGUGAAGAAGAGAUUGACACAGACCACCAUACUCUGCCCAGCUGACCUGGUCUCCAAGGGGAAGAGCUCGCUAGGGACCAGCCACCCCAGAGGGCCCCAAGACCUUCCAUAAGCCAACACAAAGAGAGAGAUUAUGAUCACUAAGAAGUAGCUAGUUCCUUUGGGAAGCGUUUUUCCUUGUCCAAACUCCAGGGCCAGAGUAAUGGCCACAGCCACCUGCGGAUCAGACACCCAAGUAAAUAAUGCAACCGUACAGUUUGUUAGAAGAGAAUCAGGGGAGGAAAACUAGAAUUCCACUUACCAUAUAGCAUAUCAUUUCACAACCUGCCUCCAAAAAGAACUUUCUUCUACCCCACCUAUCUACAAAUGCCAUUGAUAUUAAUGAAGCAAGAACCAGUGCUCCACUGGUUAUUAGAGAUGAAUACAGAGAUGCAUUAGAACCGAAACCCAAGCUCUGAAAUAUCACAGGAGCAUAGAAGAGAAUGGAGUUCAUGCCAGUGAGCUGCUGAAAAGCUGGGAUUCCCAAAGCCCCUAUUAUCAACUGGGGACGAUUUCUUCGCUUCAGGAGGUUCCUGAACGGAUGCUUUAUGGCUUGUGCUGCUUUGCUCGCAUCAACAAGAUCAGCAAACUCGGCUUCAAUUUUCGAUGUUCCUCUGACUUUCUCCAAUACCUUUCUUGCUUCUUCAAAUUUGCCUUGCUCUACAAGACUGUUUGGGGUCUCAGGAAGAGCAAGACCCCCAAGAAACAUUACAGUUGCAGGGACUGUGGCUAAACCAAGAGAUAAUCUCCAACCCCAUGGAUGCAAUUUAUCAGUUUCAUAAUUUAUAAAAUUGGCUACUAAGAUCCCUAAGCAGGUUGAUAGUUGGAAAAGCUGGUUCACUGCUCCUCGGAUUUUAGCAGGUGACAUUUCUGAAAGAUACAGAGGAACCGCCUGUGGCAUAAGAACAAGAGCACAGAAGCCAAUGAGAAAGCUUCUAUUAGCUUGCUUCCAAAGAAGGAUUUAAAAAAGAUUUUAGUCUGGGGGCGUUGAGCUUACCUGGUUACCAAAUCCAAUGCCUACCCCAAGGAGAAUUCUUCCAAUGAUCAGCAUAGCAAUGUUCACUGCAGCAGCAUUGAGGACUGCUCCUAAAAAGAAGCUAAUGGACCCAACAAGUAUUGAGGCUUUCCUGCCUUUUUUUCUGGUCACAUGGGAAGCAGCAAAGGUGGAAACAAGGCCAGCAAAGUAUAAAGAAGAUGUGAAGAGUGUAAGGAUCUGGCUCUCAUAUUUACAGUAAUCUGUCUCUUUGAGAUGUUCUUGCUUCCUCCUGUACACUUUUGGAAAGAAGCGCUUCAAGAAAUCAUCCAUGGAAGUCACCCCACCUGGAACCAGGGUAGAAAGUCUGAUCAGUUUUUGUUCUUAAACAAACCCCUUUAUAAGUAUUUGGUACUAGAUAAUGUGGGUCAAAGUCCUAAUCUCCAUUGAUAUGCAAAGAAAGAACAAAUUCAACUGACAAAAGGAUCCUGGUCACAUCCAAUAAUACAGUGAGAGGAGGCAAGAAAAGUUAGGAAAUUUAUCUAUAGAAACUGAAAGAGGAGUUUCUGAGAAGAUCUCUGUUGUCUAUUCAGAACAUGAAAGUCAUCUUUUCAUGACUUUAUUCUCAGAAAGAAGGGAGAGAAAAAAGAAUCUUAUUGUUCACUUCCCACCAAACAAUAUGAAUAAAUCUCAGAAAAUGCUUCUGUUUCUUCUCCUUUUUCACUUUCAUUUACUUUGAUACUUUCUGUUCUGCUUUUCAUUUCUACCACUAUUAUCGGAUCAGGUUACAAAAAUUGAGGUAAAUCUCAUUCCUAACACAACACAUACCUAAAAAAAACCCAGAUCAAACAGGAGGCCAAACUCCACAAUUGAAGCAAUAAAAAGGAAUAAACAAAAAAAAACUCACCAGAAACACCAAGAUCAUAUCCAAAAAGAGCUCCCCCAGAAGCUGCAACAAUGCAAGAAAAGAUGAAAUAGCCUGUAAUCUUAUACUCAUAGAGAUGGGCCCUUUUUGCAGCCUCUGUAUCCUCAAAUGCACCGCCUGCCAUUGCUCCUCAACUCUCUCCUCUCCUCCUUUCUCUUUCUUCUUCCCCUCUGAAGUCAAGAAAAACAAAAAAAUCUGACUAAACUUCUGAACAUUCACUUCCCUUUAUACUGCAGCCUCAAAAGAAAAAACAACCCAAGCGGGCCAAGCCUUUGCAGGGAUGGGCAUGGAAAAUUGGAAAUUGCAAAAAAUAGGCCAAAGGUCAACUACCCAAUAAUGCCGCACUCAAACAAACGACCCUCAACGCAAAUUGGUCUUAAAGUAAUUGUAUCACACACCUCUCUAUGUACUAAAUAAUUCCUAAAUGAAAAUACCAGAUUGAGACUUGAUUGGAGUCUUGGACUUUUUGUCUUUCUAUUGAUUUUUUUCCCGAGUCACCCAAUCCCUUUAUUGAAAUCCUGAGAUGCAUACAUCAAGCUUUCCUCUUCUGGUCAAAGAAUUCUUAAAUAAGAAAACGGAUAUUUAGGCUUUAGGCUUUUGGCUUUUGGCUUUUGGCUUGGCUAUUGGCCUUUACCCCUCUAUAGCCUAUCUGAUUCUAAUCCCUUAGUUUUCCAAAACUCUUGGUACCUUCUUUCCCAUCAUACCUUUCCUUUCCAUGGUAAUUUGCUAGAAAUUGAAUUUAUAUCAGAUGGGUUUUUCUUCACUAGAAAUAUUUGAUUUGGGUUUUUAUUUUUUUACUUUUUUGAUCCAACUAAAUCGAGGGUAUAUAGAAAGAGAAUUCCCCCCAUUAUUCUACAGAUAUAAGACGAUUGAGAUUGAAUUUCCAACUCAUCUGAUUGAGUGAAUUCAACCAUUCACACGGCAUUUCUUGGAUAUGGAUAAGAAGCAUUGACCGACUUUUCAUAUAUAAUAGGAAUUUAAUUUAAUAUACAUUAAUCCUUAUCCGUUUAAAUCCAUAAAAUUAUCCUCUAUCGAAUAAAUUAAGGAGAGAAAUCUAAAUUUAGAGUAGGUUAUCAUAACUAUUUUAGAAAAUAUUUUUAAUAUUUAAAGUAUAAAAAGUUAAACAUUAAAAAUACCUCUUAAAAUUAUUGACUAUAUUUAUUCCCUUCUUAUCUUGAAUAAUUUCCAAAAAAAAAAUCAUCUUAUCUAAUUUACAUUGAUUAGAAGUUUUUUUAUCAUAUUUGAUAUUUGAAUCGAUAUCACUAUUUUAAAUUUUUUUUCACUUAUUUAAUUCUUCUACUUAUAAUAUGAGAGAAUAAAUCAUUUUUCUUAACAAUUUUUUUUCCCGACUUCCUGACAACUAAAUAUAACUUAAUAAUUUUGAGAUUUGCUUGUUGAUUUGAGUUGUAAUAUCUAAACGUCCCUUUUGUAACCAUUAAGAUUUAGCCAUACAACCCAACUACCACUUCCCAAAAAAGGCAAUUUCUUCUAUGGGUUGACUUGCAUUGGUACAACGUCCCCUUUCUCCAACCAAUAAAAAUGGAAGCCAAAAAUAUUUGACAGACUAGGCCAUUCAUACCAUGCAAACAUCUAUCCAUACAAAGUGGGGUGCAAUUUUAUUUUUUUUAUUUUUUUUGGGAAAAGAUUAUUUUAAAAGGUUUCCAAUCUUAUGCUAUAGCCAAAGAUUUUUAGUUGGGAUGUACUUUUUCAAUUUGAUUUUAUAUGGUUUUGUAUUUUUUUAACUUUUAAAUAUCAUAUAAUAAAUAAAUAAAUCCUUAGUUUUUAAUAAAAUAAAUAAAUUUAUAAAUAAAAUCUAAUUAAGUGGUAGGUGGGGCCAGUGAUAAUUGAUGGCGGCGGAUAACCUCAACCCAACUUUCAUUCAUUAUUUUCAUUUCAAAUGAUUGAUUGUCUACCUCGAUUCCGUUAUUAUUAAUAAUUUCAACUUUUUUUUUAUUGUUUUAAAAAACCUAUAUAAAUUCAUAUGUAGUUGUAUUGUAAUAAAAAAUAAAAAAUAAAAAGGAAAUACAAUCUCAAAAAAUGCCUAAUUUUGAAUAUUUUAAUUUUAAGUUUUGAAAGUUAUAUACCUUCUAAGAAAAAUAAUAUUAGUAAUUUACUUUUCUUAAUGAGUAUUUUUAUCCAAUGAUUUCAAAAUAUGGAUAUUUACCCUACAUUUAAUGGGGUAAUAUUGGUAUUUUUAAAGGUCACGAUAUAAGAGUUGAAUAAAAUAAUCAAAUCAAAAUUUGAAAAUAUUAGAAAAAAUCAAAUUUUGGAGAUAGUAGGAAAAAUCAAAAUAAUCAAAGAUUGAGAAAGUUAUAUAUACAAAAUUUUAAAUGAAAAAUCCUUAUAUUAGCUGUAAAGAUAAUAGAGAUCGAUAAAUCUACAAUGUACUGUAAUGGGAUUUAAGAUUAUACAUAAAUUUACUUGUCCACUUUACCCUAAAAACUUAUUGUAUAGCAUCUAAUUUUUUUUUUUAAAUUUCUUAAUCUUAAAUCCUCAAUUUAAAAUUAAUUUCCAAAUUAUCUUUAUUAUUUAGAUUUUUUUCUAAAUUCUCAAUUUAAUUUUUUUUUAAAUUAAUUAUAACAUUUUGGCUCAAUUAAAACUUUCAAUUCAACUCUACCUUACCCAGAAAAACUAACUUGUGUUUAUUCAACACUUUUUAAAUUUCUUCUUCGUUGGUUAAAUAUAUAGGUAUUUUAUCAAAUACUUUUUUUAUUUUGAGAGAUACGACAGGUAAGUGAAAAUAACAAAUAAAAAUAAAAUAAAAGGUAUUUGAUGAAAUUUUGAAUCAAUAAGAGUCAAGUGUAUAUAAUAAAAACUUAAAGGAAAGAAAGUGAAAUUAAAAGAGCGUAAAUGAAAUAAGCCCUUAAAUACACUAUUUUAAUAAUAUAUAUUUGUCAAAAUUAUAUAAAUAAUAAACUUUAAAUUAUAUUCAUGUAGAAUAAAUGUAAUAAUAUUAGUGUAUAGAUUAAAAAUAAAUGUAUAAAACAUACUAAAAUUAAUUUAAAAUCUAGGUGUUNNNNNNNNNNNNNNNNNNNNNNNNNNNNNNNNNNNNNNNNNNNNNNNNNNNNNNNNNNNNNNNNNNNNNNNNNNNNNNNNNNNNNNNNNNNNNNNNNNNNNNNNNNNNNNNNNNNNNNNNNNNNNNNNNNNNNNNNNNNNNNNNNNNNNNNNNNNNNNNNNNNNNNNNNNNNNNNNNNNNNNNNNNNNNNNNNNNNNNNNNNNUUAAAAACUACUUUAAGUAAUAAAAUAAACACAAUUAACUUAUUCGUCUAAAUAUUUAUUUUACUUUUUAUCUUAUUUGUCACAAUUACCUUCAGAAUCUCUUUUAUUAUUAUACAACAUCUACUAUUAAAGCCCGUUUGAUAAUGAUUUUAAAAAAUGUUUUCAAACUUUUUAACACUUUAAAAUUUGUAUCAUUUAAGUGUUAAAAAUGUUAAAAAUAUUUUAUAAAAUCAUUACUAAACGCACUCUUAUUCAACCUCUUUUACCCUAAUUAUAAUUUAUAAUAAUAAAUAUAUCAAUUUAAUGAUUUAAAAUUAGUUUUAAGUAAAUUUUCUUAAACAAUCUUAAUACUUAAAAUAAAAUAUAAGUAAAUAAGUUUUAAAUCAAUAAUUUAAAUAUAAUUUAAUUUAAAUGAACUUAAGCCAUUAAAUAAUAAAUAUUAAAUUUUAUACAAAACACCCUCUAACUCAUUUUGUUGGCAAAGAAUUAAAGCACCGGGUGAAAAAAAAUAAUAGAAUUUAUGUUUCAAGAUGAAUGUAUAAAUAAAUAAAUAUGUUAAAAUAUUUAAUGAGUGCAUAUAUAAUUUAUAAUUAAAUAAACUACUUACAUUGUGUUAUGAUAAGAUAAUAUUUAUAAAAAAAAAUUAUAUUUAGUAACUUAAAAUGUUGUAAUAGAUGUAAUUUCAAAUAUUUAUUAAAAAUUAUUUUUAUCUUUAAUCAUUCUCUUUUAUAAUUAUUUAAAAAAUAAAAACAACUAAAAAUAAUUAAAAUAUAUUAUAAAAAAAUAUCUUAUUCUAAGAAAAAUGAUUAAAAGCAGUGUUCUAAAAAUAAUUGAUAAUCAUAGACAUGUUUUUAUAUAUAUUUUUUUAAAAUGAGAAAAAUAAGUCGGCAAAUAGAAAAAAAAAUUCCAAUGUUAAUUAAAAUUUUAAAAAAUAUUAAAAUUAUUCUUAUUUUUUGAUAAUUUUAUUAUUAGUAGCAUUUGUGAUGUUACAUAUGUUAGAUUAAUUUUUGUAAUUAAUCUAUAAUUUGGGCCACACAUGUAAAUAAUUAAAAUGUGUGUGCUAUCAUUUAAUUAAGCCUAAAUAUAGUGAUCUAAUUAAUAAUUGAUUAAUUGGCUUAAGGGUAUAAUUGUCAUGAGAUUAUUGUGUAGAUACCAUUAGACAAUUAUUAUUUCUAUGAGGGGCAGAAAUAUAAUUGUGAUAAAAUUAAAACUGCCCUAGCAGUUUAUAAAUAGGGUUAUGGUCCCCAUUCUACGACUACGCAAUUCCAAUUUCUGAAAAUCCUCUCAAAGAGAAAUUGACACAGAAUCUAGUGGCUAGAAUUGGAAGACCAUCUCAAAGGGUUUUUUUUUCUAUAAGGUUUCUCCUUCAAUGGAUUCAGGUAUGCUUCCGCUAUUAUUUUUCUACUCAUUGUUUUUUAAUCAGGAGAUUCCAAUGUAUAUAUAAAUUAAGGUAUUCACCUUGUUAAAUAUUUCAGUACAUAUGUAGUUAGGGUAUUCACCCUGUUAAAUAUUCCAGUACAUAUGUAGUUAGAGUAUUCACCCAGUUAACUAUUCCAGUAUAUAUGAAAUCAGGGUAUUCAUCUUGGUUGAAUACAUUACAAGUGGUAUCAGAGCCUACUCCUUGAUUAAUUCUUUGAGUUAUUAUUUUAAUAUAUAUAUGUCAAUGGAUUAAGAUUUAUGAAAUAUUGAGUUGAUAAAUUUUUUAUUAUUAUUAUUACGAUUAUUAUUAUUAUUAUUAUUAUUAUUAUUAUUAUUGUUAUUUAAUAGCAUUUUAUGAUAUUAAUAUUUAAGUUAUUGAUCUAGCAUUUUUAAAUAGGCUAAUUAAAGCGGAAAAUCACCAAAGUGACAUCUUCCGUGUAGAUUAGUCUGUUCGGGGUGUUAGAUAUUUGUGUGUAUGUGAUUCAUGCGGGUAUUGACUGGCCCAAAGGAAAGUUAAUAUUUGGUCAAAUUGCAUACAUACUUGUGGUGAUAAAUAUGUGAUGAUUAUAAAGGUAACUUAAUGUGAAUAAUAAAUCAAUCCAAAGAUGGAUUUAUUAUUUGACAUAACUUAUCAUCAAUGUUUGAUCACUACAACAAGAGUACCACUUACAGUUAAUAUUACUGUCCAAAGACUUGAUAUUAAUGUUGUGCUAGGUAUCUUGAAAUGUCAUAAUUUGCUUUUAAAUUUAAAGAUUAUGUGUUUAAUUGCUUAUUUUAUGUGAGCAUGAUGGUUUAUUUGAUUCAUUUUAUUUUGUUCUCGAUUCAGCUUUUAUAUCAACCACUUCUAUAUCUGCCAACAUCAAUAAUGUCCCUAUGUUAAAUGGGACUAAUUUUAAGGACUGGAAAGAGAAUAUGAUGAUUCUCUUAGGCUGCAUGGAUAUAGACUUAGCCUUGAGAAUGCCCAAACCCGAUGAACUCAAUGAGCAAAGUACUCAAGAGGAUGAUGUUUAUUGGGGUAAGUGGGAACGUUCAAAUAGGCUAAGUCUUAUGAUCAUGAAGCGCGGCAUUCCAGAAGCUUUCAGGGGUGCGGUAACCGAUGAGGUUACUAAUGCCAGUGACUUCCUUGCGGAAAUUCAGAAGCGUUUUGCCAAAAACGAUAAGGCUGAAACGAGCACGCUUUUAGCAAGCUUGAUUUCAAUGAAGUAUAAAGGCAAGGGUAAUGUUCGGGAGUACAUCAUGGAGAUGUCUCAUCUUGCUUCAAAACUUAAGGCUUUGAAACUCGAGUUAUCUGAUGAUUUACUCGUGCAUUUGGUUCUCAUCUCUCUUCCUGCACAAUUUAAUCAAUUCAAGGUCAGUUAUAACUGUCAAAAGGAUAAAUGGACUCUUAAUGAGCUUAUUUCAUUCUGUGUGCAAGAGGAAGAGAGAUUGAAGCAAGACAAGACCGAAAGUGCUCAUCUGGCUAGCACUUCGAAGGAUAAGGGCAAACGAAAGAAUAAGGAUAAUAAGGUUGCUGCUUCUAAUGGUCCAGAACAAAAGAAACAGAAAGUUGAGGUAACAUGUUUCUUCUAUAAUAAGCCUGGACAUACUAAGAAGGAAUGUACCAAGUAUGCUGCUUGGCGUGUUAAGAAAGGUAUGUUUCUUACUUUGGUCUGUUCUGAAGUUAAUUUAGCUUCAGUAUCUAGAAACACAUGGUGGUUAGAUUCUGGUGCUACUACUCACAUUUGUGUUUCUAUGCAGGGUUGCCUGAGUUACCGAAAACCAAGUGAUGCUGAAAGAUGCAUCUAUGUCGGAGACGGUCAGUCGGUAGAAGUAGAGGCAAUAGGGCACUUUAGAUUAUUAUUGAAAUCUGGUUAUUUUUUGGAUUUAAUAGAUACUUUUAUUGUACCGUCUUUUAGACGGAAUUUAAUUUCAGUUUCUGUUUUGGACAAAUCAGGUUAUUGUUGUUCAUUUGGAAACAAUAAAUUUACAUUAUCUAUUAAUUCAAAUGCUGUAGGAACCGGUUUACUUAAUGUUUAUGAUAAUCUAUAUUUGUUGGAAACUGUUCCGUCCUAUAAUGAAACCUUGCAUGUGGAAUCACGAGGUACAAAACGUAAAUUGAAUAAAGAUAAUUCGGCCUCAUUGUGGCACAAACGCCUAGGUCAUAUCUCUAAAUCUAGAGUUGAGCGACUUGUGUCCGAUGGGAUUUUGGAUUCACUUGACUUUUCAGAUUUUGAUAUUUGUGUUGAGUGUAUUAAAGGAAAACAGACCAAAACAAAGAAAUUAGGUGCCAAUAGAGCUACAGACGUCUUAGAAUUAAUUCAUACAGAUAUCUGUGGACCAUACCCUACGGCAUCUUGGAAUGGUCAACAGUACUUUAUAACAUUCAUAGACGACUACUCAAGAUAUGGCUACUUAUUUCUUAUACAUGAGAAAUCACAAUCAUUGGAUGUGUUCAAAACAUUUAAAGUAGAAGUUGAGUUACAACUCAACAAAAGAAUAAAGAGCGUCAGAUCUGAUCGUGGUGGUGAAUACUAUGGUAGAUAUGACGGAUCAAGUGAACAACAUCCAGGACCAUUUGCUAAAUACCUAGAGGAAUGUGGGAUCGUCCCUCAAUACACCAUGCCAGGAUCACCUAGCAUGAAUGGUGUAGCAGAAAGACGAAACCGAACCCUUAAGGACAUGGUAGGGAGUAUGAUUAGUCAUUCUACUUUACCCGAAAAACUCUGGGGUGAAGCACUCAAAACGGCAGCUUAUAUCCUAAAUCGGGUGCCAACUAAAGCAGCUGCUAAAACGCCUUAUGAGCUUUGGACGGGUCGAAAGCCCAGUUUAAAGCAUUUUCAUAUUUGGGGAUGUCCAGCUGAAGCGAGACCUUAUAAGCCUCAUGAAAAGAAAUUGGACUCUAAAACAGUUAGCAGCUACUUUAUUGGCUAUGCAGAGCGAUCAAGGGGUUUUAAAUUUUAUGAUCCUGCUAUUAGGUCAAUUUUUGAGACGGGAACUGCAACAUUUUUUGAGGAUGUUGAGUUUGGGGGGAGAAAUCAGCCUAGGAAUAUUGUCUUUGAGGAGGAAGAGGGAUCUACUAUUGCUAUUGAUAAUGUACAGGUUUCACUACCUAUCAUUGAUCAAGAAGUAAAUUUGGAUCCUCAACCAACAUACAAUAUUGUUCAACCCUUAAUUGCAAAUGAGGACAUUACUUCUGAAGAACAAACUCAACAACCUCAAGAAAAUAUGCCAUUAAGGAGAUCCACUAGAGAGAGGAGAAAUGCAAUUUCGGACGAUUAUAUCGUAUAUCUCCAGGAACGUGAGGUAGAAAGUGGAAUGAUGGAAGAUGAUCCAAUCAACUUCCAGCAAGCCAUGAAAAGUUCCAACUCUCAGAAAUGGAUUGAAGCCAUGAAUGAAGAGUACAAAUCUAUGCAAGACAAUAAAGUUUGGGAACUUGUCCCAUUACCAGUUGGUACGAAACCCAUUGGUUGUAAAUGGAUAUUUAAAACCAAGCGGGAUUCAAAUGGUAAUGUAGAAAGAUAUAAAGCACGUCUUGUAGCUAAAGGCUUUACUCAAAAAGAAGGAAUUGACUUCAAAGAGACCUUCUCUCCAGUUUCUACGAAGGACUCUUUCAGGAUAAUCAUGGCACUAGUUGCACAUUAUGAUCUCGAGUUACAUCAAAUGGAUGUUAAAACAGCGUUUCUCAAUGGUGACAUUGAUGAAACAAUUUAUAUGGUACAACCAGAAAAUUUUGUGUCCGAAGACUCAAAGAAUAUGGUUUGUAAAUUAACUAAAUCCAUUUAUGGGCUCAAGCAAACUUCUCGUCAGUGGUACUUCAAGUUUCAUCAAAUUAUUGUCUCAUAUGGUUUUGAGGCAAAUCUUAUGGAUGAAUGUGUGUAUCACAAAUUCAGUGGGAGUAAGUAUAUUUUCCUGGUUUUAUAUGUCGAUGACAUAUUGCUAGCCACAAAUGAUAUUGGCAUAUUGCACGACACCAAGAGAUUUUUAUCAAAACAUUUUGAGAUGAAAGAUCUUGGUGAUGCCUCUUUUGUCUUAGGAAUCCAGAUACACCGAGAUCGUUCUAGGGGUAUUUUAGGAUUGUCACAAAGGACCUAUAUUGAUAAAGUCCUCCAAAGGUAUGGCAUGCAAAAUAGCAAACCAGGUGAUACCCCUGUCGCUAAAGGAGACAAAUUCAGUCUUAAUCAAUGCCCUAAAAAUAGUUUAGAAAGUCAAGAAAUGCAGAAGAUUCCUUACGCUUCGGCUGUGGGGAGUCUAAUGUAUGCUCAAGUAUGUACACGUCCGGAUAUUGCGUACAUUGUUGGCAUGUUAGGCAGAUAUCUAAGUAACCCUGGAAUGGAUCAUUGGAGAGCAGCCAAGAGGGUUAUGAGAUAUUUACAGAGAACAAAAGAGUACAUGCUUACAUAUAGGAGAUUGGAUCAGUUAGAGUUGAUUGGGUAUUCCGACUCCGACUUUGCUGGAUGCCAAGACAGUAGAAGAUCCACAUCAGGCUAUAUUUAUCUGUUGGCUGGUGGAGCAAUUUCAUGGAGGUCUGCCAAACAGACACUCGUAACUUCAUCCACCAUGGAAGCAGAGUUUGUAGCAUGUUAUGAGGCAUCCAAUCAAGGAAUAUGGCUACGAAAUUUUGUCACUGGGCUGCGUGUUCUGGAUGGUAUUGAAAGACCACUGAAGAUAUUUUGUGACAAUAAAUCAGCAGUUUUAUAUUCCAAUAACAACAGGAGUUCUACAAAAUCAAAAUACAUUGAUAUCAAGUUCCUAAUUGUAAAAGAAAAAGUACAGAGUGGACAGAUAUCCAUAGAGCAUAUUGGAACAAACUCCAUGAUAGCGGAUCCGCUUACAAAGGGAUUACCACCCAAGGUCUUUCAUGAGCACACUGCUCAUAUGGGUGUUGUCUCAUUUGAGGAUAUCCAAAUUUAGUGGGAGUUUGUAUUAUUUAUUGUAUAUUGCUCUAUGUUAUGUUUAGACUUUAUCUAUACAUUUGGAUUGUGUUCUGCAGAAAUAAAGUAUUCAUUUUAUUGCACUCUGUUAAAUUAUGCUAAAGAUUUGAUCUCAGUAAAGUUAAGUUGGACCAGUUGGAAAUAGGCAUGAAUAGAUCACAUUGCAUGUAAUUUCCAUGCUAUGCACUCAUGAUUGAUCUAUGUCAUUUAGCUGUGCAGAUAUAUGUGACCAUUGAUUGGUCUAGUAACAAUUGAUGUAACAAAGGCCACCUUGAUCCUAUGUCAGUAUAGUUAAUGGACGAGAUUGUUCGGAUAUACCCUAAGGACAUGAUAGCAAAUUUUGAGCUCAUAAGGUUAAACACAUUUAUUUGAUUACAUAUGCAUGUGGCCCAUUGGGAGAUUGUUAGAUUAAUUUUUGUAAUUAAUCUAUAAUUUGGGCCACACAUGUAAAUAAUUAAAAUGUGUGUGCUAUCAUUUAAUUAAGCCUAAAUAUAGUGAUCUAAUUAAUAAUUGAUUAAUUGGCUUAAGGGUAUAAUUGUCAUGAGAUUAUUGUGUAGAUACCAUUAGACAAUUAUUAUUUCUAUGAGGGGCAGAAAUAUAAUUGUGAUAAAAUUAAAACUGCCCUAGCAGUUUAUAAAUAGGGUUAUGGUCCCCAUUCUACGACUACGCAAUUCCAAUUUCUGAAAAUCCUCUCAGAGAGAAAUUGACACAGAAUCUAGUGGCUAGAAUUGGAAGACCAUCUCAAAGGGUUUUUUUUUCUAUAAGGUUUCUCCUUCAAUGGAUUCAGGUAUGCUUCCGCUAUUAUUUUUCUACUCAUUGUUUUUUAAUCAGGAGAUUCCAGUGUAUAUAUAAAUUAAGGUAUUCACCUUGUUAAAUAUUUCAGUACAUAUGUAGUUAGGGUAUUCACCCUGUUAAAUAUUCCAGUACAUAUGUAGUUAGGGUAUUCACCCUAUUAAAUAUUCCAGUACAUAUGUAGUUAGGGUAUUCACCCAGUUAACUAUUCCAGUAUAUAUGAAAUCAGGGUAUUCAUCUUGGUUGAAUACUAAACAACAUAUCGAAUAAGGGAGAAAACUUCUUUAACAGUGUUGAUAUAAUUUAAAGUAGUGAAUGUCCCUUUUGGACAUGGAGCGGACGAGAUCAGAUGCCUUAUUUUUUAUUUUUUUCUAAAAAUAAAGGGUUUGGAUUUGGAUGGGAGGGAAGGGCAAAAAUGGCAAGAAAGAAUAUACAUGACAAUCACAUGCUCCAGCAAAAAUAGAAAGAGAGAAAAAAAAAAGAAGCAAAACUGGAGCUAGGUUUUUAAACAAUUGUUGGAGUCUCCCGCUAGUGAAACCCAAAAUCCAUUGAUUUUCUUCAUCUAGGGUUUCAAGUUUGAUGUGCUCCGUUGAUUCAGGUCUGUUUCUUUUGAGUUUCUUGAAUUUGGGUUUGGUACAUGUUCUGUUUGUACUUUUUUUCUUUUUCUUUUUUUUCUUCCUCUUAAUUAAAUUCUGGGAGUUUUUUUGGUUCCAUCAGUCUUUGAGCUUGCAUGUGGGGAUGGGCAGAUCUGUGGGUUGCUUUUAAUUGGUGGGCUUUGUGUGAAUUUGAUCGGCCCUCGUUUGGUUACUGAGAAACCGGAGGAAAAAAAUGAAAAACAAACGAAAAUGUUGGCUCUUGCUCUUCUCUUGUGAUUUUUUUUUUUUUUUUGCCUCGGGGAAUUGAAAAUUUUAGCUCACCCGAUAAAUAAUUCUACUGAGAUGGGGUUUCUUCUUGUUGGGUUCUAAUUGAUGGAAAUUUGAAGAUUUAAUAUUUCUGAGCUAUCAAAUGAGAUUUUUCUUUGGUUUUCAGAUCUAAUAAAUUAUGCAGGUGAUUCUGAAUGAUCGAUUUCUAGUUUGGUUAUCUAGAACUAUGUAAUAAAUCUGGGUUUGUAUCUUAGGCAUGAACCAUUGUUGAAAUCUGAUGAAAAUGUUUAGAGCUUUGAAUAUUUACUAAAAAUUCUUUCAAUUUUUGAAGCUGUUUGAGGGCACGGUACUUCAGUGGGGGUAGAUUUUUUAUUUUUUUAUUUUUUUAUUUGUGAUGAUCAUCGGUAACUCCAGCCAAUUAGAAAGCUUUAGCCAAGACCUCUAUAAUGUUUGUGCUUUUGUGUUUUUCUUGAUGCAUUUGCUUUGUUAGAGACACUAUGCACAUCAUACUGAAGACCAUUUGUAAUGGUGUCAAUUAAGGAAGGAACCACCUGAGAACGGUGAGGUACCUAGGUUUUGAUUGUGAUUCCCUGCAUUAAUGUUAUUUUCAAAUGGAUGUGUGAUUAUCAUAAUUGUUAUCCUUUCCUUCAUUUUUGUUUCAUUGAUUUUUUAGAAUUGUCUGGCAUGAUGGCAAGUUAGUUUGGAACAAAACUUCCUUCUAUUGUUUUCUGAAAAGAGAUCAACUGCUGUGCAGGUGUCUAUAUUUGGGAUACCAUCUUAGGAUCACUGUUGUGAGGAUUUGCACAAGAAAAGAUGUUAUGAGUGAAACUCAUUGACAAAUUUUGGUUCAGUAAAAUGGAAGAUGAGAAUGGACUUGAGCUUAGCCUGGGUCUAUCUUGUGGUGGAUCCUCUAUCAAAUCAAAAGGUAAAAAUGGUGUCCCAUCGGAUACCAGGGCAGAGGAAGUUGAUAGGGGAAACACAUUAACGGAUGAUUUCAAAAAUUUCCUUAAUCCUGGCACCCAGAAACAGGACUCAAGCACUGGUUCCCAGAGAAGUGAUCCAGUGAAACCUCAGGAGAACUUCUUUAGCAACUUUCCAAAGGCUGCUGUUGAAGCAGAUGCUUCCAUGAACUUGAAUGGGAGAGGACUUUGGGCUGCAAACAAUAAUAGGUCUCCUGAAGUUGAGGAAGAAAAAAGGCCAGAGUUAGGUAAUAAACGUAAAAUGUUAUUUGAUGAGGUAAACCAUCAAAAGAAGCAUGACAGAGAGGUGCACCAUGCUGAUUUACACGAGAAGACAAAAACGUCACACAUUUCCAUAACAACUGAAGACGGUUCAACUGCUGAAAAUGAAGAUGUUGCGGAGUCUGAGGUUGAUGUUUCAACCUCAAGGCUGGCUUCACACCCUGAUGAUGGCUCCAAACGAUUCGUUGGAGCUGGUGGCUCUUCUGAGGUCGCAAAGGAGGUUCAUGGGGUUACUGAUUCUAGUGCUGUAGACUUGCAAGGGCAAAAGAGGUUUAACUUUUCAUCAGAAAAUGAGUUCAAGCGGAACCUGGCCUAUUGUGUUCCUUUCCCAGUCCAAUCAGUAAAUAUCAAUGUGCCUUAUUCGUUACAUGCAAAGGAGUCCAACCCUGUAGGUGCACCCGGCACAUCAGGCUAUUCAUUACCAGGUAUGAUGCAGGUAAUGCCUCCUGCAAAUAAUGAGCGAGCAGGGAUCCAGCCUGUGAACACUGGAAACCUUCCACUGAUGUUUGGCUAUUCACCUGUCCAGCUUCCAAUGUUGGAUAAGAACAAUUCGUGGGGGGUGGCUUCUCAUUCUCAACAGUUCCACCCUCCCUAUGCUGGCAAGGGUCCACCAAACUCUGAUAAACAUAAUGAUGGAUUGAAGAUAUCUCAAGGUAAUACUUUUCACCCUCCUAAAAUUCUUUUUUGGGUAUUACAAAAAUAUGGGUAAAAUGCCAAAAUUGCGGAGAUAUGUUGGCUAAAUAUGCCAUGCAAUUCCAACCUUUUCUAUUCACCACCACAUGGAAAGCCCUUACCUAUCCUCUACAUUAACUGCAAAAAAUGCUGAUGCUAACUGAUUCACUCUUUUCCUAUUGGAAUUUUGUCCUCUGAACAAGGAAACUGUGAUGUGUUUCCGGUUUUGACCUGGAUUUGAUAUUUGCAAGUUUCAACUAGCUGUGGAAUAUCAUCAUUACACAAUAUGGUUGCAUGUGACUCACAUUUACAGUUUGUAUUGAUUUUCUGUAUUGAAAUAUUAGAAAACACUAGUUAUCUUAUAGGCUAUACAACUCUUAGAAGCUGUACAGAUUUCCUGACUACUGAUCUAAGUUGUUAGCUUUUUCUAUAUGGCCUAUGCAUUUUUUUUCCUUUUUCUUUUGUUCAGCAUUUUAGUUGAGCCUUGUUGCAAAUUAAGGUUUGUUAGUUAAUUGUUCUCAAAAACAGUUUUCUCUUUGAGAAUAAAAAACCAAAAAAUAUGUUUGACAACUAGAAAAUAAAAAAUAGUUUUCUAUUUUUAGAAAUAGAAAACAUGGUGUUUCUUAGAACAUAUUUUAGUUGUUUUUACUAAUUUUUAGAAGACUAUUUUUAAAAGUAUUUGAAAACUUAGAAAACAAGUUGAAAACAUUUCAAGUUUCCAAAUAGAAUCUUGUUCUAAAAAACAUCAAAGAACUUUUUUUGAAAAUUAUUCUUAAAAAUUGUUUUUUAAAAUGUUCCCAAACAUAUUCUAUGUUUCCUUUCUUAUCCUUUACCUCUUGUAUGGAUGUAGCUGCAGUGCAAGCAAUUCCACAUAAUUCACCUGAAGCUUCACAUUAUGAUGGGAGGGCAUUAGAACUGACCAAAGGUGAUGGGAAACAGCAUCCCACAGAAGAGGGCUCCUCUUGUCAAACAGAAGAUGAUGUGAAGGGAAACAAUGUGAUCUUUAGGUCAAAGGAUGGCACUGAUCAAGCAAUAACAGAAGUUUUCUCCUAUGAAAGUUCAGCUAUAAGACCUGGCAUUGCUGCAGAUAUGAAAUUCGGGGGAUCUGGUUCCCACCCAAAUCUACCAUGGGUUUCCACAACAGGUUCAAAUGGUAAGACAAUUUCUGGUGUUACCUAUAGAUAUAGCAGAGACCAAAUCAGGAUUGUCUGUGCUUGUCAUGGGUCUCACAUGUCCCCCGAAGAGUUUGUUCAGCAUGCUAGUGAAGAGCAUGCCAAUCCAGAGACUGGCACUGGUUUAGCACCAUUUCCCAGUAGCAAUCCUGCCACUUCAGCUCAAAGUUGAUUCCCUUGCAGCUAUGUUCAAUGAGACCAAUAAAUGUUGACCUAUCAUGCAAGGAAGAAAACCUGGUUAUCAGGCUAUGUUAUUUACACCAAUCGUGAGAUUUCUCGUCCCUUAUCUCAUUGGAGAUGCUAGGAUGUUAUCUUUGUAUCAGUUGUCUUAGCGGCACUUUCUGCAAUGAAUAUUGCAGGAGUACUUAGCAAUGUAUAAGCAUCCUAGCUUAAUAGUAAUGUUAAGUGCUUCACUGCUACCAAGCCAGAUGUAGAGGGCAAUGCAUGUUCUCUGUACAACUGAUAUAAUUUAAAGUUCUUUUCCAAAGUUCUAUCUUAGUUUUGCAGUGGAUUGUAACUUAUGCGGUGCAGGGGUAGGAUCAGUAUUGGGAUUUCAUGAAAUGAUUCCACUUUUAUUUUGCACUCAUUUUGUCUAUAACCCCUUGCCAUAUGUUGAAUUUACACCUUUAGAUGCUUGUAGAACACAAUGGAGCCAUUCAAUCCAAAUUCUUCUGCUUCAGCUGGGUGUCAGGAGGAGAUAAUAGCAUUGCUUCCAUUCAAGGCUUUACUCUGGUAAACAUUAUCCAUGUGUAAGACCGGACUGAGCUAAAACUAUUUUCUUUUGCUGUGCCAUUAGGACCUCUAGCCUAGUGAGGCUUUCUUUUAAAAAGGAAAUCAGAGAGAGAGAGCGAGGCAAUCUUAUAAUAUGGUAACAAUCUGUUUUAGAGAUUAGAUGUUCUGUUAAUACAAAACAACACAUUGAGGUGAAUUGUGCCCCUUCACCACUGUGACUGUUUUUUCAUUCACGGCCCAGCCAAUUAAGAUACAUUUCCACAUAAGUUUUAUGUGCUUGAUACUAAGAGAAUUUCUUUAACCUCAUGCCACUUCCAAUCCACCCAUUUCUUGGGUUCAUCUCAGAUUUCAACCAGAACACCUCUCUAAGUGACCAGAAUUGGACAAUCACACCAUUUUCCCUGGAUUAAUGUCACAUACCUCUACUGUACGGCAGUAUCAUUGGCAGGCCUAAACCUAAUUUUUUAGUUUCUCAUCGUUCAUUGCUUUUGUUUUUAGGCCUUUGUUUUAUUUGACCACAGGCACCUCUUGCUCCACUGUUCUAAAUAAAAUUUCCUUACUUUUUCAUUGAGAAAAGGGUCAAUGUUGGCUAGCUCUGAAACAAUAAAACAUGUUUAAGGCAGACAAAAAUGCCUUGAUCUUUGGUACUUCUUGGUCAAGCUAGCAUGCAUUAUCUGUCAUGCUUGUGUCACUUCGAUUGACUAUGUGGGCUCCUCCAUACCCACGGUAUCCUGCAUGUGAAUCCCGGAGAAACGCCCCGAAGAUUGUGUGUAUGUGUUUAUUCCUUACAACUUGGUUCUCCUCAGAUACAUCGGCAAAGCAUGGAUCAUAUUCUACUCUUUCUAAUAAUAGCAGAAUCUUCCCAUCAAGGAAAUUGCAUGGCAACCUCCCUACCACAUACAGCCUCAUGGUUCUUCGAUGUCUUCUGACUUUUUCCCUUUCAGUUUAAUAUGAAAAUGAAAAUCAAGCUUGCAGUGUUUGACAAGUUUUCAGGGUUUACCCGGUCGACUUCGUAUUAACAACUCAUUAAUUCUAUCCAAUAGAAAAAUGCAAAUAACUUCAGAGAACUUUGACUUGGGUAAUUUCUAGCUCAGAUGAGCUGAAUUUGAGUUUGGGCCAUACCCAGAUUGUGAACCAACCCCAUGACUUCUGGGUUUUCUAAGAAACUCGUGGUGCUGCUAAAUUUGACUUUCCAUUUAUUAUUUUUAUUCACAAAUACUACUGAAUUUCAAAGAUAAACAUGGCCAGGUGAAUCAUUAACAACCAGGAACAAAGAAAAGCAAAGUCAUACAAGAAAGGAAGAAAAGACAGGAUUGAAUAACAGACAACUUCUGAAUGGAUGGAGGUAUAAACUGUGUGAAGUUUCACCACAAUAAAUAGGGUUUUAAAUGGGUCAGUUUAGGUAGUUUGUCUCACUGUGGGUGGCGUCACCGCUGGACAGAACCCUUUAAUUUAGUAGUAUAGAUGAUAUCAUGUGCUUUUUCUUUAUAAUGUGGGAUUUGCUACCCUGUUAAAUGUCUUCCAAGCCAAGUCAAAUAUGUACACAGUUAUAAGCAUCUCCACCUUUCCAUCACUACUGAAUUCCACAUUUUUAAAGCCUACCCUACAAAAUAAAAAUGAUUUUCUCUAGUUUGGACACACAAGAACAGCCUAAGAAGAAACCGAUAAAAGCGGCAAACCAGACAGGAGUAGUCUCUGGGGAGUGGGCAUAUAUAUUAAAAGGUCCAUGCAUAGCAGAACCAUAUCAAACUGCUAUGCCCUUUUGACAAGUUUUACAUGUCUUGGUGGAAUGCUUGUCGGGUAAGCGUGGAAUUCUGGGCAAGUCUCGAGCUUCUGUCUUGGCGAUGAAUCGGUGGAGUUCGAUUAUCUGGUUUCUGCUUUCUGGGUUAUUGUUCAAUGUUGAAUCACAGGCUGCCCCAGGACAGGAGAACUUCUCUUCACAAGAUGCUGUUACUGCUUUUAAACCAAGCCUUGCUGUGGUGAUUGGAAUCCUGGCUGUGAUGUUUUUGUUAACAUUUAUUCUUCUUGUGUAUGCAAAACUCUGUCACAGGGCGUCGAACAGUGAUCGGGAAAAUCAGCAGGGGCUUACCAGAUCAGAGUCUCGGUUUUCUGGAAUCGACAAAACUGUAAUUGAGUCACUUCCUUUCUUCAGAUUCUGUUCGCUUAAAGGGUCAAAGGAAGGGCUUGAAUGUGCAGUCUGCCUAUCAAAAUUUGAAGACAUAGAAAUUCUCAGGCUGUUGCCUAAGUGCAAACAUGCCUUCCACAUUGACUGUGUUGAUCAGUGGCUUGAGAAGCAUUCAAGCUGCCCUCUUUGUAGGCACAAGGUCAGCGCCGAGGACCUUGCAAUCUUAACGUAUUCGAAUAGUUUGAGGUUCUUAUGGAACCAGUCUGAGCUAAGAGAGAACUCAAAUUUGGAGCUCUUUGUUCAAAGAGAGGAAGAUCAUCAUGGGUCUUCCAGGUUCAGCAUUGGAAGCAGCUUUAGGAAGGUUGAAAAGGGUGUGAAGGAAGAAGAAUCAGUACUAAUCCAAGAAGAAGAAGAUGAUAAUGAUGAUGAAAAAAUCUUGCACAAAAUCAAUCACAAGAUUAUUGUAUCCGAUGUUGUCCUCAAGAACAGAUGGAGCAGUGUGAGCUCUUCAGACUUGAUGUAUCUGAAUUCAGAACUGGUUCAUGCCAUGUCAAGCGAUAGAUUUGCUUCUUUGGAUUCAAACAACUCCGCAAUGGGAAGACCAAUUGAGGACUGGGAAGUCAUGAAGAUCAAGGAGGAAAUAGAGAGGAAGAGAAUUUUCGAAAGCAGGGUCAGUAGAAUCAACCAUAGCAACCCAGUUUCAUCUUCAGGCCUUCCUUCUACUUCAAAAACUGAAGCAAACUCAGGUCAUGCUUCACGCUUCUUGCAUCCCACCGAAAAGAGAUCAAUGUCAGAGAUCACAGCUUGUUCAAGAUACGCAGAUUUCAGUACAAAGAAUAGAAUUAGGGAGUCUUCUUUAGCUCAAAAUAACAUAAAGGAGGAGAGAAUGAGGCGGCUUUGGUUGCCAAUUGCAAGAAGAACAGUUGAAUGGUUUGCCAAUAGAGAAGGGUCUCAACAGUCUCAAAACACAAAACAGGCACCAGAUGUAUGAAUCCAACCCAGAAAUAGCUCUCAGAAGUUUCUCAUUUCCUGCCAUUUUUGCAUAUUUUGCAGUUUCUGAACAUUGUUACCCGAAAAUUGGAUAGGAAUCCAUGGAAACACUCAUGUAGGUAUAUUACUUGUUAUAUACCAAAAAGAGCAGACAUACAUUUUCAUUUUGUUAUUUUCAUGAUUCCACAUAAACUCCAUGACAUGUUUGCCAUUGAUGAUGCAUCCAUUUUGUCAUAACCAGAUUUACAAGAAAUAUAAGAACUACUCAAUUCUUCAUUGCAGAUUUGUAUUCUACCAGAUUACCAAAAGAAAAUGUUAUCCUGUUGAUUGUUUUAUUCAGAUAUCUCCUGCAUAUGCUCAAUAAAUAAAUGCAUGAUUACAUUAUUAACAAAGGAGAUUGAACAACAAGGAACUACUUGCCACCCUGGUUCUAUGAAUCAAGCAAUUAACCCUUUUCUUUUUGAGGAUUCUCUGAGUGGGAGACCCAAUGAAUCAAGUUGUGAGAAUCUCUACUUGCCAUCCACAAACCUCUGACAGAUAUUAAAAAAAUAGUAUGAUAAAAAAAUAUGAUAAGAGAUCCUUAAGGCUCCUGACUACUUCAAGAAACAUUACUUUCAUAAAGCAUGCCCCCAUUUGAAAGAGGACAAAAAUUUCCAGCCAACCCCAUCUGGGUAUCACUGGAUGGGUAUGUUCAUACCCAUCCAAUCUCUAGAAUUUCUCUAGUAUGUGCCCCUUAAAGUCUUUCAUGGGCCACACCUGAGGUUCAUGAGAUUGUCAUAUUAUUAUUCACAUAUCUUGGAAUCACAAGAUGGGUGUUUCUAGUUAAAUUUUUAAUUUAUUUUUGAUAAACUACCAUUCAUUUUAAAACUUUUUAACCUAUGAAGAAUAAGUCAUUAUCAAAAUAUGUUAUUUAAGCUUAAUUUCCUUGCCUUUUAAGUCUUCAGCUAACAGAUUGAAGUUAUUUAACAAAUCUAAAGAUUUCUUUUUCCUCUUGAUUUGAUUUUAAACAUCACUUUGAAUGCCUAGAGAACUCCAAAAAGGCACAAACAACAAAUAUGUCAUUUUGUUACAAAGUCAAUGAUCACAAAUCAAUCCAAGCAUGCCCUCUGGACUAGGGUUUUAUUUUUAGGGGGGGUGUCAGGAUCAGUAGGGCAAGUGUUCAAAUAUACAAAUAUUAGCCAUGUCAACUACGUAAGAGAUGAGGCAUCACCCUUUUGUCUUGGCUUAAGGAAUCCAACAAAUCAUCUUUUGUAAGAUUAAGAUCAUAUGACAUCUCAUUUCUCAUUAUUAAGGUUAAUUACUCCCUACUUUCCAACUUUCCCUCUCUCACUCUCAUAUUUUAUCUUGAGAAAAUGUGGCCGGUUUGAUCCAUAAGCUUUGUUUAAGUCUUAAUGAUUAGUUCUUUGCCCUCCUUUAAUUUUUAUAACAGAGAAAUAGAUUGGAGGAGUUGGUGGGGAAAAUGUAACCUUGCUGGAGUUAUUAUUAUUAAUACUUUUAUUUAAUUGAAAUGAAAAUAUAAAAGGGAAAAGAAAUGAAAACAAAGAGGAAGAGAGCAGUAGGUCCGGAGAAUUAUGUUUUCACCACAGUUGGGCUGGAUAAUUGAGUUAAGGUCCUCCUAUUACCCGUAAUUGAUAACAAGGAUAUGAGAUGGUAAUAGACACAAAUACCCCUUAGACUCGUUUUUAUUUUUAUUCUAUCAUUCUUUACAUGCCACUAUUAACACAUUAUCUCUUAUUUAACUAUUUUUAGAUUUUUCAUUGGUUUUUUUUAAAACUCUUUUAUAAAUAAUUGAAAAUCAACAUUAUUUUAUAUUUUUAAAUUAUAAAUAAAAAAAAUUAUAUUGAUGAUUUAAAAACUAUUCUGGAAAAUACUUUCUAAAAAAUGUUAAUUUAAAUAAAUAAAAAUUAUCUUUUAUAUUUUAGAAGUAAAUAAUUUAAUGAUUAAAACACUAUUUAAAAUAAAUAUAUUCACUAUUUUAUUUUCUUUUAUACUAAAAAGUAUUUUAAAGUUUUCUUUAUCCUAUUAUAAAAUAAAAGGUUCAAUUUUUUUUAAAAAAAAUUCUUCCUUUCUUAUUUUAAUAACUUUUUGCACAUGACUUUUAGUAAUAAGUUAUAUGAAAUGUUGUAAAUUUGUUUAAUAAGGAUUUUUUUAAUGAUUUGAAUUAAUUGAAAAUUUAUCAACAUAAGAAAAAAAAAAAAGUAAAAGAAAGAAAUAGGAUAGAUGAAGAGUUUUUAUUUUAAAUAUACAAUUAAAAUGUUUUCGUAUGACUUAAUUUUAGAAGUGAAUUAUAUUCAUAUAUAGUAGAUAUUGAAUUUUUCUUAAAUAAAAGGGUUACAAUGUAUAUUUACUCAUUUUAGAUGAAAACAAGAAGUUUAAAAGUAUAUAGAUUGUGUUUGAGUCAAGGAUGAAAAUAUCGGUAAUUACGGAUAUAUCGGUACUUCGAUUUUACGGAUAUAUCGGAGAUAUAUCGGUGGAUAUUUUGGAAAAAAAUAUCGAUAAGCUUAAAAUUGUUAAAAACUCAUAAAAAUGUAAGGAAAACCUCAUAAUAAUAUAAUUAGAAGUAUAAUAGACAUUUUAAAGGUAUUUUAUUGAAAAUUUUGAUAUAUGUAUAACAUGAUUUAUCAUAUUUGAUAAUAAUAUCGUAUGCAUCGAUAAAAAUAUGAAUUUUAUAAGUAUACAUUUAUUAUUAAAUUACACCUAAUAUUAUGAUAUUUGAUUAUAAUAUGUCUAAUUUUAAAUAUAUAUUAAUAUUAAAAUAUGAUCUAUUUAAUUCAGUUGUAUUAAACAAUAUAAAAUAAAUUAUGAUAUAUAUAUAAUUUUUUAAUAUUUAAUUAAUUAUUAAUGAUAUUAAAAACAUUAUGAAGAAAAUUAUAUAAUUUUUAUAUUUUUGGUAAUUAAUUAAAAGAUUUUGCAUUUAAUUAUAAAAUAAUUAUAAUUAAUUUGUUUUUUAAAAUAUUCUUUUAAUAUUUUCUUUAUAUACUGAGUUUAAGUAUAUACAUAUUUUUUGCACAUUAUAUAUCAAGGGGCUAGUUAGCCCAGAUGGUAAGUGGCUGACUGCACUGUAGCGCAUUUGACUUUCAUUGACCCGCGUUGACCAUGCAAUAUAUUGGGAAAAAUCGUCGAUUUGUCGCCAAAAUCGCCUAUAUAUCGCGAUUUAUUACGAAAUAUCGUCGGGCCAAUAUUUCUCCAUGAAAUAUCGUGUCGAUACCCUUCGAUACACGAUAUUUUCUUCCUUGGUUUGAGUUUGGUUUAAAAAUAUUUUUCUAGUUUUUAUUUUUUAUUUUUUAUUUCUAAAAAUAAAUUUUAUUUUCUAUAUGGUCUCUUUUUGAAAAUAAGUUUAAUUAAAAAAUAAAAACUAUUUUUAAAAAUGAAAAUUGAAAACCUUGUUUAGUACUAUUUUUUCAUAUGAAAAUAAUAAAAAGACUCAAAAGAGUUUGGCUCUAAGUCAUACUAUUUAUUUAACUCCCACAUGAAAAUUUCAAUACCUAUAGUAACGAUGUUUGGAGAAAAAAAUUUGACCUUAACUCAUGCACCAUUUUCUCAACCAAACCAUUGGAAACACAAUAAACACACUUACGUGAACACAUAACUUAAAGGGAUAUGAAAUUUGUGUUAUUAUACAAGGGUAUUACACUAAUUGUACAAUGAAAAUAUACUAAGUAUACAAGAGUGUAUAAAAUUACCCUUUGUGAAAUAUUUCUCAAUUAUGAACCACUUCAUUUUGUUUUCCUUGUUACCCACAUAUUGUAUACUCAUGUUAUACACUUUAUUUAACUCUCACAUAAAGAUUUCAAUACUUUCCCUAGUAAUGAUGUUUAGGGAAAAAAAAAUUGACCCUAAGUCAUCCAAUAUUUUCUCAACCAAACAAUUAGAAAUAUGGUUAACACACCUACAUGUACACAUAAUUUAGGAGGGAUAUGAAAUUUGUACCACUAUAUAAAGGUAUUACAUUAACUGUAUAAGGAAAAUAUAUUAAGUGCACAAGAGUGUACAAGACUACCAUUUAUGAAAAAAUUCAAUUGAUUUUGAAUCAUUUCUUUAUUUUCCUUGUCACCCAAGGAUUGUAUACCCAUGACAUACACUUUAUUUAACUCCCAUAUGAAAAUUCCAAUGCUUUCCCUAAUAAUGAUGUUUGGGGAAAAAGUUUGGAUCAUAAGUAAUCCACCAUUUUUCCAACCAAAUGAUUAAAAACAUGUUUAACAUCUACAUGGACACAUAACUUAGGAGAGAUAUAAAAUUUACACUACUAUACAAUAUUAUACCAAUUGUACAAGGAAAAUAUGUCAAGUAUACAAGACUCUUAAUAGGUUUUGUACGAUUUUUAAACAAUUUGAGUUUGACAUUAAAACGAUUAUCGAUAGUUUAUUAUUAUUAUUAUUAUUAUUAUUAUUAUUAUUAUUAUUAUUAUUAUUAUUAUUACCAAACUAUGCCAUUAAGAUCAAUGAAAAAUAAUGGACAACAUAUUUAUUAUUUUGUAAGUUAGAAACAAAAAAAUAUUUGCUAAGGUAUUUAAAAAAUAUUUAUUAUAUAUUCUAUAAGUUUGAAAAAAAAAAUUUAAUGAUGUGUAAUUUGCAAAUUAGAACAAAUAAAAAAUAGUAAUAUUUUAUAAGGUGUUUAAAAAUUGUUUAAUAUAUAUGAGAAAUAAUGUAAGUUUGAAAUAAAAAAUAAUAUUUAUUAUAUAUUAUGAAAGUUUGAAAAAAAAAAUAUUUGAUAAGGUAUUUAAAAAUUAUUUACUUCAAAAAUACAUUUAACAAUAAUAAUUUUUAACAAUUUAACUUUCAUGUUCAAUUUGUUGGAGAAAAAUGAUUGAUAAAUCAUUCAAGUUAGUCUCACUAAUAAAUAGGUAAGAGAAGGGUGAAAAAAUCAAAAAGAGAAUGAGAAAGGUAGAGUAACCGUUAGUUCUUUUAUUUAAUAAUUAAGGGUAUUUUAGUAAUUUUUUUAAGGCAAUAUCCUUCCUUUCAAUUUCUACUCUUUCAUUGGGUUUUGAGUUUAAUUAUGGAUGAUCGGAGACCUUACUUCAAUGAUUCAAAACACACUUUUCCCUAACCCUUUCCCUUUGCUUCUUCCCCCCCUCCCCUCCAUGGGCUCCUCCUUUCUUCCUCUUCUUUCUUGUUAUUCAGAUCUUUCCUUUCAUAAAUUGAAACCAAAAAUAGGGGAGGGGCUGCUGCUAUGACUGACUAUCAAGACAGUGGCAAUGCCUCAUCAUGAGUAACAGUUCACGAGUGUGCAGCCAAGCGCUGCUGCCGGUCAUGGUGGUUUGCCACGGCCCCAUCUCAUAGAAAAGGAAAGAAGUGAAGGAACGGGGUUAGACUGAGGAUUAGGGUUGGGGUGGGAUGCGUGCGAGGAAGAUGAGCUUUCAUAUUUAGUUGUGGAUUUUAAAAAGACAAAAAGAUGGGUGGAAAAACAUAUUAGGUGGGUGCGAGUAACAUCACUCAAUAAAUCAUUCUAUAUAUGUACCCGAAUCAAUAAAAUUACCUACAAGAUGAGGGAAAUGGAACAAAUAAAAACUUACACAAUCACUCCCAAUUUCUAAAACAACCUAUUGCCCUCAUCAACCUUCCUCCUUUACAGUAGUAUCUGUGGGUUGAUGAGGGUUAAGCAGAAUUUCAGAUACAACUACUGAAUAUGAAAAUUAAACAAGGCAACAGACAACAUAAGAGAAAAAUGGGUGGAAAAAGAAUGGUAAUUUUGAUAUUCUGACAGCAAGGAAAGUUCCCUAUAUUGACCUGAUUGCAAUUAUUGAAGUAAUACACAGCUCAAUUCGACAGUUCCUGAAAAAGUAAGUACAUGCCAAUCUCUUCGUCUAUGAUUGAUAAUACAAACAAAACAAAAAAAAAAUGAAAAGUGGUUUGGCAAAGGAAAUAUGGUUAUUUAAAGCCACCACUGCCAAUGUUUUUGGAGAACCAGAAUUUCAUUUUUGGAAAAAAUAAAAGUGGACCAUUAAAUCAUUUACAUAUUUAUGCAUUUACAAAAGCAGAAAAAAGACAUUAAAAUCUUAAAAAUUUAUUAACUGACCUCCCCCAUUGAGCUGCUUAAAUGGCCAGUUGGGCUAAAAGAGAAUUUCCAAUGCUGUUCUGUACAUCAUGCGAAGGAGAAUCAUGGGGUUGAGAGAGAAUUCUGUUCUGCAACUCACUCACUUUCUCCAUCUUGUGUUGUAAGUUCAGGGUGCAUAUUAAUUCAAAAAUUCUCGCAUGGGAGAAAAGAAAUGCAGUUGAAAAAUGUUUAUAACUGGUUGAAACCCCAUUCCAAGAAUUCUUCUACCACUCUUCAAGCCAUUCUGGAGUAUUAAGUUCUUCUGGGUCUCGAGAUGGGGAAAGUGAAUGAAUGGUAUAGUCCUCUGUGUGAUUUUCCAGAUGUUGAGCUAUUCGAGAUGUGAUCUCAUGUGGAACAGGAAAGCUAGAAUCUGUCAGUCUCUUCCAAUCAAUCCCAUCAAACCACUUAUGGCUUUUGACAGAAUCUGGAUUUUGGCUUCCAAGUCUUGUGCUUUCAUCAACUUCAAGUAACUAAAUCAAUUCAUUUAUAAAAAUAAGCAAAGCUUUCAAAAAUAUCCUGAGAUUCCCCCCAGGCACAGUAAAAAACACAGGAAAUAACUAAAAGUUCAAAUAAGACCUUUGUUAUGAGAUCAACAGCUUCAGGACUGAAGGUGCACGGAAGGUUUAGCUGUCCCCUAGCAAUCUUUGCAAAUGUAUCAAGCUCACUUUCUCUCCAUGAUCCAAAUGGCAUUUCACCUUGUAGCAUAAAAUAGAUCAAGACUCCCAGUGCCCACCUGCACAUAUUUAAAACUCAGAAGAAAAUUUCCAGGACACCAGCAAUUUAAAAGGAAAGAUAUAGAGCAAACACCACAAAUUGUUCACAUAUAGUGAUUCUAAUCACUAAAGCAAACAAGUUUGCCAUAUCCAGAAAUUUCUUAGUGACUCCAAUUGCUUUCCCCAGAAGCAAUAUAAGAUAAAGAAAAACAAUUAAUCAAUAUAUAUAGCGCAAACGAUUUCCACAGAUGUAUUAUUCCAGAUGAUGAGUGCAGUCACUGUUACCCAAAAACAAAUAAGAAAAAGAACCAUUGGGCUCUCCUAAGCACUCUGCUUCUGUUUAGAUAUAUUUUUUUUUUUUUUUUUUGUCUUUCAGAAUGAAAACAAAAUUUAAAAUUACCACUUUUAUUUCUUGUGAUUCACACUUGGAUUUUUUAUUUUUUUUUUCUAAUUUGAGACAGCAUUCAAUGGUCCAAGAUACUGUGCAAGGUGAGGACAAAUCCCGAAGUUAUACAAGUUUAAUAUUUACCAGUCAGCAGGAAAGCCAUGUCCUUUUCCUUGGACUAUCUCUGGUGCUAAAGAGUCUGCCAUCCCACAUAUUGUAAAUGUUCUUUCAUCAGCCAACUUCUUCCCAAAUCUGAAGUCUACAAGCUACAAUACAGCAAGGGAAAAGAAAAUAAUGAAGAAUGUUAUUUUUCAAGUUGCUCUUCUUCAUAAGAACAGAGAAAAGGGAAAUGUAAUAAUACAUCUAUUAAUCAAUAUAAUGCAGCAUAAAUACCAUAAUAAAACCAACCUGCAAAUGUCCUGUGUGAUCAAACAUUAGAACAUCAGGAGACACACCUCUGUAGAGAAUACCAUUCUGAAAUUCAAAUAAGAAAAUAAAACCCCCAAAAAAAGUUGAAAUCAUGGUAUAUGCAAAGCACAGUUAGCAGUUGAGGAAGAAAAAAGGUAGAAAAAGAACUCUAGACAUCAAACCUUGUGUAAAUUUUCCAAGGCAAUAACAACAGAGGCAGCACAGAACCGUGCAGAUGGUUCAUCUAGUGGAGUGUGAAGUAUCGAAGCAAAUGGGCAGGCAAGACAUGUAUUCAGCAGGAUACUGGCAUGGUUCUGGUCAGCAAUAGUGCAUAGAACCUGUGGCACACAAGCUGAAGGAGCCAUACUCAUCAUUAGAUUCUUCUCCUUUAAGACCUGUGCUUCCUUCCCAAGCCUUUUGAUCUUCUGCUUUGAAAACCUUUUCAAGCUUAGCAAAUUUUCUGAUAGCCAGUCAGACCCAAAAAGAAGCAUUUCAUCAGUCAGUUUACCGUUCACAUAAAUGUAGAAAUAAUAUCUUAAAAAAAGUAACCAAAACAAAAAGUGACACAAUGAAAACUGGUGCAAUGGAGGAAAUAAACUAAGAUAAUAUAAAAUAAACCAACCUGAAUCUCUCAACAAUACAAGCCCAAUCUCACUGCAGUCAGUGGAAUAUAAACAGGUUCUCCACUCCUAAACAAAAUUAGAUAAUUUCAGAUGUCUAUCUAUUUCAAAACCAAGGUCUUUGCAACAUGGACGUUAGCAAGACCCAUUAAUUAUUCCUUACCAAGUCAGAAGGCUGAACUUUCGUAAGAGUUGAAGGAUCAAUAUUUUUGACAGAUUCCUUAGGGAGGCUUGAAGAAUAGUCUCUUGAAUGGUCUCUUGACCUAAACAACAUUAGUAUUUUCAGGGUAAGAUGUACUUCUAAUGUAUUAAACACUUAAGAACAAGAAAGGACCAAGUACUUGUCAAUCAUAAAGCUCCAAACUACCUUGCAUUGAAAAUACCAAUUUCAUUCAAUAAGGUGGCAUUUGGUAAACUUAAAACUUAAUACUAUUAAAUAUUAGGUUUUACCAAACACCCACUAGCACCUUAAGAUAACUUAAUCUGAAUUUUACUUAGUUGAAUUUAAAACUCAUUACUCAGUGUCCAUUUAGAUACACUUCCUCUUUUUAUUUUUAAAAUUAGAAACUUCUAUAUAAAGUAGAACAUCUUGUACAAAAAUUAUAGACUUAUGUUAUGUCUUUAAAAUCACUUUCAAAAAUUAUAAAAUUCAAGAUAGUAAAAAAAUUUUAAUAUCUCAAUUUAUUUUAACAGUUUUUAAAACCAUUACUUCUUCAAUGUAAGCCUCAAAGAGUUCUUGUAUCUUAGAUAAAAGUCACUACAGUUAUCUGAUUUUAAAAACAGAACAGGAAGUGUAUCUAAAUGGACACUGAGUAAUAAGUUUUAAAUUCACAUAUUUACCCUUUUUAAUAUUAAGUAAUGAGCUUAUGAGAGAGAUAAAAGAGAGAAAAUCUAACAAGUGUGUUAAAGAGUUGAUAAGAAGCCAAGAGUUUUGGAAGGCACAAAACUAUUUUGGAUUCAGAAAAAGUGAUUUCUCUGAACUUAUUGUUUUAAGUUAUUGUACCAAAUAGACUAAAUUUGCUUAAUGAACUAUAAAUUAUACUAACUCAUUAAGUUGGUUUAGCAAAUAUCCCCUAAGAUAUAAACAGUAACAUUCCCUACAGGAAAUUAGAUCGUACUUUUCAUCACCCUGUGACAGCUUUGCCAAUGGACCAACAACAGCAUCAAACUUUUCCUUUGUUAAAACAGCACACACCACAUCACCCAUAGCAACUGCACUAAAAGAGCCAAUAUUUUCACCAAGAAGUGCCCAUUCACCAAAAUAGCUUCCCUCAGUCUUCACUACAAACUCUGUACUGCUUUCUGUAUCAUCAUCCUGCUUUUGAUUGUCAGAUACAAGGCUCCCGAAGCUUGGACUCCUUAUUGAGUCUGGAUCAAAAGUGAUUCUCACUUGUCCCUUUUGGAUGAUAUACAAAGCAACAGGACCCUCAUUCUGCAAGCACAAGCUGGAAAAAGUUAACGAAAAAAAAUAAUAACACAUAUUAAAUGGAAUAUGUUUUUGGAUAGAGUAAGUUUACUUUGUCAACUAUAGUUUGCCCAUCAGAGAAGGACACUUCAGAAAGAGAAUCUGCAAUGUGGCUCAACUGUAAGAUUGUCAACCUUGAAAGAAGAUCUACUGACCGAAGCAACUUCAAGGAUGACAAAUUUGAAAAUUCAGACAUCAAAAUUCCUCGAAAAUCUUCUCUUUUCAAAGCCCAAAGAGUUCCAUUUGUCACAGCACGAACAGAUGCCUGUAGCGGUUUGUUAUACCUGAAAUACCACAUAUCCCCAAAAAAGGACAUGCACAGACAGAGAGGAAAGGAGGACAAAAAGAAGUAGUAAGAAUAAAUAGGACCACACUGAUUACCAAGAAAAGUUUAACUGGACAGUUUUUACAUAUGUCAUGGAACUGCACCAACUUUCCAGGAAAUUAUACCCCUAACAAGAUUGUGCAACCCACAAAUGCACAAAUGUAACAACAUCAGAAAUAUUGUACUCAAAAAGCUUGUGCAAUCAUUAAUAAAAUCUAGCAGUUUUUGACAAUGUGUUCACAAUUGUGUUAUUUUGAUUAUUUCUGAACCUAUUCAAAAAGUGCUUGCAAAGUCUACAACUUUUUACAAGUUUCAUUGAAUUGAAAUUGGCUCAAUAAUUAUAAUUAUUUGUUCACUAAUCCAGUUUAUAGUUAUUUAAUUUUUAAUGAACUAAAAUACCAACUUGUUGAAAAUUGAUGAGCCAAUCCAUUUUUAACAAAAAUGAAAUUGUCAUUUAAACCCAGCAUGAAGGAGUGAAAUGAUAACUCACAUGAGUGCCAGCUCGCCAAAGGAUGAUAACUUUUCAGCUGUAUACUGUUGCAGAACCCUAGUCACCUCGCCAUUUUUUUCUUCCUGUUAUCCAUAAUAUCUUGUUAACACCAAUAUCAAAAAACAAAAAUAAUAAUAAUAAUAAUCUAACCUCCAAAAUGUACAACUGGAAAACUAGAAGAUAAUUGAAUUGAUCAAGGAUGAUUAUCAAGGUAGCCUUUAUAUUAGUUCUGAAAUGGUUUGAACAACAAUAAGAAGAAACUGAUGGCGUUACACAAAUUAGUAAAUCUGAAGUUGCAUCAAAUAACAAAAGUUAGAACCUGGGUUGCCAAGACCUCAAAUUCUCCACUGCCAACAACAUAAAAGCAGUCACCUUCACCACCCUGCAAAAGACAAAAUCAAUUACAUUUCUGCAGCUAUGAAUACGACUGUAGUUAAAAAUUGCAUUUACAUAAACAGUCCUUAAUUUCUGGCAUGCGAAGCCUGCAGACCUGAGGUUCAGCAUACUAAAAAUAAACCUCUAAGUCAAGCAGCAUUAGCCUACCCAUGUGCAUGAGAAUAUAAACUAGAAAAGUGGUGGCGAAUAUGUAUUUGCAGCUUUGAUAAAGGUUCUCAUCACCAAUUAUGUCCACCACAUACUCAGAACUUGAAUGGAAAUCUGUUUAUGGUUACAAUUUAUAAAUCUCCUAUCAGAGACACAAAUAAAAUAUAUUCAGGUUAAUUAUUUAAUUCCUUCUGCUUAAAAUUCUUGUUUCUUAAUGCUUUUAGUAGUUUAAAGAUAGAAAUAGUAUGUCUGUAAAUUGUAAUUGUUACUUCUUUUCUAGAGAUUAUGCUCAACUUGGAUGAACUUUGAUCCAUAUCUGCCACUGAUACACAUACACACAAUAUCCAGGUUAUGCACAACAGUUGAAGAACUCUACUCAAUUAUAAAUUUAAAAAGAUUAAAGAGAAGAAGGGAAGGGGGAAAGACAGACAGACAGAGAGACAGAGAGCUAGCCUGUUUCACUACAACAUCCCCUGAUUGAACUUCAACUCGUUGCAUGCAAUCCAACAAGACAUGGCACUGAGAGUCAGUAAGCUUCCUGAAUAGGAAAUGGUCAUGCAAUGCCCGCUCAAUGUGUGCCUGUGACAUAUGUGAAUAAAAUUGCUAACCACAAAUGUAUGGGAUAAGGACUCAUUGUAAGAUAAACUUGUUCCAGUCUUCUCUUCAUAUAAAAUUGUGUCAAAAGCAAUAUUUAUAAUAGAAAAAGGUUUACCUCUUCUUCCCAUGUCUUCCUGUGAGCUGGAGAUGGAGGAACCCAAAUUUGACCAUUCUCCAGAGAACUUUCAAUGGCACGAAGACGUGCCCGUGAUAAAUCAUGCCUUACCCGAUGAUUCCUAGAAUUCCAGCUCAAGGUUGAAGGAGAUUCAGAUCCUGUUACUUCCACGACUUGUGGAACAGGAGGUCUUGAAAUAGCACCAGGAUUUGCUGAUUGUCCAACAUCAGGCUGAUGAAAGAAGACAAAAUCAGUUGACUGAACUCACAAAAAAUAUAUAAAUAAUAAACAAAUGAUCAUGUGAAGCACAAUAUAAAUCAGAUAAAAGACAAUAGACAGAGCAAAACAAGCCCUCACAUCAGUUAGCCCAUUAAUAUGCACAACUAUCACAGUAAUGUCAUCUGUGCGAGUUUCAUACUGUAGCCAAAGCCGAUAAGAUUCAGCAACAAUUGCAGCACAAGCAUCACGGGGAUCCUUAAACUUUGUAACCUGGAAAUUCAGUAACAAAAUCAGGAACACAAUUAUAAACAUGAGAAGAGGCACUAUAUCUGCCAAUGCAAUUUCUAUUCAGAGAUGGAAAUAUAAGGGAGUGAGAAUUAACACAAGUUGAACUGCAGUUAUUUUUCUCUCUUCAGAGAUGGAAUUUAAAAGCAAUGGAUUCUCUGCAAAAGGAAGCAAGGGCUAAUCAAUUUACUAAGUUGAAACUGGAUAGCUGCUGAACAGCUAGGAAAAUCAUUGGGUCUAAAAGAACUAGAGCAUCUAAGCUGUCACUGUUAUGAUACUGAGGAGACAAGAAAUAAGUUCACAAUGCCAGUCAUAACUCUCUGAAUAGCUUGCUGGCAAAAGCCAAGGCUCUUACCAUGCACACAUGUAGGUGCAUGCCACAAACAGCAAAGCAUCAUACUCCCCCUAUAAUAAGCACUUAGCAUGGAAGAGCCUAUUUGACUCCAUCAUAGGCUUCACCCUCAAAAUGUGGCAAAGCAUGUCACAAUGAUCAGAUCCUUAGCUCUUGCUACUGCCAUGUUUCAUGUUCUAAAGUUUGAUCAUCUCUAUCAUGUCCUUUCCUCAGUAAUAUAACAUGAUUUUUUAAACUUAAGCUAUAGUUUUGUAGGCCCUUUGUUUUCUGGUCUGUAAUUACUUGGUUUGAACGUAAUGACCUUGUUAGUCGCUAUUUUCCACUUUCAUUUUAGAAUCAGAAAUAAUCAUUCCAUUGCACUUAAUUAGUGAGUACAAACAAGGAUAAGAAAUCCUUCCAAGAACACAAUCUGCUGUACAAUAUCAAAAAAAGCUAACUGCACAGUUGAAGAUUGUCAUAAAAACAAUCCAAAAUAUUAUUCAAUAUAACUAACUAAAGGUAAAAGAAAAUCCAGUAAAAAAGAAACCAAAAUACAUUAAAAAAGAAACCAAAUAUUGUCCCAAUGAUUUGCUAAAAGAUUCACCAUAUAACUGGUCAAGCUAGGACCCUAACAAAAGGAACAACCCAACUCUAAAGUAAUAUAGAAAAUUUGACAAAGCCAACCAUCAAACUUCCGUCGCCAUCCUUUUUCCUUAGGCAACUAAGAUAUGACUAUGGCAAAUCCCCCUCCACCAAUAGAUUGGAAAGAUCAAAAUUUAGCCUAGAAAGGCCCUCCGAUACGGAUAAAAUCUCAGCCCUGAUAGAGCAACCCUCUUCAGUAGGUGUAGAAAAAAGCUCUCACCAUUGUACCAAAAUGACCCCUAAGCAAUCCUCCAAUUUCUAGUUGUCCUCAGUGACUCAAAGAACACCAACCAAAAUUUAACUUGGCAAAACUCACUAGUGGUGAUGAUAAUACAAGAAGUGUCUUCUCCACUAACCUCAACUUGCACAUUAGAUUCUAAUCUAGCAAUAUAAGGGCCACAUAAGGGUCUGCAAAGGCUUCAUUAAUAAAAUCAGAAUGAUGAGAAAAAAAAAAAACUAAGUUUCAAACUGCCUCCAAAUUCCUUCAUAUAUCAUAAGAAUCCUGUAUUCAAUCAAUUAAUUCAAAUCAAUUUGAAGCUAGCAAUACACUAAAGAGUCAUGCCUCCAUGAAGUCUUUUAAAACCCUUGAACGAAAUUAUCACCAUCCCCACCAUGCUUAUGGAUGGAACCCUUUCAAUCUAAGCAAGUCAAACAACUAAUGUCAUAAUGACAAUGCUAUCAAGCUAUGUAAGAGACAAUCAACUCAUUCUCCAGUCCCCUUCCACAUGAUACACCACUUUAACUAGAGUGUUUUGCAUGGCCUCUUUAACCAGAGCAAAUCAUUGACAUUAACCUACUCAUUUUCCAAAAUCCACACCAAAGGCCUCUCUACUUUUGAUUGGGCUCUAGAUUUCUAAACCAAUUUUAUGAGGAUAAUGGGAAUCGAGUUGUGUAGAAGUAACGAAAGCCUUAAAGAAUGAACUAACUAAGAAAAAAUCUGAGGAAUCUAUCAAAAGAAAAAAAAACCUAAGAAUAAAUGUGAGGAAACCAAAAACUAAAAUCUCACAUUAGGAACAAUGAACGAUAAAUAAACAACUAAAGCAAACACAAAAAUAACAAUUUCCUCAAUCUUUUGAUUUAAAAGGUUGAAGAGAAAAUUGAAAUUUCAAAACCAAGGAAGAGAAAUCACAGCCCUAAAGAGAUUUGGGUAUUGGAUAAGAAAAUGUUGAUUGAUUACCUUCCAAACAUCGUUAUGAAAACGAAUUUUUGCACCAUCCGCACAAAAUAACAAGUAGGACAAAAAGACAGAAAAUUUAUUUAAUAGCCUUCCAAGGGCAACAACAUGACCACCUAACAACCAUGUUAGUAUAACAUCUAGUAGAAUGUGGCCAAUAGGUACUCAAGAUGACCUUGUGCCCUAUAUAUAUAUAUGCACCACUUUCCCAAAAGAGCUUUAUUUCUCAAGGAUACCCUCAACACUAUAAACCCAUUCCCUCUCAGGCUAACAAACUGGUCCAAACCCAUGAGAUGAUCACUCUUUCCUUUUACAAUCCCGAACAAAGAAAAACCUUUUGCAACCUCUCUAUCCUAGGAGCCACUUUGACCAAAGUCCUAAACAUAGAUAGGAAAUUAAGGUAAAAUGGAACAAAUAUUACUAAACAAGAAUUAUUCUACCACCUACUGACAAGUAGGCUUUCUUCCAACUAUCAAAACAUCAAGAAAUCCUAUCCAAAAUUGAAUCCCAGCAAGAAACAGCUCUAGGGUCCCCUUCAAAGGAAGACCCAAAUAACAAGGAGCCAAUAAAAGACACUACAUUCUAAAAGGAUAGACAAUUAAAGAACUUAGCCCUAACUAACAUUGAUACCUAAUAGGAUGCUCUUAUCUAGAUUUUUCUUAAGCCCUGAAAAAUGUCAAAUCACCAAUAAAAUUGGUUCAAGACAUUGUGUGAAAUCUGAUCUAUUUCUUGAAGAAAAAAAUGAUAUCAAUAGUAGACCAUAAAUGAGUCACCCAUAUUCUACUUGCACCCACCAUAAAGCCCUCUAAGAUACCACAUUCUCCCACUCUCAUCAUUAAGAUACCACAAUGGCAAUAACGAUAAAAAGAAAGAAUGAAAAUGGAUUGCCCUAUCUUAAACCCCUAUUAGAUGUCUUAACCCAUUUUUAAAGCAUCCACUUACUAGCAUAAAAACUCAUUGAUGACAAGCAUCCACAAAUCCAUGAUCUCCAUCUCUACCUAAAACCUUUAUUUCUAAUGAAUGAUUGAAAACUCUCAAUCCACAUAACCAUAACCUUAAUCAAAAUCAAUAUUAAAAACAAUCCCUCCUCCUAAACAUCUUUUAUCAUCCAACACUUCAUUCAAAUUUAUCUAAUAUUGGUAAAGGCUUCUUGAGAAAGAUGAAUGAUCUCAUACAAAUCCUCAUGUAAACACUAAAACAUCAACUUAGCCAUGAUUUGGCUCCUUUCGCGCACUAAAGCAGUGAAAAUGGUAUUAAUGCUCUUAUUAACUACUCCACUAUCAUAGGAUUCAACAAACCUCCUCGAUUGUGUUAAAGCAAUCAUAUACAAUGCUAAAGUAAAAACCAUUUGGGUUUGGUGCCUUUUCCUUCUCCACAUGAAAGAUCACUUCUCCUAUUUCCUAUUUCUAAGAGAGGUCACUCCAAACUACUAAAUGGGAGAUAGUCUAUACAUUCUAAACAUCACAAAUCCUCAUUGAUUAAUUGUAAAGUUUACCAGGAAAAAUCAAAAUCUCUUUUGAGAUACUAUGUUGGUCAUCCAACAUCACACCUUCCUUAAUCACUAAAUUUGAUCAACUUUCCCUUCUUCCAUUAGCCAUCAUGUCGGAGCACUUGGAAUUGAAGUCCUCCUCCUUGGCAUAUUUUACUCUAGUUUGCUAGCUCCAAUGCAACACUUCCCAAAAAACAAUUGUUCCAACUCCACUUUCUCAAGGGAUCUUAUAGGUUGCUAAUUCAUUACUCCAAGGCUCUCCUCCUUGAAGGAAUUUACCAUGGCAAUUUCCCUAAUGAAAGCUAUCUUUCUUUUCCUAAUAUUCUCAAGAGCUAUCUUAUUUUACCAUUUCAAUUUUGCUUUAAUGUCUUAUUGUCUCUUCAUAAACCUAUGACCUUCCCAAUCCACACCUUGAAACUCUCUCCAUCAAGUACCCAUACAAUCUUUGAAAUCAAGGUAAAGCAACCACAUGUUUUCCAACCUAACUAGAGUUAGCCCUCACUUCAAAAGAUUGAUAUCUAAUCCCAUUUAGGAAAAAAGUAAUUUUUUAUCAAACAAAGAACUUUUGCAAAUUGACCAAGUGAAAGUGGCAUUUCUACGAAGGGAAUCAACUAACUCGCACUCCCUAAUUUCUAGUAAAACAAGAUCACCCCUGAUGCACUCUCCCAAGGUGAUCCAAUAACUCAUUCCCACAACUCCUUUAUAAGCAUGAGAGCAUUUGAGACAAAAACCUUUAGACAAGUGACCCGGCUGCCAAAAAUAAAAAAUUGAAAAUUAAAAUUUCUUUUACUAUUUGAAGAAAGUAUGACUAAAACUAAAGAGGACCCUAAAACCAUCUUGAUGCACAAAAAUAUCCUAAAAUAUAGUGACCUUGUUCCACUUGUAGAGAAUCUAAUGCAUCUUAAUUUUUAAUUCAGUGAGGAGGGAAGACUUUUUUAGGGGCUUAGAUAGGAAGGAAUUGGAUAAAUCUAUAUCAUCAAUAUGUUCCCAAUAAAUUAUCAUGUCCGGAGGUUGAAUAUUUGAGAUUAACUAAAUUACCUGUACGACUUGAUAUCACUUCAGUUGUGAAACAUGCAACAACUAUUUUGAAGCCUUGGUUAAUCAUUCCCCUGUCAAAAUAGAGAUGAUGACUUCAAAGAGGCCAUACCACUACUUAGUGUGACUGAGAACCUCACAUUUUAGUUAUUCAUUGAGCUGGAUGACUAUCAAAUGCUACAAAAUCGUGAAUAAAACUUGGAUGUUGAUGUAUCAUGUUUCUUAUCGAUGGAUACUUUUACUAUAAAGUUUUACUUGUAGAAAAUAAUUUAGUUUGAGUUUUCAAGUGUAUAAGUAUAAGAACAACCUUUACAUAAAUUCCAUGUUUCAUAAAAUUUUCUUGUAACUACAAAUUAUUACAUGAAACCAAGAAAAGAAAAGAAAAAAGAAAGAAGGGCCUCCCAUUUACUCUUCCUGACAAGAUUCCAACUUCAUCCUAUAAGAAGAACCCACAAGUAUCCAAAGAGCUAAAAUUAGUAUGCUAGGCAACCAAGGCAAAUCAAAAGGAAUCUGCAUGCCUCAAGGGCUCUCAAGUAAAAGAAACCUGGCCACACAUACCAAAAAUACCUCAAACAUUCUAAUGUAUUAUGUUUUUUAUAGGCAAUCAGAAACAUUAAUCAAGAGCACCUAACAAAAAUAGGCAGUGCAACCCCAGCAAAAGUAGGGGCGCAACCCUAGUACACCAAGAAUAUACAAAGAGCACGAAAACAAACAAAUAAUGAAAUAUAUAUAAAGUUAAUAAUGCUUGAGUGAGACCCACUGGCUGGUUAGGUUGUAUUUUACAAAAGAAAAUCUUUUUUCUAGGUGGAUUGUCAAAUAAAAGAAAAAAUCAAUAAAUAAAAAACAUUUAAUAGAAGUUAUUAUGAAAUAAUUUAUAUUUUGUACUCAUAUAAAUUAUGUAACAAAUAUAAAAUGUUACUAAUUAUGUUAUCUCAAUGCACCAAAUCCUUUCCAGCCAAGUCAUAGUAUUCUUAAAUUUGACAGUUGCAUGGAUUGAAUGCCUAGACCCACACCAGCACCAAACCCAUAUGAUAUAGCACAUUAUGUAUUUUGAAAUCAGGAACUCAAAAAGAGUGUCAAACAAAAUUUGUAUCAACCCUACACAAGGAAUAUGUUUCCCAAUAUCAUACUCUUUUGAUUUAUAAAUGUGAGCCCAGUGAGAUCAAACGGUAUUAUCUAUCAGGAAGUAAUAAUCGCGCAAUCAAACAGGAUUUGUUCCUAUGGGGGAAGAAAUUCACACUCCAAAACAUCUCAAAGCCACCGACAUGCUAGACCAAGAACAACAAAUGAUUUGUAUACCUGAAUUAUUCCAGUUAUGGAUUUAGGCCAUCAUUUAUGCAAUUCAUCACAAGAUUCUAAAUUGAUCACCAGGGUUCAGAAAGAAAACUAAAUAUCAUAUUCAGCAAAAACAUACAAAUAAAAGACAACCUACAAUCAUAAGCAUGGAACAAAUGUAACUCUGAGAACUUUAGGCUUCAGUAACACUCAAAUCAAAUAAGCUAAAAAUCACAUUUUCACAUAGAUUAUUGUAAUAAGAUAGAAGGAUACCUUACCAUGUCAACAACAGUUUGGCUGGAAAGGAACUCAAACACCCCAUCGCUAGCUAGCACAAAGAAAGGAUGAUCUGGUGUGAGCUCCAGAACAACAAUUUCAGGGUUAGCAACCACCCCAAUUGACUCAGCAAUUGAAUCGCCAAUACUUCGGGUAAAAGCCGUGCCAGGAUACAUCCCAUUGGGUACCCAUAGUCUAGGAGGAUCGCCAUCAUCCCCCUCUUCAGUGCCCCAACACUGCACAUCUGGGUUCUUCAGCCCUUCUAUCUGAUCCAAAGUGAGGACCCUCGCUCCACAAAGCUUAACUCUUUCAAGUUCAUCAGCCCGAAAUGGUGUUUGAUCAAUUGAUAAAUCAACAGCCACAAUUUCUUUCCCUUUUCUUUCUGCUAUAACAGCUCUGGAAUCCCCUGAGUUAGCAACAUAUAUAGUCCGACCACGAACCAAUACUGUUAUUGCAGUUGUGCCGCUCAUGCUAUCAUCCAAACUAUCAGCAUGUAACUGUGAAUUUGUCGUCAAGAAUGCGGCAUGGCAUGCCUCAAUUGCAUCCAUAUGGAACCUACUAUUCCUAAGCAAAUUUUCACAUAAUUUUUGCUUCACAAACUGUGAGCACUGAGCACCGAAUUCUCCAUGCCCAUCAAAAACCCCAAAAAAAUGAUCGUCAGGGUUUGUCCCUAAAGGGGUGUGGAUACAAAAACUGUCUUGGUUAGCUUUAUCAAGAGCAUCAGGAUAAUAUCCUCUCUGUGACAGAAACGAAAAUCGUAAUUCAUAGUUUCCCGAUGGAAUUUUAACAGUUCGUGACCCAUCAUGGGGUAGAAACUGAGAAGAAACCCUAGAAAGCCUAGUGAUGCCUACUUCAGAAUCCCUAGUUAAACUCAACUGAUUCAACUGAUCUCUAAUUUCCCCAUCUUCCCCAUCUGAAGAAGCAGGAGAGAACACGGGAAGCUCUGCACCUGCUCUCGCAUUUUCAGUUUCUUUAACUCUUGCAUGUCUUGGAGUACAAACCUCCCCAAUACAUGACCUCGAAUAAACACACCCCAUUACUGAGAAUAAGAAAUGGAGACAAACCCAGAUGCUAGAAUCACGCGAAAAUUCAUCAGGUUCAAGUCCAACAAUCCCUCGAAACUUAGAACAAAAAACAAAACACCGCGAACUCAAUGCCCGUCCUCUGUUUCAAGGAGAACCCAGCCCAAAUCCGAGCAUUCCAACAAGGCAAUUCCUGGGCGAUUUCCGUACAAAUUGAAGAGAAACUGCAAGAAAAAUCGAGGGAAAUGCAUGAAAAAAAAAAAACUCUAUCAGAUUUCACUCAAGACCUUAUCUUUAACACUCCCCACUGAAUCACAACCCGAUACCUAAUGAUUCAAACCAAACAAAACCCAGAAAACCCCACAAAUCAUCACAAAUAAAUUUUACAAACUUUGAUUGAACUCAUCGAAAUUUGCACAAAUACAUUCCCAAUAACAUCCUCGAUCUACCUUGUGCACGGGCAGUCACAGUAACAAAUCCAGAGCAGUCAAAAAACCCAAUCAAACAAUAAACAAUUAUUUAUCUAUAAACACAUCGACAGAAAACCCGUGGAUUUGAAAGACGCUUGAUGACGAGAAAAGUCAAUAAAAAAAGAAAAACAAAAAAAGACAGAGUUGCAGAGAGAGAACAGAGUCACGCACCCAGAUGAGAUGACGUCCGUCUUAGCCAAUCCCGAUUCAGAUAAAGGACGCCCAGUGCGUACUACGCCCCCAUCACCACCCUCCCAACAUAGAGAAAGAGAAAUAGAGGAGGGAGAGAGAGACACGUCGUGGGUUGUAGAGGCGUUUGUGACUUGGUGGUGGGUAGAGUAGCAGAGAGAGUUCAGACUUCAGAGAGUCGUUUGGAGAGACGUCUUACUCCCACCACUCCCCCUGCAUGUGUGUAGGGAGACGCCCUGUCCCCCCUCCUCCACGCGCCAUUCUCCUCUUCCUACCAUAAUCAAUCAAUCGAUUCAAACCCAGAAAAUAUUUUCAAAUAUCUCUGGAAAUCGGCAAAUGGGCCCUUUUUUUUCCAAUUAAUUUCCAAAAAAAAAAAUUAAUUUUUUUUACAAAUUUAUAGAAAAUAAAAAUAAGAAUAAAGGGUUAAGUCGUAAGUGAAAGGAAAAAGUGGAAACGAAUUAUUAGUGCCUUUGUUUUGAUAUGAUAUGAGAUAUUGAAAUGAGUACACAAAGUAGAUGUAAAGAUGAUGGCCGUCUCAAUAUAUUUUCAAAAUCAUUUUUAUUUUUAUUUAAAUUAUAUACUAAUAUUAACUUCACAAAUUGGAAUAUCUUGUCUAUUUUUUAAUAUUAAUAAUGGUGAAAUCAAAUUUGUAUUCUUUUUCAUUUAGUUCUUGAUGGUUAAGCUAGAAGCAUAUAUAUUUAAAUUCACGAUAAAAAAAAUAUAAUAUUAAAAUAAUUGUUUUCAAAAAUAAUUUUGAGAAUAGUUUUUUAAAAUAGUUUAAUUUUUAUAAAACAAAAGUGUGUUUAGAAACUUAAAAUAUUUUUAACAUCUUUUUUAUAUUUUUAAAUUUAUUUUAAAAAUAAUUUUUAUAUGUAGUAUUUCAUUUUUAAUUAUUGUACAUGUUUCUAUAAUUAUAUAUUAAAAUAGUUCUUAAAAAAUAAGAAAAAACAAAAAAAAAAUUAAAUUUUGUUUUUUAAAAAAUACCUUGUUUUUUGUUUUUAAUAAUAUAAAACAUAAAAUAAUUUUUUAUUGUCAAAUAUGUUUCUUGUUAUGAAAUACGAAAACUGUUUUAAUUGACAAUUGUUUUUCAAAAAUCGUUUUUUAUUUUUAAAAAAUGAAAAAUACAUUGACAAUUAGAAACCGUCUUUUAUUUUUUGUUUUCAAAAAUUUAAAAAAAAUGGUAUUUUCAUAUAAGAUAUUUUAAUUAUUUUUAGUUAUUUUUAUUUAUUUUUUAAAUAUUUUAAAAUAUAAUUACAAAAACAUACAUAUCAAUUAAAAAUAAGACAUCGAUAUGAAAAUUAUUACUAAAAUAUAUUUAAAAAUAUUAAAAAUAAGUUAAAAAUAUUUCAAGUUUUAUAAUAAACUUUUAUUUUAUAAAAUAUUAGAAACUAUUUUAAAAAAUUAUUUUAAAAAAUAAUUACUAAAGAUAGACUUCAUAAUUUAGAAUAUACAUAGCGUUCCAUCCAUCUAUAUCCACUGAACAUUUUUCGAGAUCAUAUAUAUAUAUAUAUAUAUAUAUAUAAUGAAAAAAAAAAUAGGAAAAAAACCUAGAACAUGAAGAGUCAUAUGAGAGCAUGGGGUUGUGAUCCAAAAAUCUCUUUACAAACAUUCAUUCUUUGAGAGUUUCAUGUAAUGAAAUGAUGUAAAAUGCAUUGAAUCCACAAACCCACAUGAAAAGUUUGAAGCCUCUACAGUCUACUCAUCCUCAUCCACCCUCCAUCCAACUUUAAAUGGUCCCUCUCAAUUGUUUGUUUGCACUGCAUUUAUGUAUUUCCUGUAUUUAUUUCAUGGAAUUGACUCAUAGCUAUAUUUCCCAUCUAAUCUUGUGUUAUAUAUAGAAAUCAAUUAUCAGACAUUAAACAAAAUUUAUAUCUAAACUAAAAAAAUUUAAUUACAUUUAACAUGUUUAUCUCGAAUUAAUUUUUUAUUUUUUAUUGAAAAUUUUACAAAAUAAUAAAGAAGUAAAAAUAAAAAUUUAUUGUAAUAACUUAUAUGCACUUAUAUUAUAUUUUUAAAAUUUCAGAUAAUAAUUUAUUUUAAUAUCUCAAAGUUUUUAAAUAAUUUUUAAAAAUUAUGGUUAAUUUCACACAAAUCUUAGAGGUUUUGUAUAAAUAUACUUAGCCACUAUUAGUUUUAAAUUUAUUUUAAUUAGCACCUCCGUAUAAAUUUAUUUUAUUUAUAAAAUUUAGUUUUUGGAGAGAUUUUAUGCAAAUAGAUUUUAAAUAGGUGUAUUUAAUGGUUCUCUUAAGUGAUUACAACAGGAGAAUACAUUUCACUCACCUCUUAUAAAAUUUGUGUUAAAUAUAUUUUAUUAAAUGACUUUCUUAUUUUAAAUCAUACAUCCAAAAAAUUUCAAAAUAACGAUGAUAGAAUGUAUUUAACCCGAAUUUUGGGAAGUACGUGAAAUUAUUAGUGUCUCGUAUUGAUAAUAGGCAAUAAUUGAGAUUUUGAAAAAAUAAAAUACAACAAUGUUAAAAAAUAUUUUUUAAAAUUCGACAUUUGAAACUAUUUCUAAAUCCAAUUUCAAGAAAUUCAAUUUUGUUUUUUUGAAGAGAUAACUUUCAAUUGAAAGGACAAUUUUUAAUAGGCAUUGUAAAAAAAAUUUAUAAAUUAAAAAGUAGUUUUUAAAAAUGUUAUAUUUUAAUAAAUAUUAUUUAUUUAUUUUUUAUUUUUUUCAAAAAACCGGCAAUAGCCAAUAGCACAUAGAAGCAACACUCCCUUGUGUCCCUUAUUUUAUAGGACUAUCCUCACAUGGAAAAGGGCAGUGUAGGACAUGUUCCAUCUGGGCACCACACAUGGGCAGUGGCAGAGACCCACCCACCCCUCCUUUCCAAAGGGGCUCGAGGGGCUUAGUGCUUAUCUCAAAACAGAAAGAAAAAAAAGGCAACAAAGCCCACACCCCAUUUUCCAGAGCGUGAGAGAAACGCCCCCAACCACAAAAAGUGGCUGAAAAACAAAAGACCAUACACAAAAUACAAAAACAUAUUGGCAAGUUGGCACAAACCCAUUUGAUGGUGGGGGUGCAAAGGAGCAAGUCACAUCACCUCUGAGAGGGGUGGCCGGG